UACACCAAGUCCACACAGAUCGACACCACAAGCCCUCAUCCUCCGCUGCCCAUCUGCCAAAGCAAACAAGAACACACAAGACAGUUCAGGCAGGCAUGGAUGCAGAGUUCACCUGAGUUGGGAGGGACUGACUAGCCAACCAUGCAAAUGCAAGCAGGGCGGAGAAUUAGUAGCCGAUGUCGGCGCCGUCGUCGACCAAGGUCGCCGUUGAUGCCGGGGAUAGGUAUCGAUCACACGGUGUUAUGGGCCCUGGUCAAGAUCGCAGGAGGAGACGCUUCAAUCUGGCGAGAUCCCGGCUCUCGUUGCUGCUCUCUCGGAGGUGGAUCUCAUCUGGGAUAAUAUAUAUGGCAGAAUUUCCAAGGAAAUGCACGGUUGCCUUGUCGGCUGAGUGUAACUUCCAGGUCGCAACCUUUGUACGAGCAGCCGAAUGAGCAGGAACGAGUACACAUCACAUUUUAUUGACUCAUGCGUGGGUGGUGUAAACAACGGAAAUGAUUUGCGUACGACGAUGCAUGUCCGAAGCACGUACGACGAUGCAUCCGCAUCGUGAGCUAGCUAACCCGUUGAAAGACAUACGGCUUGAUUUGAUGGUCGUACGUGGUUCGGAUGAGAAUCGUCGUACGUGUAGCACUGCUCAGUCUUGGGUGGUGUAAACAAAGUCUUCUUAGGGUAUGUACAAUGGUUGAUAAGAUAGUUUUAUUUCAAGUUUUACAUGUAAUUUAUAGAUGAUAAAAAAAGUCUUACAAUGAAUCACCUCUUAAUUGUUCUCUCUUAAAUAAGAAAAGACAAAUUUUUUUUAUGAGUUAUCUUUCCUCCACCUCAUCAUUUAUCUUACAUGACACUACUAAGAUAGCAUCAUUGUACAUGUCCUUAUGUGACAGGAAAAAAAAACCAACAGCCCUACCAGGAAAUAAAACAAACGUGUGAAGCACGUGUUGUGCAUGAGAGUGAUUUUGUUUUCUUAACUCAUGCCUUUUGGUUUAUUGCACUAUCUUUCUUUUAACACGCAAGCGUUUAUAUACACGUACAUAGACUGAGCCGGCAUAUCAUGAAAUUUAUGAAUAAAUUCAGAAAUAAAUGCGAACAUCAGGAUUUAAACCCUGAUGAGCUAUGAAUAUCACAAUCUCUCUAACCAUCCAACCACAGACUGGUUCGCAUUGUACUCUUCGUCGUACUAUCUUUUCAAUGUGUUACUUGUUGUCCUUAAUAAUUAUCAUAUCUAAGAUGCCCUUUGGGUGUGUUUCGUACUAUGAAAAAGGGUCCUGCAUGGAUAGAGAGAGCGUGUGCUGACGAGACAGCAUAAAAUGUUUCACCAGUUAGUUAAUAGAGUGUCACAUAAAUAAAAUACAUAGUCCGGGUAGGAAAAAUACUCCACGAUGCUUGAGUGCCCUUGACCAAAGCCUAGCGCCCUCGAUCGCCCCAUCCUUUCCUCCCUGGCUACUACCUCAGAUCACCGCCAAUCCGCAUGACUUCCAAGGACGACAGCGGCGAAGCUCCCUCCUUGAGCAACACCUUGGUACUUGUACGCCUCUUCCUACUGAGCGACGUCGUUGUGCUCUCCGUUGGUUCCUUGGUGGUUGCGUUUUUCUGUUGCCAUUUUUGUUGGCGAUGCUCCGCCCCUCCUUUGGACGGAGCAUUGCCAGUAUAUGGACUUUUUUUUAGAAUAACUGCAUAUUUUUUAACCAGCAAAUGUUACAAACAUAGCACAUACAUAACAUCGCUGAGAGAGCACGAGAGACCAAAGGUGUCCCAACACAAAUGCAAAAAGGUCUCAAAAAGGAGAAAAUACAAUCUGAACCCCCGGGGGCCUUAAUGCAUGAAGAACCAACACCAGUCGCUGACCGCCGCCAUCGACGACGAGACGAACGGCGAAGGAGGACGCCAGAAACCAUCAAACCCUGAGCCGAGGGCACACCAUCACUGAAAAGGGCUUUCUGAGUCGAAGAUGAGCCCGGUCGCAAACGGUGAGGCAUAGCCGUUGUGGCACGUCGACCGGGGAAAGUCCCCGUGCAAAUCCUCGGCUCCAGUUUCGGCACCUCCGUUGGACGAAGUCGAAGGAGAAUUACCAGAUCUACCGCCACAAACCACCACGAGAGUGUUGAGUCACCAAGUCUCUCGCCAACAGCCGCGGUCACCGCACGGGCCGGUGACCAACGCUGGCCCGAGCACUCCUAUACAAGACUCUGUCGGCUUCCCAUCGACACUGAAGAACGUGUCGAUGUGGCAGAGACGAAGCCGAGGGAACAAAACUCCCGAUGUCCCCUGCUUGACCAAAUCCGAGCACGCCAAGCCUGUCGCCGCACACGUCGGCCAGGCCAAACCUAACCUCACCGCCCAAGACGAGCGGCAGGAAUCUACGCCGAGCAGCGCCCGAGGAAACACCACCGAGACGGAGGCGGAACCGGAGGACAAAAGGCACGAGCUGGGCAGCCGUCGCCGCCUCGUCGACCCAGCCCCACCACCCAGAUAUCGCCAGCCACGCGAAACCUGCGAGCAGACCGAAGCUCCCAGCCUUCUCGCCCACCGCAACGCAUACCACCGCGUUGGGGAGAGAGCAGGGGCACCCUUAUUAGCCGCACUCGCCAUUCCCACCGGAGAUGCGAAAACGACCAGCCACCACCAAGCUACAAAGCCUACCUAGACUACACCUGUACAAGCCAUGCCCCCGGAUCCGACGACCCCAACCUGCACCGAAGAGCAUGAAGUCCCGGGGGAGAUGGCGUCGCCGGAUCCAAAGCCGGCAAAGGAGUCGCCUCUCACUAGUGGAAAACGGGCCUUUGGCCAGGACCCUUUAGUCCCGGCCUGCCUCUGGGCCGGGACUAAAGGCCCGGCCACGUCGCCCCAAUUCUCAAUGCCUCCCUCGAGGCUUUAGUCCCGGCCCGUAAGGAGCCUUUAGUCCCGGUUCAUGUUCCAAACCGGGACUAAAGGGCUACGCGGCGGGUAGUGGUGGUGGCAACCGUUCGUAUCCCCCUUUAGUCCCGGUUGGUGGCUCAACCCGGGACUAAAUCCCUAACCCGUGCCCUGCCGUAGUGGUGGUAACCGUUGGUAUACCUCUUUAGUCCCGGUUGGUGGCUCAACCCGGGACUAAAUCCCUAACACGUGGCCUGCCGUAGUGGUGGUAACCGUUGGUAUACCUCUUUAGUCCCGGUUGGUGGCUCACCCCGGGACUAAAUCCCUAACCCGUGCCCUGCCGUAGUGGUGGUAACCGUUGGUAUACCUCUUUAGUCCCGGUUGGUGGCUCAACCCGGGACUAAAGGCCCAAACGGUUUGCAUCCCGCGUCGUUUCGGGCGAUGAAAAGCACGAACCAAAGCAGAGUCGCCAUUUCUCUGUUUCUUCUUCUCUCUCGCUCUCGCUCUGUUCUUCUCCUCUCUUCUUCCAUCAUGCCAACUCGCUUUGGAGAGGUGCUCGCACAUGGCAAGACCAAGCUCGAUGUCGUGUACACGAACGAGAGCAGGGAGAUGCCGUAUUUUCUUGAACAGUUGAAGGAACGAUGGCUUGACGCCGCAAUGGAUCAUGAGAAGUUCUUGGGGCUUGAUCUGGAGUACACGGCCGAUCAACGCGGUGUUGCCGUCAUCCAACUAUGCUUCGCACACCAUGUCUUGAUCUUCCAAUGGGCGAGGUAAGUUUUGAGGCUUUCUUUGAUCCAAGGUAAUGACAUUGUAAGUUUAUUUGUUUCAAUCAUAGUUGGUUCCCUUCAAAUAGUUGUAGUGAAACAAUUUUGAUUAGUUGAAGGGGAACACAAUCUGAUUGGAAUAGUGUUCCAUAAUCUGAAAAAUCGUAUUAGAAUCAACUAGUGUUUAAUAUGUUCCAUUGGAAUCAUAGUUGGUUCGCUUCAAAUAGUUGUAGUGAAACAAUUUUGAUUAGUUGAAGGGAACACAAUCUGAUUGGAAUAGUGUUUCACAAUCUGAAAAAUCUGAUUGGUUCAAUAUGUUCCAUUGAAAUCAUAGUUGUAGUGAUACAAUUUUAUGCGGUGUUAUUUGAUCCAAGGUUAUGAAAAUUGCAUAUAGCUAGUGAUCUCUCUAGGUUCCAUUUGAUAGCAAUAUGAUAUGUCAUAGUCAUGAAAAUUGCAUAUAGCUAGUGAUCUCUCUAGGUUCCAUUGGAUAGCUAUAGUGAUCUCUCUAGGUUCCAUUGCAUAUGUUCUAUUUGAAUCCUAAAGAUAAUUUUCUCUUUAGUUGUAGUGAAACAUGUUUCCUUAUUGCAGCAGUAUGUAACAUUUUCCAUUUUAAUUUGUUUCUGUUGCAGUAGUGACAAGCAUUGUCCAGAACUCAUGGACUUCCUGCGCAGCGGCAUCACUUUUGCUACCGUUGACAUAACGAACGACAAGCUGAAGAUGAGGUACAGCUUCGGUAUUGAGAUACCAACUGGUUGCCUCAUUGAUCUCCAAACGGUAUUCAGGCUUCGACAUGUCAGGACUUCGAUGGCUCAUAUGGCAGUUGCCUUGAUCGACGAGGAAUAUGGUGAUAUGAAGACCAAUUUUCCCAAAGUCUCAGCACAAACUUUGGGAGAAGGCCCCACUUGAUCGUAUCAACAUUGAGUAUGCAACAAAAGAUGCAUACGUUUCAUACGAGUUGUACCGCAAGAUUCGAGUCGUCAACUAUGGCCAGCGUCACCUCGAAUAAGGUGGACAUUCUGAUUCGAGUCGUCAACUAUGAAAACUAAUUCCCGAACACCAAACGAGGCAUCACGUUAAUCUUCCGAACACCUAAACCCUAAAAUCCUAAAACCCAAAAAUAAUUUCAUUCAAAAAAAACCCAAAAAUAAGCAAAAUCUAAAACUCUUUAGUCCCGGUCCGUGUAACGAGCCGGGACUAAAGGGCCUGCCCCUGAGGCGCUACGAGGCGCCCACGUGGAGCAUCUUUAGUCCCGGCUUGUAACAGGGCCGGGACUAAAGGUUAGGCGUCCCGGUUGGUGAACCGGGACUAAAGUCCCUUACGGGCCGGGGCUAAAGGCCCCGUCUCCACUAGUGUCUGGCAGUAUAUGGACUUGUGGUAACCUUUGUUAGGACUUAGGUGCUCCAUCCCUGUUCCUCACCUCUCACCUGAUUUGGACGCCCACCGGUUUGGUCUGGCCUAGUAUCUUUUUCCAGUCAUUUCUCGGUUAGAUGCGGAAGAUUUGCCGCAUGAUCUAGCGAUUGCAUCUGACGUUUUUCUUGACUGGUGAUUAAAGUUGGUCGUUAAGGUCUUGUUGAACGUACGUGUGGACCAAAAUAUGUUUUUAUCUUUGUGACAAGUACAAUGACCGCUGUUGUAUUUAUCUCUCAUCUCAACCCUCAACUAAAUUCUAUGUGAAUUCCUAGUAUCUCUUGCAAUCCCUGGUAUCCAUCAAUUGGUUCUGUCGCGCUCCUAAGUUCUCCUUCCCUCUCCGAUCAUAUAUCUCUUUAGUCGAAUCAUGGCAAGGUCAUGUCAAGACCCAAAUGUUUUUUCAAAAAGAUAGUAUAAACACACACACUCACAUCCAUGAACGCACAUACGCACGUUCUAUUCCUAUAAGCACAUUUGAAAGGCUGAGCCGGCGGAUGUUAAGAUUGACAAAGUCACAACAAACGUCACAUCACUCUAUGGACAGAAACAUUGCCUCCCAUUGAGAGUACAUUUCGCGUUUAUCACACACCAAAGCAUCAACAUUUAAUUCCUUGUGUUAGGAAUUAAUUAAAUGUAUUAAUUAAUGGAAUAAUCCAUGCGUUGCCGGUUGCCUUGAUUUAGCAACCGUUCCUUGUAACCGACUCUGUACUCGGGGUAUAAAUACCCCGCAUCUUCAAUCAAUAAUAAUUGUUCCAUCAUUCUGUCACUUUCACUGUUUUACACGUUAUCAGCACUCGCUCUGCCGAGAGCGACAGAGAGCCACGAGAAAGGUCAGAAUGGCAGGAAGAGAGUUGUCUGCACUUGCUUUUGCUUUCGCACGCUUCCUGCAGAAAGAGAACACCCGCUUCCCUCGCACUCAGCGCCACCGCAUUGCACGUCGCCAUCAGGGUCUUGGUGCAAGGAAUGGCCCUCAUCGCCGUUCCUUCACCAGGAACCACCGCCAGAACCGGAGUGGCCCUCAUCGCCGCUUCUUCGCCGGGAACCACCGCCAGAACCACCGCCGUGGGUAUGCACGUCGAGGCAACCAACCACUUCGUGGGCGUGCACCAACGGUGCACCAGGCUGGAUCCUCGACUCCGGCCACCGCUCCACUACAACAGGCUGGUGUUGUAGAUAUGCCCUAGAGGCAAUAAUAAAUUAGUUAUUAUUAUAUUUCUUAGNNNNNNNNNNNNNNNNNNNNNNNNNNNNNNNNNNNNNNNNNNNNNNNNNNNNNNNNNNNNNNNNNNNNNNNNNNNNNNNNNNNNNNNNNNNNNNNNNNNNUGGAUAAUAAACUAUUAUCUUGAUACAGGAAUUAUAAUAAUAACUAUGCAUUUAUUAUUGCCUCUAGGGCAUAAUUCCAACAGUGCCUUCUAGUUGCACUGUCUGUACCCAGACAGUUUAUAACUCUUCCGCUGGCUUGUAUUUGUAUGACUGCUAUUAUGGGUCGAGAGACCUUAAUGUGUAAUAUUAUGUGUGUGGCUCUUNNNNNNNNNNNNNNNNNNNNNNNNNNNNNCUUCCGAGCCUCUUAAAUAAAGCUUGUAUGUUUAUGGUUAUGUUGUGAUGCCAUCGAUGUAUCUAUACAUAUCGGUAUGCCAUGCGUACGUGUGUCUUACUUGGUAUGUAUGGGGUUCGAAUACCUAGUCGUGAACUUUAGUAGCACUCCUUACAAGGAAAUGCCCCUUUGUGAUCCAACGAGCCUUGGUAGUUCGCUACUGCUCCGGACACAUUGGUUGACCGGCAUGUGUCCUUCUUAGCUGCUGUGUCUGUCCCCUUUGGGGAAAUUUCACGCGAUGUAAUGGAGUCCUUGUAGCUUGCUACGACUCGUCUACAUUCGCCGAUGACCGACACCUGCUUUGUUGGGUCAUGUAUGCCUGUCCUUGUGCGGUACUGCCACUUUGGUUUAUGACUAGACAUGUCGAUCCGGGUUCUUUGACAUUGGAUUGCUAGCGACACUAUCGCAUACGUGAGUCAAAAGACGCAAACGGUCCCGGCUAAGGUAAGGCUGCAGCCGUGGAGUUAACCGUGCGUGAGACCACAAAGGGAUGCGAUGUGUUACAGGCUAGAUUCCUAUGGCUUAGGAUCGAGGUCCCGACACUUUAAAAUAUCCAUUUGUACUUAACGGUCUUACGACCAUCAAGUAGUUCUUCCAAAGUCUACACUUUGUUUUCAUACAUGGAUCCUCUCUCGGAUUUCAUGGCCUCCAGCCAUUUAUCGGAAUUCGAGCCCACCAUCGCUUCUCCAUAGCUCGUAGGUUCAUUGUUGUUCAACAACAUGACCUCCAAGACAGGGUCACCGUACCACUCUGUAGCAGUACGCGACCUUGUCGACCUACGAGGUUUGUAGUAGCUUGAUCAGAAGCUUAAUGAUCACAAUCAUUAGUUUCCACUUCAAUUUGCGUAGGCGCCACAUGAACAAAUUCCUGCGCCCUGCUACACACUAGUUGAAGUGAUGGUUCAAUAACCUCAUCAAGUUCCACCAUCCUCCCACUCAGUUCUUUCGAGAGAAACUUUUCCUCGAGAAAGGACCCGUUUCUAGAAACAAACACUUUGCUUCCGGAUCUGAGAUAGGAGGUAUACCCAACUAUUUUGGGUGUCCUAUGAAGAUGCGUUUAUCCGCUCUGGGUUCGAGCUUAUCAUGCUGAAACUUUUCCACAUGAGCAUCGCAGCCCCAAACUUUUAAGAAACGACAGCUUAGGUUUCUCCAAACCAUAGUUCAUACGGUGUCAUCUCAACGGAAUUACGUGGUACCCUAUUUAAAGUGAAUGUGGUUGUCUCUAAUGCCUAACCCAAAACGAUAGUGGUAUUUCGAUAAGAGACAUCAUAGUAUGCACCAUAUCAAAUAGGGCGCGGCUAUGACAUUCAGACAAACCAUCACACUAUGGUGUUCUAGGUGGCAUGAACUGCAAAACAAUUUCCACAUUGUCUUAACCGUGUACCAAAACUCGCAGCUCAGAUAUUCAUCUCUAUGAUCAUAUCGUAGACAGUUUAUCCUCUUGUCACGAUGAUCUUCACUCUGGAAUAGCUUUGAACUUUUCAAUAUUUCAGACUUGUGAUUCAUCAAGUAAAUACUCAUGUAUCUACUCAAAUCAUCAGUGAAGUGAGAACAUAACGAUAUCCACUGCGUGCCUUAGCACUCAUUGGACUGCACAUAUCAAAAAUCUAUUGCAUCCAACAAGUUACUUUCUUGUUCCAUGUGGUAUGAUUUUGCAUGUCUCAAGUGAGUUAAAAUCAAGUGAUUCCAAACGAUCCAUCUGCAUGGAGUUUCUUCAUGCGUUUAUACCAACAGGUAUGGUUUCCAUGUCUCAAACGUUUCAAAAAUGAGUGAGUACAAAGAUCCAUAAGCAUGGAGUUUCUUCAUGCAUUUUACACCAACAUGACUCAAGCGGCAGUGCCACAAGUAAGUGGUUCUAUCAUUAUUACUUUGUAUCUUUUGGCACCACUAUUAUGAAUAUGUGUAACACUACGAUCGAGAUUCAAUAAAUCAUUGAAGGUAAUUAUUCAAGAAAAUAGAAUAACCAUUAUUCUCUUUAAAUGAAUAAUCGUAUUGCAAUAAACACGAUCCAAUCAUGUUCAUGCUCAAAGCAAACACCAAAUAACAAUUAUUUAGGUUUAACACCAAUCCCGAUGGUAGAGGGAGCGUGCGAUGUUUUGAUCACAUCAACCUUGGAAACACUUUCAACACGUAUCGUCACCUCGCCUUUAGCUAGUCUCCGUUUAUUUCGUAGCUUUUAUUUCGAGUUACCAAUCACUUAGCAACCGAACCGGUAUCUAAUACCCUCGUGCUACUAGGAGUACUAGUAAAGUACACAUCAAUAUCAUGUAUAUCAAAUAUACUUCUGUUGACUUCGCCAGCCUACUCAUCUACCAAGUAUAUAGGGUAGCUCCGCCUCAGUGACCGUUCACCUCAUAACAAAAGCACUUAAUCUCGGGUUUGGGUUCAAUCUUGGGUUUCUUCAUUAGAGCAGCAACUGGUUUGUCGUUUCAUGAAGUAUCUCUUCUAGCCCUUGCCCUUCUUGAAACUAGUGGUUUUACUAACCAUCAACAAUUGAUGCUCCUUCUUGAUUUCUACUUUCGUAGUGUCAAACAUUGUGAAUCGCUCAAGGAUCAUCAUAUAUAUCCUUGAUAUGUUAUAGUUCAUCACGAAGCUCUAGCAGCUUGGUGGCAGUGACUUUGGAGAACCAUCACUAUCUCAUCUGGAAGAUUAACUCCCACUUGAUUCAAGCGAUUGUUAUACUGAGCACAUGCUCAACGAUUGAGCUUUUCUCCUUUACUUUGUAGACAAAGAAUCUUGUUGGAGGUCUCAUACCUUUCAACAAGGGCACGAGCAUGAAAUCUCAAUUUCAUAUCUUAGAACAUCUUUUAUGUUCCGUGACGUUUCAAAAUGUCUUCGGCGUCUUGCAUCUAAGCCAUUAAGUAUUACGCACUGAACUAUCACGUAGUCAUGAAAAAUGUGUAUGUCAGAUGUUCGCAACAUCCACAGACGACGCUUGAGGUGCAGCACACCGAGUGGUGCAUUAAGGACAUAAGCCUUCUACGCAGCAAUGAGGACAAUCCUCAGUUUUACGUACUCAGUCCGCAAAGUUACUACUAUCAUCUUUCAACUAAAUUUUCUCUAGGAACAUAUAAAAAAACAGUAGAGCUAUAGCGCAAGCUACAUCAUAAUUCGCAAAGACCUUUUGACCAUGCUCAUGAUAAUUAGUUCAAUUAAUCAUAUUACUUAAGAACUCCCACUCAAAAAAUACAUCCCUCUAGUCAUUUCAGUGGUGCAUGAUCCAAAUCCACUAACCCAAGUCCGAUCAUCACGUGAGUUGCGUAUAGUUUCAGUGGUAAACAUCUCUAUGCUAAUCAUAUCAACUAUAUGAUUCAUGCUCGACCUUUCGGUCUCUUGUGUUCCGAGGCCAUGUCUGCACAUGCUAAGCUCGUCAAGUUUAACCCGAGUGUUCCGCGUGUGCAACUGUUUUGCACCCGUUGUAUGCGAACGUUGAGUCUAUCACACCCGAUCAUCACGUGGUGUCUCGAAACGACGAACUGUCGCAACGGUGCAUAGUCGGGGAGAACACAAUUUUAUCUUGAAAUUUUAGUGAAGGAUCACGUUAUAAUGCUACCAUCGUUCUAAGAAAGAUAAGGUGCAUAAAAGGAUUAACAGCACAUGCAAUUCAUAAGUGACAUGAUAUGGCCAUGAUCUUGUGCUUCUUGAUCUCCAUCACCAAAGCACCGACAUGAUCUUCAUCGUCACCGGCACCACACCAUGAUCUCCACCAUCGUGCCGCCAUCGAGGUUGUCGUGCUAUAUACGCUAUCACUACUAAAGCUACAACCUAGCGAUAUAGUAAACGCAUAUGCAAACACAAACGUUAGUUUAAAGACAACCUUAUGGAUCCUGCCAGUUGCCGUAGCAUCGACGUGCAAGUCGAUAUUUAACUAUUACAAAAUGAUCAUCUCAUACAUCCAAUAUAUCACAUCAUGUCUUUGGCCAUAUCACAUCACAUGCAUACCCUGCAAAAACAAGUUAGACAUCCUCUAAUUUGUUGUUGCAUGUUUUACGUGGCUCCUAUGGGUAUCUAGUAUGAUCGCAUCUUACUUACGCAUAGCCACAACGGUAAUAUGCAAAUUGCUAUUUAACCUUUCUCCAAGGACCGCCUCGGUCAAAUCCGAUUCAACUAAAGUUGAAGAAACAGACACCCGCCAGUCAUCUUUAUGCAACAAGUUGCAUGUUAGUCGAUGAAACCGGUCUCUUGUAAGCGUACGAUUAAGGUUGGUUUGGGCCGCUUCAAUCCAACAAUACCGCCGAAUCGAGAAAAUACUAAGGAGGGCAGCAAAUUGAACAUCAAUGCCCACAAAAACUUGUUUGUUCUACUCGAGAUUACAUCUACGCAUGAACCUAGCUCAUGAUGCCACUAUUGGGGAACGUUUCAUGGGAAACUAAAAAAUUCCUACACACACGAAGACCUAUCAUGGUGAUGAUCAUCUACGAGAGGGAGAUCGGGUCCACAUACCCUUGUAGAUCGCUAAGUGGAAAUGUUAAGAAACGUGUAUGAUGUAGUGGUAUGUCUUCACGAUCCGUCCCACGAACCGUCUCACGAUCCGUCCCGAUCAAGUGUUGAACGGACGGCACCUCCGCGUUCCGCACACGUACAGCUCGAUGACGAUCUCCGCCUUCUUGAUCCAGCAAGAGGGGCGGAGAGGUAGAUGAGUUCUCCAGCAUGGCGAUGUGGUGGUGGUGUUGGUGGUGCUAUUCCAGCAGGGCUUCGCCUAAGCACCGCUGAAACUAGAGGAGAAACAGAUCUAGAGAGAGAGGGCAGCACGUGGCUGUUUCUGUUGUCCAAAAACCCUCAAAACCCUUAGUAUAUAUAGGAGGAGAGGAGGGAGAGGGUUGCGCCCUAGAGCAACCUUCUCUUCCCUUGCGCAAGGGAGAGGAGGAGGAGUCCUACUCCAAUCCUAUUUGGAGUAGGAUUCCUCCUUCCCACUUGGAAACUCUUUCCACCUUGUGUUUUUCCUUCUCAAACCUUAUGGGUCUUAGUGGGAACUUAUUCGAGCCCACUAGGGGAUGGUUUAUCUCUUGCCACAGCCCAUAAGGCCUCUUGGGGCGUGACACCCCUCCCGAUGGUCCCCGGCACACCUCCCGGCACUCCCGGUACACUACCGAUGAGCCCGAAACUUUUCCCGUGACCAAAACAGGACUCCCUAUAUAUCAAUCUUCAUUUCCGGACCAUUCUGGAAACCUUCGUGAUGUACGGGAUCUCAUCCGGCACUCUGAACAACCUUCGGUCACCAACACAUAUAACUUAACUAUACCGAAACAUCACCGAACUUUAAGUGUGUAGACCCUGCGGGUUCGAGAACUAUGUAGACAUGACCUGAGACACUCUUCGGUCAAUAACCAACGGCGGGACCUCGAUGUUCAUAUUGGCUCCUACAUAUUCUACGAAUAUCUCUAUCGGUUGAACCUCUAUGUCAAGGAUUAAUAUAAUCCCGUAUACUAUUCCCUUUGUCCUUCGGUAUGUUACUUGCCCGAGAUUCGAUCGUUGGUAUCUCCAUACCGAGUUCAAUCUCGUUACCGGCAAGUCUCUUUACUCGUUCCAUAAUACAAGAUCUCGUGACUAACUCCUUAGUCAUAUUGCUUGCAAGGCUUGUUGUGAUGUUGUAUUACCGAGUGGGCCCCCUAGAUACCACUCCGUCACAUGGAGUGACAAAUCACAGUCUUGAUCCAUGCCAACCUAAUAGACACCUUUGGAGAUACGUGUAGAGCACCUUUAUGGUCACCCAGUUAUGUUGUGACGUUUGAUACACACAAGGCAUUCCUCCGGUGUCCGGGAGUUGUGAUACGUCCAUUUUGCAUCAUGUUUUCAUGUUGAUAUUUAUUGCUUCUUGGGAUGUUAUAUUACUUGUGGUGCCAUAUUUAUGCCUUUUCGCUCUUAUUUUGCAAGGAUUAUUUGAAGAGGGAGAAUUCAGGCAGCUGGAAUUCUGGACUAGAAAAGGAGCAAAUCCUAGUCCACUAUUCUGCACAUCUCCAAAUGCCCUGAAAAUUUUCGUGGAUUUUUUCUAGAAUAUAUUAAAAAUACUGGGCGAAAGAACUACCAGAGGGGGCCACCAGGGCCCCACAAGCUUGCCCACCGCCGCCGCCCCCCUGGUGGCGCACGGCAGGCUUGUGGGCAGCCCACUGGCCCACUAGCCCCCCUCUUUUGCUAUAUGAUGCGUCCUGACCUGGAGAAAAUCAUACAGGAGCUUUUUCGUGGUUUCCCCGCCGCCACAGGGCGGAACUUGAGUAGAUCCAAUCUAGAGCUCCGGCAGGACGAUCUUGUCGGGGAAAUUUCCCUCCCGGAGGGGGGAAUCAUCACCAUCUUCAUCACCAACACUCCUCUCAGCGGAGGGGAGGCAUCUUCAUCAACAUCUUCAUCGGCACCAUCUCUUCUCCAAUCCCUAGUUCAUCUCUUGUAACCAAUCUUCGUCUCGCAACUCAGAUUAGUACUUGUAAGGUUGCUAGUAGUGUUGAUUACUCUUUGUAGUUGAUGCUUGUUGGAUUACUUGGUGGAAGAGUUUAUGUUCAGAUCCUUGAUGCUAUUCAUUACACCUCUGGUCAUGAUUAUGAUUAUAUCUUGUGAGUAGUUACUUUUGUUCCUAAGGACAUGGAAUAAGUCAUGCUGAUAAUAGUCAUGUGAAUUUGAUAUUCGUUCAGUAUUUUGAUAUGAUGUAUGUUGUUUUUCCUCUAGUGGUGUUAUGUGAACGUGGACUACAUAACACUUCACCAUAUUUGAGCCUAGAGGAAGGCAUUGUGAAGUAGUAAGUAGAUGAUGGGUUGCUGGAGUGACAGAAGCUUAAACCCCAGUUUAUGCGUUGCUUCGUGAGGGGAUGAUUUGGAUCCACUAGUUUAAUGCUAUGGUUAGACUUUGUCUUAAUUCUUCUUUUGUAGUUGCGGAUGCUUGCUAGAGAGGUUAAUCAUAAGUGGGAUGCUUGUCCAAGUAAGGUCAGUACCCAAGCGCCGGUCCACCCACAUAUCAAACUAUCAAAGUAACGAACGCGAAUCAUAUGAACAUGAUGAAACUAGCAUGACAGAAAUUCUCAUGUGUCCUCGGGAGCAUUUUUCCUCCUAUAUGACUUUGUUCAGGCUUGUCCCUUGCUACAAAAGGGAUUGGGCCACUUGCUGCACCGUUGCUACUACUUGUUAUUUGUUACUCUUUGCUUGCUACGUUUCACCUCGCUACACAAUCACUUGUUACCGCUACUUUCAGUGCUUGCAGUUAUUACCUUGCUGAAAUUCGUUUAUCACAGCCUUCUGCUCCUCGUUGGGUUCGACAAUCUUACUUAUAGAAAGGACUAUGAUUGAUCCCCUAUACUUGUGUUGGAAAUAUGCCCUAGAGGCAAUAAUAAAUUAGUUAUUAUUAUAUUUCUUUGUUCAUGAUAAUCGUUUCUUAUCCAUGCUAUAAUUGUAUUGAUUGGAAACACAGUGCAUGUGUGGAUACACAGACAAAACACAGUCCCUAGUAAGCCUCUAGUUGACUAGCUCGUUGAUCAAAGAUGGUCAAGGUUUCCUGACCAUAGGCAAGUGUUGUCACUUGAUAACGGGAUCACAUCAUUAGGAGAAUCAUGUGAUGGACUAGACCCAAACUAAUAAGACGUAGGAUGUUGAUCGUGUCAUUUUGUUGCUAUUGUUUUCUGCGUCUCAAGUAUUUGUUCCUAUGACCAUGAGAUCAUAUAACUCACUGACACCGGAGGAAUGCUUUGUGUGUAUCAAACGUUGCAACGUAACUGGGUGACUAUAAAGAUGCUCUAUAGGUAUCUCCGAAGGUGUUCGUUGAGAUAGUAUGGAUCGAGACUGGGAUUUGUCACUCCGUGUGACGGAGAGGUAUCUCGGGGCCCACUCGGUAAUACAACAUCACNNNNNNNNNNNNNNNNNNNNNNNNNNNNNNNNNNNNNNNNNNNNNNNNNNNNNNNNNNNNNNNNNNNNNNNNNNNNNNNNNNNNNNNNNNNNNNNNNNNNNNNNNNNNNNNNNNNGGUAAACGAGAUUGAAAUAGGUAUGCGGAUACUGACGAUCGAAUCUCGGGCAAGUAACAUACCGAAGUACAAAGGGAAUGACAUACGGGAUUAUAUGAAUCCUUGGCACCGAGGUUCAAACGAUAAGAUCUUCGUAGAAUAUGUAGGAUCCAAUAUGGGCAUCCAAGUCCCGCUAUUGGAUAUUGACCGAGGAGUCACUCGGGUCAUGUCUACAUAGUUCUCGAACCCGCAGGGUCUGUACACUUAAGGUUCGACGUUGUUUUAUGCGUAUUUGAGUUAUAUGGUUGGUUACCGAAUGUUGUUCGGAGUCCCGGAUGAGAUCACGGACAUCACGAGGGUUUCCGGAAUGGUCCGGAAACAAAGAUUGAUAUAUAGGAUGACCUCAUUUGAUUACCGGAAGGUUUUCGGAGUUACCGGGAAUAUACCGGGAAUGACGAAUGGGUUCCUCGGAAUGUACCAGGAAUGACGAAUGGGUUCCGGGUGUUCACCGGGGGGGCAACCCACCCCGGGGAAGCCCAUAGGCCUUGGGGGUGGCGCACCAGCCCUUAGUGGGCUGGUGGGACAGCCCAAUAAGGCCCUAUGCGCCAUAGGAAGAAAAUCAAAGAGAAAAAGGAAAAAAGAAAAGGGGAGGUGAGAAAAAGGGGAAGGACUCCACCUUCCAAACCUAGUUGGAUUCGGUUUGGAAGGGGAGGACUCCCCCCCUUGGCUCGACCGACCCCCAAGGCAAGGCCCCCCUCUCCCACCUAUAUAUACGGAGGUUUUAGGGUUGAUUUGAGACAACUUUGCCACGGCAGCCCGACCACAUACCACCAUGGUUUUACCUCUAGAUCGCGUUUCUGCGGAGCUCGGGUGGAGCCCUGCUGAGAUUAGAUCACCACCAAACUCCGGAGCGCCGUCAUGCUGCCCGAGAACUCAUCUACCUCUCCGUCUCUCUUGCUGGAUCAAGAAGGCCGAGAUCAUCGUCGAGCUGUACGUGUGCUGAACGCGGAGGUGCCGUCCGUUCGGCACUAGAUCGUGGGACGGAUCGCGGGACGGUUUGCGGGGCGGAUCGAGGGACGUGAGGACGUUCCACUACAUCAACCGCGUUUCUUAACGCUUCUGCUGUGCGAUCUACAAGGGUACAUAGAUCAAAUAUCCCCUCUCGUAGAUGGACAUCACCAUGAUAGGUCUUCGUGCGCGUAGGAAAAUUUUUGUUUCCCAUGCGACGUUCCCCAACAACUUGUGGGUCAUCAAGACUCUUUUCUGGCGCCGUUGCCGGGGAGUGAAGCGCCUUUGGUAAGUGGAAAUUGGUAAGGAAACAAUUUUAUACUGUGCUGAAAUUUAUUGUCACUUGUCACUAUGGAAACUCUUCCUUUGAGGAGUUUGUUCGGGGUAUCUUCACCAUGAACGGAAGCACGAGGAUUUGCUCCUCAACCUGAGGUACCUACUGAAAAUAUCUUUUAUAAAAUUCCUUUGGGUAUGCUUGAGAAAUUGCUGGCUAAUCCUUUUACAGGAGAUGGAUCUUCACAUCCAGACUUUCAUCUAAUCUAUGUAGAUGAAGUUUGUGGUUUAUUUAAGCUUGCAGGUUUGCCCGAGGAUGAGGUAAAGAAGAAACUCUUUCCUUUAUCUUUGAAGGAUAAGGCAUUGACAUGGUAUAGGCUAUGUGAUGAUACUGGAUCAUGCAGCUACAAUCGGUUGAAAUUGGAAUUUCAUCAAAAGUUCUAUCCCAUGCAUUUAGUAUAUCAUGAUCGGAACUUUAUUUAUAACUUUUGGCCUCGUGAUAGGGAAAGCAUAGCUCAAGCUUGGGGGAGGCUUAAAUCAAUGCUAUAUUCAUGCCCCAAUCAUGAGCUCUCGAGAGAAAUCAACACUCAAAACAUUUAUGCUCGGAUUUCUCAUGAAGAUCGUACCAUGCUUGAUACUUCUUGUGCCGGUUCUUUUAUGAAGAAGAAUAUUGAUCACAAGUGGAAUUUAUUGGAGAGAAUCAAACGCAACUCUGGAGAUUGGGAGCUGGAGGAAGGUAAGGACUCAGGUAUGAAUUUCUAUUUUGAUUGCGUUAAAUCUUUUGUUGAGACAAACACUUCUAGAGAGCGCUAAGUAUGGACUUGACUCUGAGAUAGUAGCUUCUCUUUGUAAAUCUUUUGCUGCUCAUGUUGAUCUUCCCAAAGAGAAGUGGUUUAAAUAUCAUCCUCCUGUAGAAAGCAACAUAGCCAAAACCAAUCUAGUUGAGGAGAAAAUCAUAGCUUUUAGUGAUCCUGUUGUUCCUUGUGCUUACACUGAGAAACCACCAUACCCUGCUAGGAUGAAGGAUUAUUCUAAAGCUCCAACUGUGAUACGUAGGGGUUACAUUAGACCACUUGCACCCCCUGAAGAGAUUAGAGUUGAACCUAGUGUUGCUAUUAUCAAAGAUCUCUUAGCCAAAGAGAUAGAUGGGCAUGUUAUCAAAUUCUGUGAGGACUCCGCUAGAAUUGCUAAACCUCACGCGAAAGACAAGCACGGACCUGUAGUUGGCCUGCCCGUUGUUUCUGUUAAGAUAGGAGAUCACUGUUACCAUGGUUUAUGUGAUAUGGGAGCUAGUGUUAGUGCAAUACCCCGUUCUCUAUAUGAUGAAAUCAAAGAUGAGAUUGCACCAGCUGAGAUAGAACCCAUUGAUGUCACUAUCACGCUAGCUAAUAGAGACACUAUAUGCCCUUUGGGAAUUGUGAGAGAUGUAGAAGUCCUGUGUGGUAAGACGAAGUAUCCUACUGAUUUCCUCGUCCUUGGUACUACACAAGAUAGCUUUUGUCCCAUCAUAUUCGGUAGACCCUUUCUCAACACUAUCAAUGCUCACAUUGAUUGCAUUAAGCAGACUGUCAUAGUAAGUUUCGAGGGUGUGUCUCAUGAAUUUAACUUCUCCAAGUUUGGAAGACAACCCCAUGAAAGAGAUUCAUCUGGUAGGGAUGAAAUCAUUGCUCUUUCCUCUAUUGCCAUACCUCCUACGAAUCCUUUAGAGCAAUAUCUGCUUGAGCAUGAAAAUGAUAUGCAUACGGAGGAGAGAGAUGAGAUAGAUAGAAUUGUCUUAGAACAAUGUCCUAUUCUCAAGAAUAAUCUGCAUGUUGAACUGCUUGGGGAUCCUCCCCCACCAAAGGGUGAUCCUGUGUUCGAGCUUAAACAGUUGCCUGAUACUCUUAAGUAUGCCUAUCUUGAUGAGAAGGAGAUAUAUCCUGUCAUUAUUAGUGCUCUCCUCUCAGAGCGUGAAGAGAAGAAGUUACUAAAAACUCUGAGGAAGCACCGCGCUGCUAUUGGAUAUACUCUUGAUGAUCUUAAGGGUAUUAGUCCUACUCUAUGUCAGCACAAGAUUAAAACCGAUCCUGACUUUAAACCAGUUGCUGAUCAUCAAAGGAGAUUAAAUCCUAAGAUGAAAGAGGUCGUUAGAAAAGAAAUAUUAAAGCUUCUGGAAGCAGGAAUCAUUUAUCCUAUUGCUCAUAGUGAUUGGGUAAGUCCAGUACAUUGCGUACCUAAGAAGGGAGGUAUCACCGUCGUUCCUAAUGAUAAGGAUGAACUAAUCCCACAAAGGAUUAUUACCGGCUAUAGAAUGGUGAUAGACUUCCGGAAACUGAACAAGGCAACCAGGAAAGAUCAUUAUCCUUUGCCGUUCAUCGACCAAAUGCUAGAAAGGCUAUCAAAGCACACACACUUUUGCUUUCUAGACGGUUAUUCAGGUUUCUCGCAAAUACCUGUUGCAUAAUUUGAUCAAGAGAAAACCACCUUCACCUGCCCUUUCGAUACCUUUGCCUAUAGAUGUAUGCCUUUUGGCUUAUGUAAUGCACCUGCCACCUUUCAAAGAUGUAUGAUGGCUAUAUUCUCUGACUUUUGUGAAAAGAUUGUCGAGGUUUUCAUGGAUGACUUCUCCAUUUACGGGUCUUCCUUUGAUGAUUGCCUCAGCAACCUUGAUCGAAUCUUACAGAGAUGCGAAUAAACCAACCUCGUCUUGAAUUGGGAGAAGUGCCACUUUAUGGUUAAUGAAGGUAUCGUCUUAGGACACAAAAUCUCUGAAAGAGGCAUUGAAGUUGAUAAGGCUAAGGUUGAUGCAAUUGAGAAAAUGCCUUGCCCCACAGAUAUCAGAGGUAUACGAAGUUUCCUAGGUCAUGCUGAUUUCUAUAGAAGGUUCAUUAAAGACUUCUCUAAGAUUUCUAGGCCUCUUACCAACCUCUUGCAGAAGGAUGUUCCUUUUGUUUUUGAUGAGGAUUGUGAGGAAGCCUUCGAAAUACUUAAGAAGGCUUUGAUAACCGCACCUAUUGUUCAACCACCUGACUGGAACUUUCCCUUUGAAAUCAUGUGUGACGCUAGUGAUUAUGCUGUUGGUGUUGUUCUAGGACAAAGAGUUGACAAGAAGUUGAAUGUCAUUCACUACGCUAGUAAAACUCUAGACAGUGCCCAAAGGAACUAUGCCACUACGGAGAAGGAAUUUUUAGCACUCGUGUUUGCAUGUGAAAAAAUCAGAUCUAACAUAGUUGACUCCAAGGUCACUAUUCACUCUGAUCAUGCUCCUAUUAAGUACCUUAUGGAGAAGAAGGACGCUAAGCCUAGGCUUAUCAGAUGGGUUCUCCUGCUACAGGAAUUUGAUUUGCACGUCAUUGACCGAAAGGGUGCUGAUAACCCUGUAGCAGAUAACUUGUCUAGGCUAGAGAAUGUCCUUGAUGACCCACUACCAAUUGAUGACAGCUUUCCUGAUGACCAAUUAAAUGUCAUCCGCACUUCACUUAGUGCACCAUGGUAUGCCGAUUAUGCAAACUAUAUCGUAGCCAAAUACAUACCACCCAGUUUCACCUAUCAACAAAAGAAGAAAUUCUUCUUUGAUUUGAGACACUACUUUUGGGAUGAUCCUCACCUUUAUAAGGAAGGAGUAGAUGGUGUUAUUAGACGUUGUGUGCCUGAACAUGAACAGGGACAGAUCCUGCAGAAGUGUCAUUCCGAAGCCUACGGAGGACACCACGCUGGAGAUAGAACUGCCCAUGAGGUAUUGCAAUCAGGUUUCUAUUGGCCCACUCUCUUCAAGGAUGCUCGUAAGUUUGUCUUGUCUUGUGACAAAUGCCCAAGGAUAGGGAACAUCAGUAAGCGUCACAAGAUGCCUAUGAACUAUUCACUUGUCAUUGAACCAUUUGAUGUCUGGGGCUUUGAUUAUAUGGGACCCUUCCCGAGUUCCAGUGGGUACACUCACAUCUUAGUUGUUGUGGAUUACGUUACUAAGUGGGUAGAAGCUAUCCCCACUAAAAAUGCUGAUCACCACAACUCUAUUAAGAUGCUUAAAGAAGUUAUAUUCCCAAGAUUUGGAGUCCCUAGAUACUUGAUGACUGAUGGCGGUUCACACUUCAUUCAUGGUGUUUUCCGCAAGAUGCUAGCUAAGUAUGAUGUCAACCAUAGAGUUGCAUCUCCUUAUCAUCCUCAGUCUAGUGGUCAAUUGGAGUUGAGUAAUAGGGAGAUCAAGUUGAUCUUACAAAAGACCGUCAAUAGAUCCCGAAAGAACUGGUCUAGCAAACUUGACGAUGCACUAUGGGCUUAUAGGACUGCUUAUAAAAAUCCCAUGGGCAUGUCACCGUAUAAAAUGGUUUACGGUAAGGCCUGUCAUUUACCUCUUGAGUUGGAACACAAAGCUUAUUGGGCAAUCAAAGAGCUCAACUUUGAUUUCAAACUUGCCAGUGAGAAGCGGUUGUUUGAUAUCAGCUUGUUGGAUGAAUGGAGAGCCCAGGCAUAUGAGAAUACCACGUCGUCAAGGAAAAGGUUAAGAGAUGGCACGACAAACGAAUACAGAAACGAGAGUUCAAUGUAGGUGAUUAUGUCUUGCUAUACAAUUCUCGUUUGAGAUUCUUUGGAGGCAAGCUUCUCUCUAAAUGGGAAGGUCCCUACGUUGUCGAGGAAGUAUAUCGUUCCGGUGCCAUCAAAAUCAAUAAUACAAGGAAAUUUUCCUAGAGUGGUAAAUGGGCAAAGAAUCAAGCAUUACAUCUCUGGUACUCCCAUAAAUGUUGAGACCAAUAUCAUCAAUGUCAUAACUCCACAGGAGUACAUAAGGGAUGUUUAUCAGCCUGUUUCAGACCUUGAAAACGAAGAUGUAUCUGUUUCGGCAAGAAAUUGGACUCCGAUACUUUUCCAAUAGGAAAUUUCCUCAGUUUUGGAAUUUUUGGAAAAUUAGAAAAAUAAAAAAGCAGUCCGGAGAGCAAACGAGGAAGCCACAAGGGCCCACUCCGCCACCACCCCCUGGUGGCGGUGGGCAAGCUUGUGGGCACCUUGUGUGCCUCCCGGACUCCGUUUUCUUGCAGAGGACUCCUUCUGGCCCAGAAAAAAUCAAUAUAUAGUUGCCCGAAGGUUUUGAUCUUCAUAUCGCGUAGUUUUCCUCUGUUUUCGUUUCGAGCUUGUUUCUGCCGCAGAUCUAGAUCAUCAUGACUUCCCCAAACGCUCCUAAGGACAAGAUCUUGGAGAAGGUCAUCAAUCCCUACCUCACGGAAGUGCUAAAACACCAUCAAUCUAUCAAGAUGAGCGAGGGGAUGUUGCACAUCCGUGAUGUUGAGGGGCCUAAGAAGACCGGAAGCAUGGAGACGAGGCUCGAAGUAGUGGAGCAACAAGUCUUCAUGUGCCAAGGGAUGGUUGAGCGUGGACUCAACGCCAACCACACGAUGAUCACGGAGUUCACUAGCAAUCACAAGAUGGAUGUCAUUGAUAUCGGGAAACACCUCUCCAGACUUUACGAUAGGGUUGACCAACUUCAGGGCCAAAUCUAUGACCUGCAGAAUCAAAACUGUGAGUAUGGGUAUAGAUUUAAAUCAAUAAGGUUGGCUGCAGAUUUGAGGAUUUCGGCUACUCGUUCAUCCUGCCAUGAUGGAGCACCUAUGCCUUGGAAGACGGAGGAUCAGACUACUCCAACAACACCACCAUCAUCACCAAAGGAAGACAACUAAGCAUUGGUAUGGGCAAUCCCCUUGGCUUCUGCCGAGCUUGGGGGAGUUGCCCUGGUAUCAUAUCACCUUUAUAUCUUUUGCUUUUACCUUUGUUUUAGUUCUUUCCCUUUCAGUUUUUAUUUCUUCUUUUAGAGGAAUAAGUCUUUAGUUUUUAGUUUGAGUCUUUUGCUUUUGGUCUCUCCCCCGAUGUAUUCGAGCUUACGAGCUAUAUAAUAAAGAGUGUCUUAGUCAAAGGGCUUUGCUUUGUGCCAUGAUCAAAAGUAUGAAAAGAACGAUAGCAUGAAAGAUCAUGAGACGAUCUUAUGGAAAGUGAUAACUUCACUUAUGACACGUAUGAUGAUUGAAACUUGUCGAGAAUAAAUCAACACAUACCUCAGUCAUUGUUGCAAUUAAUAAGAAGUAAUAAGGAAAGAGAGGUUCACAUAUAAAUAUAUCAUCUUAGACACUUUCUACAAUUGUGAGCACUCACCAAACUAUUACAUGCCUAGGAGUAGAUGUUGGACAAGGAAGACAACAUAAUGAAUUGUGUUUGCUUGGUUCCAAACAAUGUUAUAUGAUUAGAGAUCCCUUAGCAUGUGACGAUUGCUUCCACCUCAUAUUAGCCAAAACUUCCGCACCAAGUAGAGAUACUACUUGUGCAUCCAUAAACCUUCAACCCAGUUUUGCCAUGAGAGUCCACCAUACCUACCUAUGGAUUGAAUAAGAUCCUUCAAGUAAGUUGUCAUCGGUGCAAGCAAUAAAAAUUGCUCUCUAAUAUGUAUGAUCUAUUAGUGUGUGGAAAAUAAGCUUUGUACGAACCUGUGAUGAGGAAGACAUAAAAGCGACAGACUGCAUAAUAAAGUUCUUUGUCACAGGAGGCAAUAUAAAGUGACGUUCCUCCGCACUAAGAGGACACGCAUUCAAACCUCAAAAGUGCAUGACAACCUCUGCUUCCCUCUGCGAAGGGCCUAUCUUGUACCUUUACUUUUACCCUUGUAAGAGUCAUGGUGAUCAUCACCAAUUCCCUUUUUGCCUUCGUCUUGGCUACCGUCACAUGCUUGGAAAAGAUCUAUAUUCAUAUAUCAACUUGGAGUUGAGUACUCAUGCUUUAUUGUUGUUGACUUUACCCUUGAGGUAAACCGUUGGGAGGAAAAACUAUAAGCCCCCAUCUUCCUCUGUGUCGAGCUGAAGCUUUGACACCAUGAGUACCACGUGAGCUAUAAAAAUUGUGGAAAACAAAAGAGAUGAUUGAGUAUGUGGGUUUGCCUUACAAGCUCUUAUUUGACUCUUUCUGAUGUUGUGAUAAAUUGCAAUUGCUUCAAUGAUUAUGGACUAUUGUUGGUUACUUCUCGGUAAGGUUUUUGCUUCAUGCUUUGCUUUGUGAAGGAAUUGUUACUUUCCCAUAAGAAUCUUUAUAUAUAUUGUUGUUCUAUGUGUGAUCAUGAUGCCCUCAUGUCUGUAUUAUGUUUUAUCGACACCUUCGUCCCUCAACAUGUGGACGUGUUUAUGGAACUUGGUUUUCGCUUGAGGACAAGCGAGGUCUAAGCUUGGGGGAGUUGAUACGUCCAUUUUGCAUCAUGUUUUCAUGUUGAUAUUUAUUGCUUCUUGGGAUGUUAUAUUACUUGUGGUGCCAUAUUUAUGCCUUUUCGCUCUUAUUUUGCAAGGAUUAUUUGAAGAGGGAGAAUUCAGGCAGCUGGAAUUCUGGACUAGAAAAGGAGCAAAUCCUAGUCCACUAUUCUGCACAUCUCCAAAUGCCCUGAAAAUUUACGUGGAUUUUUUCUGGAAUAUAUUAAAAAUACUGGGCGAAAGAACUACUGGAGGGGGGCCACCAGGGCCCCACAAGCUUGCCCACCACCACCACCCCCUGGUGGCGCACGGUAGGCUUGUGGGCAGCCCACUAGCCCACUAGCCCCCCUCUUUUGCUAUAUGAUGCGUCCUGACCUGGAAAAAAUCAUACAGGAGCUUUUUCGUGGUUUCGCCGCCACCACGGGGCGGAACUUGAGCAGAUCCAAUCUAGAGCUCUGGCAGGACAAUCCUGCCGGGGAAAUUUCCCUCCCGGAGGGGGGAAUCGUCGCCAUCUUCAUCACCAACACUCCUCUCGUCGGAGGGGAGGCAUCUUCAUCAACAUCUUCAUCAGCACCAUCUCUUCUCCAAUCCCUAGUUCAUCUCUUGUAACCAAUCUUCAUCUCGCAACUCAAAUUGGUACUUGUAAGGUUGCUAGUAGUGUUGAUUACUCUUUGUACUUGAUGCUUGUUGGAUUACUUGGUGGAAGAUUUUAUGUUCAGAUCCUUGAUGCUAUUCAUUACACCUCUGGUCAUGAUUAUGAUUAUGUCUUGUGAGUAGUUACUUUUGUUCCUGAGGACAUGGAAUAAGUCAUGCUGAUAAUAGUCAUGUGAAUUUGAUAUUCGUUCGGUAUUUUGAUAUGAUGUAUGUUGUUUUUCCUCUAGUGGUGUUAUGUGAAUGUCAACUACAUAACACUUCACCAUAUUUGGGUCUAGAGGAAGGCAUUGGAAAGUAGUAAGUAGAUGAUGGGUUGCUGGAGUGACAGAAGCUUGAACCCCAGUUUAUGCGCUACUUCGUGAGGGGUUGAUUUGGAUCCACUAGUUUAAUGCUAUGGUUAGACUUUGUCUUAAUUCUUCUUUUGUAGUUGCGGAUGCUUGCGAGAUAGGUUAAUCAUAAGUGGGAUGCUUGUCCAAGUAAGGGCAGUACCCAAGUGCCGGUCCACCCACAUAUCAAACUAUCAAAGUAACGAAUGCGAAUCAUAUGAACAUGAUGAAACUAGUAUGACAGAAAUUCCCGUGUGUCCUCGGGAGCGUUUUCCUCCUAUAAGACUUUGUUCAGGCUUGUCCCUUGCUACAAAAGGGAUUGGGCCACUUGCUGCACCGUUGCUACUACUUGUUACUUGUUACUCUUUGCUUGCUACGUUUCACCUCGCUACACAAUCACUUGUUACCGCUACUUUCAGUGCUUGCAGUUAUUACCUUGCUGAAAUCCGUUUAUCAGAGCCUUUUGCUCCUCGUUGGGUUCGACACUCUUACUUAUCGAAAUGACUACGAUUGAUCCCCUAUACUUGUGGGUCAUCAAGUUGCGUGAUCACAUGGUCAUAGGAACAGAAACAUUGACAUGCAGAAAAAUAGUAGCAAUAAACUGACACGAUCAUAUGCUACAUUUAUAGUUCGGUUCUUGUCCAUCACAUCAUUCUCCCAAUGAUGUGAUCCCGUCAUCAAGUGACAACACUUGCCUAUGGCCAGGAAACCUUGACCAUCUUUGAUCAACGAGCUAGUCAACUAGAGGCUCACUAGGGACAGUGGGUUGUCUAUGUAUCCACACAUGUAUUUGAGUUUCCAAUCAAUACAAUUCUAGCAUGGAUAAAUAAAUGAUUAUUACGAACAAGGAAAUAUAAUAAUAACCAAUUUAUUAUUGCCUCUAGGGCAUAUUUCCAACAAUUUCUAUGUAAAAGGUGCGGAUAGUACCUCAUUCUCGUCUAUCCCAAGCUGAGGUAUGUCACCGACCCUAUGCUCAUCCAUGCAUACAAAAUUAUCCACUGGAGCCCUGAAUAAUUUUUUAUAGUAUUCAAAGAUAUAUUGUUUGAGAUUCUCAUGUCCCACAAUUGUACCCUCAUCUUGUUCUAGCUGGAUAAUUUUUUUAUUCCUAUGCUUUCCAUUAGCUAUUAGAUGGAAAUGUUGUGUGUUGUCAUCUCCUUGUACCACUUGGAGGACUUUCGCUCUUAGUGCCCACUUCAACUCCUCCUCUCUGAGUAGUUGUUUGAGCUUUAGUUCAGCCUCCAUUUUUCAAUGACCUCUCAUUGUCACCUAAUAACGUUUGUUCGGCUUUUAUGUCUAGUGUGUUUAUAAGUUUAUAAGUUCGACAAGCCUUUGUUUCUUUUUCUUAUAAAUUACACUAUCGUGCUUUUCCCAACCCCUUAAGAAUUGCCUCAGGUGUCUUAUCUUAUUUUGCCACCUGUCAACAUUCGAGUCACCUUCUGUGAAAUAGCCCAUUCUCAAACCCGUCCCUUUCAAACCAUCCCAAUUCGAAAGAAAAAAGGUUUUUAUUUCCCACAUGUGUUGCUUCUCGCGAGUCUACAAACAGUGGGGUAUGAUCAGAGAUAGCUCUUGGUAACUCUCAAACUGUGACGAGAGGGAAUUUCUGCUCCCAUUCCACACUCAUGAGAACCCGGUCCAACUUCUCAAAAGUUGGGUUAGGUAAAGAGUUUGCCCAAGUAAACUUUCUCCCUGAUAGCUCAAUCUCCCACAAAUUAAGGCUCUCGAUGAUUGAAUUAAACAUAAAUGACCAUCUUCCAUCAAAGUUAUCACUGUUUUUCUCAUCCUGCCUCCAGAUUAUAUUAAAAUCGCCCCCUACUAAAAUCGGCAGUCUCUCGUCCCCGCAGAUUCGGACAAGGUCAGCCAAGAAAUCUCUCUUGAACUCAGGCUGGGCCGCCCCAUGCACAUCUACGAGUGCCCAUUGGAACCCGUCAUCUUUGGAGCGAACUCAAAAUUUGACUGCAAAGUCUCCAUACACCACUUUCGUAGUUGUGGUGUCUCGCACCGAACCCCAAGCAAGAUCCCACCUGAUCUUCCUCUUGGAGGUAGACAAUGCCAGUCAAAUUCAGAACCUCCAUACAACGUGUUUAAAAACGAAGCUAUAUAGUUAUCUCUCCCAGUUUCCAUCAAUGCAACGAAAUCCAAUUUGUGCUCAAUAGUUGUUUCAGCUAGGAAUCUUCUUUUAGCCAAGUCUGCUAGACCUCUGCUAUUCCAAAAUGUUCCUUUCAUCGCUCAUCAUGAAAUUUCUUAGCCGUUUUAAAUCUAGCACUACGACGCACAGCUGAAACAGGAUAGACUUUUCUCUUCCAGGUUCUUUUUGGCCUAUCCUGAACCUCCGACCGAUCCACAUAACCGUUGGACUCUUGUGCGUUAGCAUUCGUUUGUGGAGGAGCCUCAUACCCCUCCUGAACGAUAUCAUUUGUGUCUUCAAGCAAAAGGGGGGUGGCACAAGAUCCUCACAUAAACGCUCUAAGGCUCCCAAACCCAAUGCAUUUAUAUCAGAAUCAUUCAUAGGUUUUACGGCUGCAAUUUUUCUGACCAUCUCAAUUGCCCUCUCUGCCUCUAAGUCUAACAUGUCAUUUACCGAUCUAGAUAUCUCCUGGUCUACCAAACGCUAGAAUAAGGCCUAGUAACGGGCCCGACCCAUGCCAUUUUGGCCCAUGACUGCAACCAAACACACCCUUAAGUAACUUCUACAAUAUCCAUCCCCAACUUCCAGAAAUUCUAACACUUAAAAAAUCAAAAUCAAACUAUUGGCAUUUAAAACUUUCAUACAUUUCAUUUCUGAAAAAAAUGGUCUUUUAGAUUUCGAAAUAUCAGUAUUAUAUUUUUUACAAAAUUUAACUUUAAGAAUUUUCAAAAUUAUAAGGAUUCAAAAUUCAAAUGUUUUAGCACUUAAAAAAAUUCAAACUUUAAAAAAAUUGAACUUUCAAAUGUUUUGAAUUUUAAGAAGUGUGAACUUUCAUUUUUUUAUAAAGGAUGGGUUUUAUUUACUCAAAAUAAAGCAUCAAGAGCAUACAAAUACAAUAAGAACACACCCGGCCACUUUAUAACUAGGAUGCACACAACCAACUCAAACUCACACACACAAAAAUACGAUCGGUAAAUAGCAAAGUCAUAUAAGACCAAAGCUAUGUGCGCGGUUGGAAAAAGAAACCAAAGCGACCAUAUUGGCAAUGGACAAACUACAACAAUGACCAUAUCUGCACCAACAAUUUCAUUACACCACACGGACAACGAGGUUCCUCAACAAUGACACCUUCAGAAAGGGAGCGACGCUCAAAUGCCGCUAUCAUCGGAUCCAACCAUCCAAGGUCAGAUGCAAGAUUUUCACUCUGAGAAUCAGUCCAAGCAUGUCCGAGCAAUUCCUUCAAUAAGGUAAUGGCGUAAAAACAUCGCCAUUGCCAGGUACAGCCAACUCGAGUUGGACCUAGGCUUUCACCCGGGAGCUCAAGACCGGGUGCUCGAGAAGCACCACCAUCGAAGUCACUAUGUGUUGUUGCCACUACUUUUCCACAAUCUCAGUAGCUAUAUGCGAUGUGUGACCGCUGAUGCUGCACAACCAUCCCUCUACAUCAAGCCAUCAUCAAUAGUUUCAAUCUCACCGUUGAAGUCAACCAUCGGAUCUCCAAGAUCAAUCAUGAAGACCUUUUGAUGGAUACUACAUCAAUCCGCCGCGAGACCGCCACCGUAGUCAUGGUGGUCACCACACGUUCGUCGUCACGCCCCUAGCAGACCUAAAGGUCCACACCAAGGAACCACGGGUCCACACGCAUGGAGCCAUGGAUGUGUGUGUGGAUCAUGAAACGACCAAUCCAUGGCCAUGGCCAUUAGAUGAGACUAUCCCUGGCUGAUGGCAGGUGUCCAAGCCCUGCCGACAUGGCCACUACACCAUGGGCGCCAUCCCACAUGAAGGAGCCACCAGGCGGAGCAGCGACCACAAGUGAGGCGAGAUCUACACCAGCAAUGGCUGGAUCAUCCAGGUAACUGUCCGCUGGAUCUGUGGUGACAUCGUUGGAGGAAGCACGGGGUAGAGAGUGUGAAUCUGGGUUGGGGGAGAGGGGAAGGUCGGGGAAGAAGAUCCCUGUGGCGGUUGAGUCCCGCCGCCGCUGACAAACUGUCAUCGAUGAUGACGACGAGGAUGGAACAUCGGAGGCGGCCUCGAGUGCUAGGGUUUCUCGCCCCCGGUGUCGCCCUGGAGCAACACGGGAGGCCGAUGGCGAUUUCAUAGGAGAGAGAGAGAGAAGGUUGAGAAAUAGAAUCACAUGGUUGGGCAUGUGAGGAAAGAGAGAGAUGGAAAGAAGCACAUGGAUGAGGCCCCCUCGUCCUAUCUACCACAUGGUAACCUGACACAGUCACAUGCAAUGCUUGCGGCAAUGACCAUGGGCACAGUUCCCACAAGAGAGCAUUCUUAGAGUAAUAGCGAGUCUCAUCCUCAUGUUGGAUGCCUAUAUAAAGCUUCUCCUUUCCAACAUUCAUCAUACGAAUUGGCCAAAAUUUCUUUCUCAUUUGUGAUCUUUCAUCACAUUCAACUUUCCUUUGUAUAUAUUGUUGCUAAGCUUCAAAUUCUAAUCAGCUGGAGCUAAGCAAUGAAUUCUUCAUGCCAUCGAGCAUUCCUCGUGAGGAACAUCUUUUGUACUUUGGAAUGAGUGGUAUCGAGAAAUUAGUCAGGACGACUUUCUGAGGCUGAGGCGCCGCUUUUUUCUGUUCUCGUCUCUGAGACGUUGAGGUGGUAGACAUUUAUGAUAAGUGCAUUUCUUGUUGAGAAUAGCAUCGAUAAUCAUGUCUAGUCUAACAACUUGCUCAUUUAGGACUACCCUGGACAGUGCAACAAGUAAAAUACCAAAUCCUUGUACAAAAACAAGUUGUUGCCCUGUGGUGAGGAGUUGAAGCUAUGGCAUGAACUCGUCCAUGUGUGCGGUAUUUCUCCUUGUUGUUUCCAUCGUCUCUAGAAAUCGCUAAAAAGAUCAAAAACAAUAUCAAACCGUUGACACUAUGUGUCUACCAUCUCACACAAAUUCGAACCCAUAUCCAUCGCAGAUCUCCAAAAACAAACAAACAAGACGGAUCCAGUGUUGAACAGCAUAGCAACUAAUUCAAAUCAGCACAUGAACACAUCAUAUCAUCAGCACCAACACAAGAUUGUUUUUUUUUCUCUUUUCUUCAAACAAUAUCCUGAUUAAGGUUUAAAUAUUCUUGUGGCGUUGUAAAUACAUGUUGUGUGUCAGAGACAUAAUUCUUUUUCAAAUAAAAAAACAUAACUUUUUUUACCACAAAUUUUUCUAGGCUUAUGUGUGUGUAUCUUCCUUGUUUCAGUUCCAAGUGACAAGAGGCAAACUUGUCACGGUUGACUGAAUAGAACAGUAGCAAUCGACCUGCCCGGAGCUUCUAUUUUUUGUAGGUGAUUUUCUCUGUUAAGAGUGACUUCUUCUUUUUUGAGAGUUUUGUUAAGAGUGACAUGAAAUCUGCAUAUGGCGAUCGAGCACGCAUGCCGGCGAUCCCACACGGCGCACCGCAGCCACAAGCCGAUCGCCCCCACAAAAUCUGCCCGACGGCUCCCACCGGGAUGGGAUUCCCCGGUGCCAAUGGCGCGCGCCCACCUCACCCCCUCUUAUCCCCGCCUCACCCACUCGCGCCACGCCCCUUAUCCCCUCCUCUUACAAACCCACACAAACUAAUCAUCGCCCACCACCCUCCAACGAUCACCAACCAAAACCCCUCCACACGCCCGCCCGCGCGCGCCACGGACGCAGCAAUGGCCGCCCUCGCCGCCUCCAUCGCCACCUCCACGGCGUUCGCCGCGAAGCCGCGCCUGUCCCGCCCGCCGGCGCGCCUCUCCGUCUCCUGCUCCGCGUCCAGCGGCGACAACAACAACAGCACCGCCACCCCCUCGCUCUCCGCCUCCAUCAAGACCUUCUCGGCCGCGCUGGCGCUCUCCUCCGUGCUCCUCUCCUCCGCCGCCACCUCCCCGCCCCCCGCGGCUGCCGACAUCGCCGGCCUGACCCCGUGCAAGGAGUCCAAGGCCUUCGCCAAGCGGGAGAAGCAGUCGGUCAAGAAGCUCAACUCGUCGCUCAAGAAGUACGCGCCCGACUCCGCCCCGGCGCUCGCCAUCCAGGCCACCAUCGACAAGACCAAGCGCCGGUUCGAGAACUACGGCAAGUUCGGCCUGCUCUGCGGCUCCGACGGCCUGCCCCACCUCAUCGUCAGCGGCGACCAGCGGCACUGGGGCGAGUUCAUCACCCCCGGCGUGCUCUUCCUCUACAUCGCCGGCUGGAUCGGCUGGGUCGGACGCAGCUACCUCAUCGCCGUCAGCGGCGAGAAGAAGCCCGCCAUGAGGGAGAUCAUCAUCGACGUCGAGCUCGCCGCCAGGAUCAUCCCCAGGGGCUUCAUCUGGCCCGUCGCCGCAUACCGCGAGCUCAUCAACGGCGACCUCGUCGUCGACGACGCCGACAUCGGCUACUAAGAAGCUGCCAUGCGUGCGUGCGUGCGUGGUUGGCUAGUCGGUCCCAAGUCAGGUGAGCUCUGCAUCCAUGCCUGAAUGUGUUCUGCUCUGUCAUGCCAUGCCAUGGCUCAACUGAUUAACUUGUCUUGCGUUCUUGUUUGCUUUGGCAGAUGGGCAGCGGAGGAUGAGGGCUUGUGGUGUCGAUCUGUGUGGGCUUGGUGUAGGAGCUGAUAGGAUCAUGGAGAAAUGGAACCUCUCUUGUAUUUAAGAAACUGAACCCAAUCUUGUAUAACUAUUGUGUUCUCUCUUCACAUGUGUGUAUUUUACCAUUGUUCAAAUUGUUGAGAACGAUUUUAUUAUGCACAGCAUACUAUGAGUGCAACUGCAUCAACAUACAUAGGAAACUCAACUCAGAGAAAAGGUUGAUUUUUGUUAUAAGAAUACAAGCCAAAUAUCUACUGCAGUAGCAAAUUUAACAUACAUGAUCCACAUGGAGCAAUAUGAAAGAUCGGUGCUGCUUCUCACAUUCUCACAACACUAUACAGACUACUCCCCCGGGUCUUAUAAUAUAAGAUAUUAUUACAACAAAUGCACUCACUUGAGCCUCUUAUGGUGUGGAAUAUUUGAGAGAGGGAAACGGCAGAGUUUUGGACAACACUCACAGCACACUGCGAAGAAUCGUAGACCGAAUGAAGGCCGAUCCCAGGCAGUGGGUUGUUUGAUCUUCGCAUAGGUUGUUCGGUCAGCAAGGCUUAAUUAUCAGUUUCUGGUGUAGGUCGUUUUGUAAGGACUGUGUGUUGUUUUCCCUUUGUUUCUUUUCAGUGCAGUCACAAUUUCAUCUGGAGCACCCUUUUGCAACGGGCCAAACUCCAGGAGGUCAUUUCUUGAAUGGGUCGGGAGCUCCUCCCAUGGUGGAUUGUGGCCAGAGUUGCCCUUCAAGGGAAAGAUAAGAAGAAUGCCCGGCUCUGAGAUCAGAGCCCUGGUCGUUUGGGCUACAUGGAGAGGGGAAUGCCUUAACAAUGAAGUCACGCCCUUUUCUUCAGGCCGUGAGCAAGCUUAAAUUAGAAGCUGGUUUUGGCGAGGAAGACUGUAUGCUCUAGGUGUUUCAGAGAAUGAAACAUGUAUAUAUUCAGGUUGUGGGCCGUCGCCAGCAGCAAUGGAUUGGUGAUUAUUCAAGACAGCGGCUGAAUUGAUUCGUAUAUAUGGACAAUAAAACAUGUAUAUUUGGACAGCUCUGACCCUGAAGGUUGCAACCAUGAUUCCAAAAUACACGGGAAAUUCACCUUAGCAAAAAGAUUUAUUAACAUGAUUACACCAAGUUCAGCAAUACAAAUAUUUGCUCCUGGGCAUCCAAGACAAGGCAAGUGCCCUGUUUUUCCAAAAGAUUGUUCUUUAAGAAUACAACACAAAAUGCCUACUGCAACCAGUAGCAAAUUCAGCAACAUGCUGAACAAUAUUGCCUGUUACUACUCACAAGUCACAACACUUUCGAUACUUAUACAAACUACAAAUGCUUAUUCACACAAGAAUACUUGAAUCAAGGAUUGCCACCAUCAUGCUUAGUCUGGUAGAGGAAAGCCUGUUGCAGUGGUCUCUAGUUCAGUCACCAGUAGCCACCAUGAGAUUGGUUGUUGGAAUUCGGCAGUUCUGCUGAAACAAAAGAAACACACCAUCAGCGCAAUUUCAACUUUUAAGCAGACAGGGUUUCAACAGUUUAGUAGAAUGGUAGUCAUCAGUCAAGCAUAUACGCUCUGGUUAUUGUGAAGGUGGACAUCAAUUUGCUAUCAUCAGAAGUUAAAAUUGUCAAGCUCUGUGAUUUAGCAGCUUAGCUUAUAUCAACAGAAGUUAUCACUGUGGUUAUCAUGGGUAUUGAAAACCGCAUACCGUUGUUAGGAGGUAUGAAGCCCUGACCCGCCACAUGUGCUUCUUCUACUACUCCUAGCAGUUCCUGGAAACGCAGGAACAAACAUCAUCAUGACAUAGCAAACGGAGAAAAAAGAUCUAAAGCCAUGUGAUUGCCAUAGACUGAUAUAAUUGGCCUGAGAGAAGAUAACUGGUCUGUUAUAAAGAAAAAUUCCCAUGACACAUCUAACUUAUUGGAAAGAAGCACAUACUUCAAUUGUAUAUAACGCAUUGACGGUCCCAGACUGAUCAUGGUUAAGUGAAGAGGUUCCCUGACUAACUCCACCUGAGGAAGUGCCAACACCAACAUAUCAGGACCCAAUAAUGCAUAAUGGAGAAGUGAUUUGAAUGUCUAGAGCAUUGCCUAUACUAUCACAUUAAGAAAACUAGAUAUAGCAAGCACGCCUCUUACAAGACAAAGAAUUACCAGGAGCAGCAGUCAUCAAGGAGCUUGAGUAUCCAUUGUGUUGGGCAGUUAGAUAUGUACGAGUCAUUGAGUUGUUCUCUUCAGCCUACAUCCAGGAAAUAUUUGAAGUUGGCAAUGAAUUGUUGGAUGGAAUAGUUGAUUCUGUCACAAGUAUCUUUACUUACUGGUGCAAAAUUGUGGGAUUGGCUGAUUGACCAGGCUGAGAAUGAUCCCUGACCAUCGACGUUUCCAUGGGUGAAAUAGGGAGGAAUUCCAUUACACAGUGUAGAAGGAUCCUGCUGAUAUAGUUCUACAGCAAAUUGAUUGCGAAAACUGUGAGUAGCAAUAAUAAUGCUUUUUGCACAGAGGCAGCACUCACAAUGUGGUCUAUGUUUGAUACAAAAUUGGGCAUGUGUUCAGUAUUUACCUUGAUGCGUAACCUGUUCAUGACUGGACUGUGCAAAUGGUGGUCCUUGAUUCGAAGGACCAGCAACAUUGUUUGCAAAGAUCUGUGCCAGUGGGAAUCCACUCUCCUGCAGAAAUGGUUGUUGCUCACCAAAUUCUGCAGUUGUUUGAUUUUUGGAAGUACUGGCACCGUUGUUCGGAGGUGCUGCCGGGACAAGGCGGCCGUUACUCAGGAAGUAAUCAGGGACAAGACGCCCUGAGUUCUCCAGCUCCUCAAAUUUCUUGUAUGCAGACAUUUUCCAAUUCUUCACUUUAAGCUGUAACAGAAAAUUCGAAUGUAAUUACCAGCACGCUAUUAUUUUAGUGACUAUCAACUGCCUAACCGUGAUAGAAGUGGAAGAGUGUUAGAUGCAGUACCUGUGGAAACUGAUCGACGUCACUGACACUGUACGGAACAUAGACAUCAGUCAUCUUACCGACAACAUCAUAGAAAUCAUUGAAUAAUAUUUCACAAUUAUCCUCUGGAACCCAAUACGAAUAGAUCUCAUCCCCAGGAACAGACAUGGUAGCAUGUUCAAUCAUGGAAUUCCAAUCCCCAUUCUUCAUGCCAGCAAGCUAAUUGCCAUAAAUUAAAAACUAACUUAUCAAUUAAUAAAAUGCCAACAGAUAUUACAUUUAGCAGUACACGUCCAAAUAAGUCCUAAGAUAUGCUGGACAUCUUAUCCUGAUCCAGAAAUAUCAAUAUAAACUGCAUAUAUACCUCUUGGAGACCAAAUUUAUCUUUGUGAUAAUGGCGCAACAAGUGCUUCACUUUCGUAAUAUUUUUCUCCACAAGGUUAUUCCAAUGUUUUCCCUUUAAGCAAAUUUUCUUCAGUUGAUGUAUAGCGUCUUCCUUGGAUGGAAUAGAACUCUUCUCAUUUGCUGAAAUAGGCAAAAAGGUUGGGUGUGUUCAGCGUUCGGACAAGAUUGCUAAUAUGAAAUGAGAUCGUUUUAGGUAUAUUUCCAUCUGUUAGUUUUGACGAAAGGAUUAAUGUCAAGGUAAAUUGCAAUCAAUUUAUUGUUGAUAUACCACCUACAACAUUGAAAAACUACAACGGUUCACACCCUUUCUCCAUUACACACGGAAUGUACAAGUCGACAUAAACUGUGUACUGAGCAAAGAAGAGUGACUCACAGUACUGCUACCCUUUUUUGGCAGAACAAGUCAUCCCCUUCAAAAAGCAAAACAUUUAGUGCCAAAAUAGCAUAUUUUGAGGUAAAGUAAUGUCAUUUCGUGCACAAGGCCAGAACUGUUUUUUGAAAGAUAUACUAUGUGCUGUAAAAAAUUCUUUAUUAUUCAAAUCAGCUUGUCAGACACUUAAAAGAGAAUCAUGCUCUUCACCUGACUAUGCAGUGCACCUAUAAUUCGAUAUAGUUAAAAAAAUGGCUCCGAAUAGAUAAGUGAAUAUACUCACAUUCACUUCGACGGUCUUUGACGACAAAAGGAUCAGUUAUUGCUUCCUGAACUCUGACAGUAAGAUCCUGCCUUUUCACUCGAGCUGUUAAUCUUAACUUUUUCCCGUGGGAGCUCUCUGGAAAGGAGAAUGAACCAAGAGAGGACUCGCCGUUUGUAAGACUAACGGUUGUCAAGACCGACUCUNNNNNNNNNNNNNNNNNNNNNNNNNNNNNNNNUCUUUCCCUUUAUACAUAUAAAUUUGCUUGCUGAAUUCAUCUUUGGUGAAAUCCUCUUGUCCGGUAAAGAAAUCAGCAUGAACAGGUAAGAUCUCAAUUUGCAAUUUAGAAAGAUCACCCUGCGUGAUUGGCUUCUCAUUUUGAAGUAUUGCUACUUUAGCGUUUGCUCCAUUCUUCCAUACUGGACAACGAGUGAAAAGUGUAUCUUUUGGUCCUGCAACAUCAAAGUGUAGCUUGACGACUCCAGUGAUGCUUCCAGUUUCAGGAAAGCCUUCCGAUACAUGCCUAAAAUUUAGAACAGGACGAGAGUGAGACAGUAACAAGAAAGGAAACUUCACAGAUUAUUUAGAAAGGAAAUACCACUUGGUUUGGCAGAUUUUUAGUGUCAAUGACAUGAAUAAAAAACAAUAGAGCAUUAAGUAGAGGAACUAUGCAUGUCCAAUUGUCCAGUGCUCAACUUGUAAUGCAGAACUAGUGCUGACAACUGUAGGAGGACAUAGGAGAAAAAUUAUAAUAUCAGGUACCUAGGAGGAGGCUCAUGAACGGCACUAGGAAGCGAAGCGGCUUGUUGUUCCUGCAUCUAUUGCAUGAUAUAACAAAAAGGAGUUAGGAUAGAGGUAGACAAUAAGGGAAAGAUUCCAAAAAAGGGAAAAGCAUAUUACGUCCAUACUGACCUUUGUCUGUACAAUUGACUGAACCUUAUCUUCGAUGCGUCCCAUAAUAGAACUGUUGGAUACAGCACAACAAGUGAAUAGAUAAAAAUAAUUAAGCAAAGGGGAAGCAUUAUCCAUCACAUCCACAACAUUCCAAAGUUGAAUACUACUCAACACAUAAACUCGUAAGGCUGCUUCCGUAUACUGAUACUAUAUUAUGCAGGUAUGGUUAUUACUGAAAGAAGAAGAAGAAAUCCAUGGUUUAUCCGUGCUCCAUGAAUCGAACUUGAUUAAUCAUCUGAGACUGAAGUAGUAUGAUUGUCAAGUUUUCCGUUGUAUAUAUACAUAGCCAGCAUUCAUAUGAAAGAGAAUAAUAGCUAGCCGUGUGUUUUUCAGAGGAUAAAGACUGGCAAGCAAGUCAGCAUCUCAAUCAUUACUUUCCUUUCCUUUAUUGGUCUGUAACUACGAGUAGUACUCCUACCUACUCCAGGAGGGAAAAUCGUUGCCGUACGUACCUAGAGCGAUCCAAAAUUCAAAGUAGAGUACAGCAUAUGAACCGUGACACUACACAUGGAUGUAUGUUUGUGGUUGAGAGCAUGUGUGUACCUCUGGAAAGCACCGAAAUGCUCCCCCAAAACUCUCUCCAGCCUCUCCAUGAUGGAACUCGCCACGUCGCGCUGCGCCUGUCGCGCCCCACGAAAAACAAUUGAAACAGUCCCGCCGGACCUGUCAGCCAUCGCCGGCCACGAAAGACGAAACCAAACGCGCGGCGAGGAGGAGGAAAUGCGGGGGAGAGGGGAACCGCGAUGAAUCGGCCUCACCUGGCGAAGCAUCCGCGCCAUCUGGCCGAUGGUGACCACCCUCGCCUUCCCCUCGUCCCUGCGGCGGCCGGGGCCGCGGAUCCGCGCGAAGCAGACGAUAGCGAGGGGUCAGUCUCGAAUCGUGGAAGCAAUGGAGAGAGAAGAGAAGAAGCGGCGGCUGACGCCGGCGCAGGAGGCCGGAAGGUACUCACAGCCACAUGACGAGGAGCCCCGCCCGCCGCAGCCGCUUCCUCGGGGAACACACCGCCUCCGGCUCCCGCUCCUGCUCCGGCUCCGGCGCGACGGCGCCGAGCGGCCGCUUGUUGUGCGCGCGCGCCGCCAUCACGCGCUUCGGGCGGGGUCGACGUCCCUCGGGUGGAGCGCGGCGGCGGUGAGCUAGCCGGGGCGGGGCGGAUGGGGAAGAAUGGUGAUGCCGCUGCCGUCGCCGUUGCCGUUGCCGUUGCCGUGAUGGGGAUUGGGGGGUUUGGGUUGAGCACUCGAGCUUGGAGCUUGCCGCUUGUCUUGUCUGCUGACGCGUGCACUGCGCUUAGAAAUAGGAGAGUUGGAGGGAGGAGGCCAAGGCGAGAUGGAGAAGCUGCGUCAUGUUAGCCGUCACGCACUCCCCCAGCGGCGGGAGGGGAAGACCGACCAUGGCGCUGGCGCGUAGAGUGCGACGUCAGGGGUGGGAGCUACGCGCCGUGCUGGGCUCGGGCCGGGGUGGUGGUGGCCCGCAGGUCUCUCGGGCUUGCCGCGCCACGGCCGGGCGGCUGCGCACUCCUCAUGUCGUCACCCCCGUACAACAUGUUCGACGAAAUUGGCCUAUAUAAAAAAAAAACAAGUUUUCAUUUUUGGUUCGUUCGGCGUCCAUUCUUUCUGGUUUAGCUGAUGAUGACAGUGACACCUGUCCCUCACAGCAGCUCGUCGUCACUUUCAACUUGCAAGCACAAGUCGUCAAUGGUUGACAUCCGGACGACCUCUUCUCUAACCUUGUGACAACACGAAUAGUAUCAUUCUGUACAAACCACAAACCGGCCUGUGCUCAAGUCCUUCCAUUCCUUCGUCGUCACCGCCGGAGCAUGGCGUCCAAGCGUGCUCGGCGACGACCGUCGGCAGUCGCUGAGCUAUAGGGGAAUGAUUGGGAUUCGGCCACCUACUGUUGCAAGGGAAGUAGUGAUAAUUCUAUGAAGAGUUUCUACGGUCGGCCCAUCCUAGCUCACUGGCCUAGCUCCACUACUGUCUAUCGUCGGCCAGUGGGUUGUAUCUUCCAUCCUUCCACACACGCGGAUUAAACCGUGAACGCAGAUGUGGGGUGCUUUCUACCUGGAGGCGUCGACCUAGAGCCGGUGUCUGAUGUCGAGCUAGGAGUGAAAGAAGGUGCCUUCCCCUCUUCCCACCGUGAUUGGGUUGCCAUGACGUGAAUGGUUGGCGGUGUAUAGGGGCAUGGAUGCCGGGGUGAUGGUCCCGGAAGAUGGCCUUCACGGUUGGCUAUCCGAUAGGCUCCAUGAGGGUGGUGGUACCUCCACCUCUUGUAGUGGCGUAGUCAGCCUGAUGUAUCAGGGUGGCCCGGUUAUAAAAAUAUUACAAUUUUUUAUUUAUUUAACAGAAAUAAUGUUUUACUACAUUAUGCACAAUCUAUACGAGAAUUCCAGGAUGAUCCAUGGACCAUCUUGUCCACCCCCUAGCUACGUCACUGACCUCUUAGUCGUGUGAGCGGCAAGGGGUGUAGUGACGGGAGGCAAUGUGGUUUUCUCUAUCAAUGUACAAGUCUGCUAUAGAUGGGCCAACCCUCGUUGUGGCGGUGAUCGAGGCCCCCUCCUGGUGGUGUAGGCAAGUGUCCAAGUGAAAGCUUUGCCCCUCUGGCGUGCCCCUUGCUUCCUGAAGACGCCAUCGUGACUCUCGCCUCUGUGCCAAACCUUUCUCCGGCUGCUCGGACUCCAUAGCGGCGACACUUCGCACCGUCACCCUGGGCGUUGUUGUGGAGUUCAGGCAUAGUCGGUGACGUGUUAGGCUUGUUCUAGGCGUUUUGUUGUAUCUUUUGAUGUGCUUCGUAAGAGGGUCUUUUCAUCACUUUGUAUCAUUCGGUUGUGUACUCUGGUAAGUUGCUUUAUUUAUAAAGUAGGAUGAAAAAGUCUCGAGAGAGAGUUAUGUUCAUAUACACCAAUUAACAUCCAACCAUGUUGGUCCCUGGACCGACAUGCCUAGGGAGGGCUCCUUUUGAUGAGGUGGCAGUCAACGGUGGUGUGUUUCGCCGUCGUUGUUCGUCCUUGUGGUUACCCCUUCUACAUGCAGCAGCAGCCUCACUGCGGACUAUGGUGACCACUGAAAUGACUUUGUGAGGAUUUCUUUUUAAAAAACCAUCGGGUGCCUUUGGCGAUGAGAUGCAAUCUAUGGACGACAGCUUGACGCAGAGGAUAUGUUGUGCAAUGGAGGAGGGUGCACAUCAUAUGUAGCUGCUGAAUUGCGGAAAAGAGGUGGUGACAACACUUGAGUGACUUCCAUGGUGGUGCUCGUUCAGUCUCAAGCUCCGAGCUUAAAGUCUAGGUCUGAUCGGAGUUGGUUAUACGUGUCAAUGACGAUGUUUUUGUGUCAUCAUCUUUUUAAAGACUUUGCUAUUUGUGAGUGUAUUUUCGGUGUUGGUGUUAGCUAUGUGCUUCCUAGCUAUACAGAGGUCGGGUGUGAUGUGUUUGUAUCCGCUUGAUGUUUUUAUUUUGAGUGAAUAAAACCCAUCCUCUGUAAAAAAAAAAACAUCAAUUAACAUGCAUCCCAACCGCGUCCCUGAUCCGCUUAUCAGAACUUCUUUAUUGGGAAACUAUAUCCAACUCUCGUUGCGUUGCCAUUAGUACCUCCUCUUUUCCCAUUCCGUUUCUUUUAAAGGACAAAAGUGGGUGUGAGCUCGUUCUGUUUUCUGAUACUUUGGUAAGUCAGCAUUAAUUCUUGGCCUAUGUGAAAAAGUUAAUUCAAGUAGUAAUUCUCUUGCUUAACUAAGAAUAUAUAGUUCCCUCAACAGGAACAAAGAAACUGAGAACAUGCAUGUAGCAACACAGACUGAAUGCAGAACCCUCUUCGCUUGGACAUAAUUGAGUACCCAGCUUGCAUGUUUUGAUCAGAUCAGUCCUGUAGAUAUACAACCCAACCUCUAACAUUAACGACCCAUCUGGGGAUGAUACACUGCCAUAUCGCUGGCUGGUCAGAUCAUCUUCACCGAAGCCCUGCUCGUAACCAGCCCAUUGCUCCUGACCUGCGUCGAGAAAAAUACAGAGAUCAAUCAUUCUACAGGAAUACGAAAUGCAUAACCCGCAAAAGGCACAACCUGCAGAAGAUACCGAUGACCAUCCACGCUGAUCCCAACUACUACAAUGGUGGCAUGCAGGCGGUAACGAGNNNNNNNNNNNNNNNNNNNNNNNNNNNNNNNNAGCGUGGAGCGCGUAAGCAGCGCGCGCGCGCGAACAUGAUGAGCUGAAAAUGGCGGGAGGCAAAGAUAUAUAGGCAUUGCACAAGCCGCCACAAGGAGACGGUCGACAAGUCGUCUUGUGUGAACGGCGGAGGCGGUGCGCGGACCGCGCGCGCGCCCGGGGAUCGGACGCGGAAAAUCCCUGCGAUGCUUCUCCGUCCGCUGAAACCGUAAUUUACAAUACUUCGGAGAAGCGCGUGGGGACGGGAGAGGAGAAGACCAGGCUGCGCUGCUGCGUAGGACGGGGAAUUUCCAUUCCUUUUCCAUACAGUUUCCGUGGGGUUUUCCGGGGAUGUUCUCGGCGUAUUUUGGUCUGACUUUGCGGGUUUCAUCGAGAUUACCUAGAGGCUAGGCUAGUCUCCAAAUCCUCCGACGGUGGAGAAGACUGAUCGGCCUCUUUCACACUAACUAUGCAUUCUUCCUGGAAAGUUGAACGCGGCUUCCAGCAUUAUUUUUUCUGAGUUACCCUCGAGACUUUUCUUCGCUGGCCUGGGCAGAUUGUAAAUUUGUAAUGCAUAGGUUCUUCCUUCACUAGUAGAAAAUUAGGAUUUUUGGUUUGGACGGAAUUGGGAGAAAACUUAAGAUGGAGUUCAAUGAACUUUUUUUUUUUUUUUGAGCAGGAGCUGAAUGACUAGACAAUUGGAAAGAUUAAAGGGUGCAAGGUGUAAAACAGUGAAAGUGACAGAAUGAUGGAACAUUUAUUAUUGAUUGAACAUGCGGGGUAUUUAUACCCCGAGUACGUUACAAGGAACGGUUGCUAAAUCAAGGCAACCGGUAACGCAUGGAUUAUCCCAUUAAUUAAUACAUUUAAUUAAUUCAUAACACUCCUCCUAAUCCAUGCUUGUCUUUGUAAAUGUGCAUCAUCUUGAUAAAUAAUAAUCGUUGUAAGUUUUUCUCUUUAAGAAUGUUCCUCAUCUUCAUCUUGAAAAAUCGUUGUAUAAUCUUUAAAGUCUCCUCCAAAAACCCUGUGGGAAAAAUAUGAGGAGAAUAGUGUAGAUAUGUUGCUAAAACUCCUUUAAACCCAGUGGAAAAAUAAUAAGGAGAAAAUUGUGCAACAUAUAAUGAUUAUUGCCUCAUGAUAACUCAUUUGAGAAAACCUUUAUAGAGGGAUAAAACUCAUUUUUGAGUUUAGAGAACAAUAUAUGUCUUGAGUACUUCCUUUAAAAACCCUGAUAGGAAAAAUAGAAAGUAUGAUAUAUGAUCAUUGAUAAGAUAUUGCCUCAUUAAAAACAUUAUGAGAGAAAAUUUCAAAGAAACUCAUAAUGAAAAGAGUGCAAUGAGAUGUGCCAUGGAAAACUCCUUUAAAACCUAGUAGGAAAAAUAUAAGGAGAAAUAUGAUAUGGCAUGCAUCAAUGCUUGUAUUUAAUUCUCUCAUUAAAAACCUUAUAUGAGAAACCUAUUGGAAAAACUCAUAAAGGAAAAGAGUACAAUAUUCAUUACCUGAUGAUAAUUAAAGGGUUAUAUUUUCAGGAGAUUUCUCCCCCUGAACUUUGCAAAUCUCGGAAUCAUUUCAUACCAAUUCCAUGAAUGUAUUUCUGGAACGUUGAAUUUGGUAAAGACUUUGUGAACAAAUCUGCUAGAUUGUCACAUGAUUUAGUUUGCAAAAUAUCAAUUUCUCCAUUUUUCUGUAAUUCAUGAGGGUAGAACAAUUUAGGAGAAAUGUGUUUUGUGAUAUUACUUUUUAUAUAACCCAUUUGCAUUUGAGCAACACAAGCUGCAUUAUCUUCAUAAAUAAUAGUUGGUGAUCCUAAUGAACCAACACCACAUGUAGUUUGAAUGUGGUUAAUCAUCCUGCGAAGCCAUACACAUUCUUUUGAUGCUUCAAAUAAUGCAAUGAUUUCAGAAUGAUUAGUGGAAGUUGUUACGAGAGUCUGUUUUGUUGACUUCCAUGAAAAAGCAGUUCCACCAUAUAGGAAUACGAAACCUGUUUGUGACCUGGCAUUGUGGGGAUCAGAUAGAUAGCCAGCGUCAGUAUAUCCUACCAUAGUCAUGUCUUGGUUUUUCUGAUAGAAUAAGCCAAGAUCUUUUGUGCCAUGUAAAUAUCUAAGGAUAUUCUUUACUCCCGUCCAAUGACGUUUUGUUGGAGCAGCGCUAUGUCUAGCUAGUAAAUUUACCUCAAAUGCAAUAUCAGGCCUGGUGCAAUUUGCAAGGUACAUUAGCGCACCAAUGGCACUGAGAUAUGGGAACUCAGGUUCCAAUAUCUCUUCGCCAUUACCCCGAGGUCUAAAAGGAUCUUUAUUCACAUCAAGGGAUCUGACAACCAUGGGUGUUUUGGUUGGAUAUGAUUUAUCCAUAUUAAAUUUUUCCAAAACCUUUUGAAUAUAGGCAGGUUGGUAUACUAAAAUUCCUGAGGGAAGGUGCUCAAGCUGUAAGCCUAAGCAGAAUUUGGUUUUUCCCAAAUCUUUCAUCUCAAAUUCCGCCAUUAGAUGAUUGCGUGCUUCUUCAAUAUCAGGUGUACUUCCAAUGAUACUGAGGUCAUCAACGUACACUGAGAUGAUGCAAAAUCCAUUUGAGGACUUAUUUAUAAAUACACAAGGGCAAUCAUCAUUAUUUGAGUAGCCUUUCUGAAUAAGGAACUCACUUAGUCGGUUGUACCACAUUCUACCCGACUGUUUUAAGCCAUAUAGGGACUUCUGUAAUUUUACACAAUAUGCGUUGCGAUUUGCUUUUGGAUUCGGCAUUUUAAGUCCUUCAGGGACUUUCAUAUAUAUAUCCGAUUUGAGUGACCCAUAUAAGUAUGUUGUCACUACAUCCAUCAACUGCAUAGAUAAACUCAUUUGUACUGCCAUGGAUAUUAAGUAUCGAAACGUUAUUCCACUCAUAACAGGAGAGUAUGUAUCAUCGUAAUCGAUGCCGGGUCUCUGCGUGAACCCUUGUGCUACAAGCCUCGCUUUGUAUCUCACCACCUCAUUGUUUUCGUUCCUUUUUCGAACAAAAACCCAUUUUGCUCCCACGGGGAAGACAUUUUGAGGAGUAGGUAUUACUGAGGAAAACACCUCUCUUUGGUUGAGCGAGUGCAGUUCUGCCUCAAUUGCUUCCUUCCAUUUAGGCCAAUCAGGACGCUUGAGGCACUCCCUGACGGUCUUUGGUUCUGGAUCCAGUUGAAGGGUUUCAGCAAUUUCAGAGGCAAAAUAUAUGUCGACAAUUGUAGUCUCUCUAUUAUAUGAUUCUCCGGAUUCUAUAUAGUUUAUGGAAAUUUCUUUUAUACCUUCAGACUCUAUGUGAUUUUCCACAACAAUAGAGUCAUGGUGUUCCGAUGUCCCAGCUAUUAUGUUUUUAUGCGCAUUUAUGCUGGGUUCAAGAUGUUGAGCAUCUGGUUGGUGUCCUUCAACUUGAGGUUGAAUUGCAUUUCGUGGUAGAGGAGUUGUUUUCCUCUGUUUCCGUGGAGGCUUUUGAGAAGCUAUAUUCCGGCUAACCAGAUUUCUCCCCCUCUUACUCUCAUUUGGGGUUGGAGUGGUUUUAGUUGGUACCUCGACUCGUUCUGGUGCAUUAACUGCGGGAAUAUGUGAUUUAAUGACACCUUUAUGGUCAGUAAAUGCAUCUGGCAGAUUAUUUGCAAUGUGUUGCAAAUCUAUGAUCCUUUGAACUUCAGUUUCAGAUUCUUUAGUACGUGGAUCUAAGGACUGAAUGCCUGUUACAUUCCAAUCUAUUUCCUGGCAUUCUUUGUGGUUUGAUUCUCCCCCUAAUGCCGGGAAAUGGUCCUCAUCAAAAAUUGAAUCAGCGUAGCGGGCAGUAAACAGGUCCCCUGUAAGAGGUCCAAGAUAUUUAAUAAUUGACGGAGAAUUAUAACCCACAUAGAUCCCUAGUUUUCUGUGGGGGCCCAUUGUUGUACGCUGCUGUGGUGAUAUCGGUACGUAUACUGCGCAACCGAAUUUUCGCAGAUGGGAAAUACUUGGCUGAGUGCCACGUACUAGUUGUAGUGGGGAGGUUGUAUGAUAUGCAGUUGGUAUAAUUUGUAUCAGAUCUGCGGCGUGUAAUAGCGCAUGUGCCCAACAAGAUGCUGGUAAAUUACAAUUCUGUAAUAGUGGUCGAGCAAUUAAUUUUACUCUUUUGAUGAGAGAUUCAUCCAAACCAUUUUGAGUAUGGACGUAAGGCACAGAGUGUUCUAAAUGAAUGCCCAUAGCCAUGCAAUAGUCAUUGAAUGCACGUGAAGAAAAUUCAGCGGCAUUGUCCAUUCGAAUUGUUUUUAUCCUAUUUUCAGGAUGAUUUGCUCUUAAUUUGAUAAUUUGAGCAAUUAGUUUGGCAAAAGCAUGAUUUCGUGUGGACAAUAGACAUAUAUGUGACCAUCUGGUAGAUGCAUCUAUGAGCACCAUGAAAUAUCUAAAAGGUCCUGAUAGUGGUUGAAUUGGACCACAUAUAUCUCCUUGAAUGCGUUCAAGAAAGUUAAGUGACUCACUUUUUACCUUAAGAUAAGAUGGUCUUAUAGUUAAUUUCCCAGUUGCACAUGCGGUGCACACAAAAUCUGAUGAUUUUGGAAAAUUUUCAGUUGGAAGGCUGUGACCGAUAGAAUUGUCAAUAAUUUUUCUCAUCAUCCCUACUCCAGGAUGACCUAGGCGAUCAUGCCAAGUCUUGAAUUUAUCAAGAUCUUGAAAAAUUAUUUUGUAUGCAACAUGUGGUACGGGUUUUAUAUAACUGUAAUAUAAUCCAGAUGAAAGUGAGGGGAAUUUCUCAAGAAUUUGUUUCUCAGACCCAUUACUCUUUGUUAAAAGCAAAUGUUCAGAAUUAUUUUCAGAUAUUGUUUCCAAAUGGAAGUUAUUUGAUCUGAGGUCUUUGAAACUUAGAAGAGUGCGUGUAGAUUCAGGAUACAAUAGUGCAUCCUCAAUUACAAUUGUAGUACCCAUAGGUAGAACGAGUGUGGCUCGUCCUGAACCAAUAAUCGACGCAUCGCGGCCGGCAAUGGUCAUAAUAUUCCCUUUUCUCUUAGUUAGAGUUUGGAAAUAUUUUAUUUCCCUUAAUAUUGUGUUAGUGGUACAAGUGUCCACCAAACAUAAUUCUUCUUCCAUUGGAUUAUUUUCCCGUAAAAUCUAUAUAGAGUAAAAUAAUAUUUUAGGAUGAAACUUUAUUCAUAUUACUCACAUAUAUAAAUAUAUAUNNNNNNNNNNNNNNNNNNNNNNNNNNNNNNNNNNNNNNNNNNNNNNNNNNNNNNNNNNNNNNNNNNNNNNNNNNNNNNNNNNNNNNNUCACAUAUAUAAAUAUAUAUAUACAAAGUAUUUAUAUUACAGUUACAAAUAUAAAUAUGAUAUUAUGUUUAAAGACAUAAUACGAUUGGUCCGUAGGACUUUAUUCUACUUAGAAUUAUACAAAUUAUAACGUCCAUUAUUACAAUAAAAUAGCUGAUAACAUCAAAUGAAUGAUGUGGAGAUUAUAUAAGAUCUCCAUAUGCGUCUUGGGUGUAUUCCACCAUCAUGUUGUCAACAUCAAGAAGACCUUCAUCCUUCUGCCUUGUUUCCUUAGGAGCGCUUUGAGAAGUGCUAGCUUCAAGGUUUUCUUCUUGUUGUAAGGCGUUGAAGUGAGCUUCAGCUUUUCCAUGAACUUGUUUGCCUUUUCCAGUGGAUUUGAUGUAUAAAUCCGCUAGAUGCUUGGGAGUUCGGCAUUUACUAGUACGAUGGUUUGUACAUCCACACCUUUGACAAAUCUCGGAGUUGGUGUUUCGGUCAUUUUUCUUGAAGUGACCUUUACCUUUAGAUUGACCAAAGUUUUUCUGUUUGUUGUUCCUUUUCCACUUUCCAUUGAAUUUCUUGAAAUUCUUUUUGUUGGCCCCAUACUUUUUAGUAAACUGAGUGUUAGCAUGUGCUUCAGGGAGUGGCAUUGAGCCCGUUGGGCGUGUGUGAUGAUUCUUCAUGAGAAGUUCAUCAUGUUUCUCAGCCUGAAGUAAAGUGUAUAUGAGCUCAGAAUACUUUUUGUAUUUUUGUUGACGGUAUUGCUGUUGUAGUUACCUCAUCGAGGGGUGGAAAGUGCACAAGGUCUUCUCAAUAAGGUCUUCUUCAGAAAUUGCUUGAUUGCAAAACCUUAGUUUUGAGUUAACCUUGUGAACUGCAGAGUUAUAUGCUGCCACCGAUUUGAAAUCUUGGAACCUUAUGAGGGACCAUUCUCUCUGUGCUUCCGGCAGCAUGACUGCUCUUUGCUGGUCAUAUCUCUCCUUGAGAGAGUUCCACAAAACUAGUGGAUCUUCUUCCAUCAAAUGUUCUGACUUUAAGUCCGGAUGGAGAUGGUGCCUUAAGAAACUUAAAGCAGUAUAUCUGGCUGCCGUGGGGAUUUCUCCGGCGCCUUCAUCGGGUGUGAUGAUAGUGGAACCGAGUUUACGACUUUCAAGGGCUAUCUUUCCAUCCAUAGCCCAUGAUAAAUAGUUACUACUAUCUAGUUCAAGUUCAUGAAAUUUACGAUGCAUGACACCAGCCAUUUCCUGCAUGGUAUUUUCAUGCAUAAUUUAGUUUUACUAUGAGAGUAAAAUAUAAGUUACAACAAAUGCUUUAGGAAGCAAAAUUUUCAAGUAUAGCUGAUGCUUUAUCUGUAGACCUCAUUUUAUGUAUAUGACACUUCGAAAAUAUUCACCGUUGGGGUGUAGAUCCCACAGUAGUGGAGAACAUAGUCUGGUUUUGACCAGUAGAUGUUCGUAGUCCAUUACCUUGUGUCAUACUAUAUUUUAUAAAAACACUUUGAAGGUAGUCAUCUUGUCAAAAGACUAGAUGUAGACCUCUCAGCAAGAGUGGAUAAUCUGCAAAUUAUGCAGUAGAUCACACAAUUACCUUGUGAUUUGUAAAAAUUCGAGGUAGUCACAUUAAUUCGCAUAUUCGGGAGAGCACUCGAAGAUAGUCAUUUUGCCAAAAUAAUGAAGGCAAAAUGUCGAUCUUUCAGCGAUGAGGAUAAUCUGCAAAAUGCAGUAGAUGCCUCAUCUACCUUGUGAUCCCAAAAAUUUGAAUUAAAAAAAAUUGUACUUGAAAACUACAUAUUCUAAAAAAAGUGAAAAAUGCUGAGGCAAUUAUAUAAAAUAUGUACACAUAGUCUGAGACUUUAUUUUAGACGAUAUACAAUCUAAGUAUUCAUACGUACAGUACAAUACCGAGUGAAUAUGAUAAGGAGAGGUUCUUAAUACAAUAAGAUAUCACACUGAAAUAAAAGGAACAAUCUGCAGUGCAAUAUAGUAAUUGCAGCAUAGUAGUACUAUGAUUAAAACACAACGCUAAUAGUCACUUUAUUUCCUGGCAUGUAUGCCUUUUGGAGAGGAAACGUGGCUUGCAGGCCUUUUGGAGAGGAAAACGUGGCUUGGAGUUUGGAGUGGACGUGGCCUGUGUUGGACCAUAUACCGGUUGGAGAGAUGGAUAAGGGAGAGAGCAAGGCAGCAAGCCGAGGCCACACAGCCACUUCUCUCCUGUUUCCCAUAUUCUUCCCGAUGCAGACCCAAACACCUCAUCACUCCAGCCUCCUCUCCCCAUGGCUGCUUCAAGGAAAACGGGGUUGGCCCCGCAGCGCAGCCCGGCUACUCCGUUGCUACUUGCCUCCGGUGCGCCGGCGAAGCCCAGGGUGUCCGGCGACCACACGCCACGAAGUGCCGCCCGGUUCUGCGCCAUAGCAGCGGCGAACUGGCGCAGGAUCAGGCGGGCUUCCGGCGGUGGCGUCGGCGGAAGGGGCAGAGCCGGAGGAGGAGGAGGUGUCGCCGGUGAUGGAGGGGGGAGCGACGACCACAAGCCCAUGUACUCCAUCCCCUCUUCUUCAACCUUGAUCUGGACGUUCAAGACGGGGAUGGUGGGGUAACCGCCUCGUUCCUCUCGAUCCGGUGUCGCAGAUGGCAGAUCCGGGAUGGGGCCGGUGUGUGCAGCCGCUGGCGGCGUCGGGGAUGGCAGAUCCGGGACGUGGCCGUCCGUGCGCGCAGGGCAUGGCCCGAACUCGUGCUGCAUGCAGUAUGGAGGAAGAGGCGGCGGCGUAAGUUCACAAGGGAACAUCACAUCUUCCCCGAGGAACGACGCUGAUGGCCCUGCAAGAAGCCAAUCCAUGGGACGUAUGUUGAAAGCAGAUGGCGAAGUGGCCGGAGCCGAAGGCCCAGCUGUUGGGGAACGUCGCAUGGGAAACAUAAUUUUCCUACGCGCACGAAGACCUAUCAUGGUGAUGUCCAUCUACGAGAGGGGAUGAGUGAUCUACGUACCCUUGUAGAUCGUACAGCAGAAGCGUUAGUGAACGCGGUUGAUGUAGUGGAACGUCCUCACGUCCCUCGAUCCGCCCCGCGAACCAUCCCGCGAUCAGUCCCACGAUCUAGUACCGAACGGACGGCACCUCCGCGUUCAGCACACGUACAGCUCAACGAUGAUCUCGGCCUUCUUGAUCCAGCAAGAGAGACGGAGAGGUAGAAGAGUUCUCCGGCAGCGUGACGGCGCUCCGGAGGUUGGUGAUGACCUUGUCUCAGCAGGGCUCCGCCCGAGCUCCGCAGAAACGCGAUCUAGAGGAAAAACCGUGGAGGUAUGUGGUCGGGCUGCCGUGGAAAAGUCGUCUCAAAUCAGCCCUAAAACCUCCGUAUAUAUAGGUGGGAGGGAGGGGAGGAGCCACUAUAUAUAGGAGGAGGAGGGGGGAGACUUGCCUUGGGGUCCAAGGACUCCCAAGGGAGUCGGCCGAGCCAAGGGGGAAGGUCUCCCCCUCCCAAACCGAAAUCCACUUGGUUUGGAAGGUGGAGUCCUUCUUCCCUUUCCCACCUCCUUUUGUUUUCCGUUCCUCUUUGAUUUUCUUUCCUAUGCGCAUAGGCCUCUCUUGGGCUGUCUCACCAGCCCACUAAGGGCUGGUGCGGCACCCCAAACACCCAUGGGCUUCCCCGGGGUGGGUGCCCCCCCCCGGUGAACUCCCGGAACCCAUUCGUCAUUCCCGGUACAUUCCCGGUAACUCCGAAAACCUUCCGGUAAUCAAAUGAGGUCAUCCUAUAUAUCAAUCUUCGUUUCCGGACCAUUCCGGAAACCCUCGUGACGUCCGUGAUCUCAUCCGGGACUCCGAACAACAUUCAGUAACCAACCAUAUAACUCAAAUACGCAUAAAACAACUCGAACCUUAAGUGUGCAGACCCUGCGGGUUCGAGAACUAUGUAGACAUGACCCGAGAGACUCCUCGGUCAAUAUCCAAUAGCGGGACCUGGAUGCCCAUAUUGGAUCCUACAUAUUCUAUGAAGAUCUUAUCGUUUGAACCUCAGUGCCAAGGAUUCAUAUAAUCCCGUAUGUCAUUCCCUUUGUCCUUCGGUAUGUUACUUGCCCGAGAUUCGAUCGUCAGUAUCCGCAUACCUAUUUCAAUCUCGUUUACCAGCAAGUCUCUUUACUCGUUCCGUAAUACAAGAUCCCGCAACUUACAUUAAGUUACAUUGCUUGCAAGGCUUGUGUGUGAUGUUGUAUUACCAAGUGGGCCCCGAGAUACCUCUCCGUCACACGGAGUGACAAAUCCCAGUCUCGAUCUAUACUAACUCAACGAACACCUUCGAAGAUACCUGUAGAGCAUCUUUAUAGUCACCCAGUUACGUUGCGACGUUUGAUACACACAAAGCAUUCCUCCGGUGUCCGUGAGUUAUAUGAUCUCAUGGUCAUAGGAACAAAUACUUGACACGCAGAAAACAGUAGCAACAAAAUGACACGAUCAACAUGCUACGUCUAUUAGUUUGGGUCUAGUCCAUCACAUGAUUCUCCUAAUGAUGUGAUCCCAUUAUCAAGUGACAACACUUGCCUAUGGCCAGGAAACCUUGACCAUCAUUGAUCAACGAGCUAGUCAACUAGAGGCUUACUAGGGACAGUGUUUUGUCUAUGUAUCCACACAAGUAUUGUGUUUCCAAUCAAUACAAUUAUAGCAUGGAUAAUAAACGAUUAUCAUGAACUAAGAAAUAUAAUAAUAACUAAUUUAUUAUUGCCUCUAGGGCAUAUUUCCAACAGUCUCCCACUUGCACUAGAGUCAAUAAUCUAGUUCACAUCACCAUGUGAAUCCAACACCCAUAUAGUUAUGGGGUCUGAUCACGUCUUGCUCGUGAGAGAGGUUUUAGUCAACGGUUCUGAAACUUUCAGAUCCGUGUGUUCUUUACAAAUCUUUAUGUCAUCUUAUAGAUGCUGCUACUAUGUGCUAUUCGGAAAUACUCAGAAUAUCUACUCUACUAUACGAAUCCGUUUCACUACUCAUAGUUUUUCGGAUUAGUGCCAAAGCUUGCAUCGACGUAACCCUUUACGACGAACUCUUUAACCACCUCCAUAAUCGAGAAAAAUUCCUUAGUCCAUUAGUUACUAAGGAUAAAUUUUGACCGCUGCUAGUGAUUCAAUCAUGGAUCACUCUCUGUACCUCUCAACAUACUUUGACUCAAGGCACACAUCACGUGCGGUACACAGCAUGGCAUACUUUAGAUCCUACGGCUAAGGCAUAGAAGACGACCUUCGUCUAUUCUCUUUAUUCUGCCGGGGUCGGGUUUUGAGUCUUUCUCAAAUUCACACCUUACAACGCAACCAAGAACUCCUUCUUUGUUGAUCUAUUUUGAACUCCUUCAAAAACUUGUCAAGGCAUGCAUCUUGUUGAAACUUCCAUUAAGCGCUUUUCGAUUUAUCUUCAUAGAUCUUUGAUGCUCAACGUUCAAGUAGCUCAAUCCAGGUAUUCCUUUGAAAACUCCUUUCAAACAACCUUGUAUGUUUUACAGAAAUUCUACAUUACUUCUGAUCCACAAUAUGUCAACCACAUAUACUUAUCAGAAAUUCUAUAGUGCUCCCACUCACUUCUUUGGAAAUACAAGUUUCUCAUAAACCUUGUACAAACCCAAAAUCUUUGAUCAUCUCAUCAAAGUGUAUAUUUCAACUCCGAGAUGCUUGCACCAGUCCAUUGAAGGAUCGCUGGAGCUUGCAUACUUGCUAGUACCUUUAGGAUCAACAAAACAUCCUGGUUGUAUCACAUACAAUGUUUGCUCAAAGAAACCGUUGAGAAAACAAUGUUUUGACAUCCGAUGUAGAAACCGUUGAGAAAACAAUGUUUUGACAUCCGAUGUGCAAUAUUUCAUAAAUAAUGCAUCAACAACUAACAUAAUUCUAACAGACCUUUAGCAUCGCUACGAGUGAGAAAGACUCAUCAUAGUCAACAGUUUGAUCUUGUCGGAAACAUCUUUGCGACAAGUCGAGCUUUUCUUAAUAGUGAUUUAUCACCAUCAUCGUCUGUCUUUCUUUUAAAGACCCAUCUUUACUCAAUAGUCCUCUCACCAUCAAGUAGUUCUUCCAAAGUCUACACUUUGUUUUCAUACAUGGAUCCUCUCUCGGAUUUCAUGGCCUCCAGCCAUUUGUCGGAAUCCGGGCCCACCAUUGCUUUCUUCAUAACUCGUAGGUUCACUGUUGCUCAACAACAUGACCUCCAAGACAUGGUUACCGUACCACUCUGUAGUAGUACGUGACCUUGUCAACCUACGAGGCUUGUAGUAACUUGAUCUGAUGCUUGAUGAUCACCAUCAUCAGCUUCCACUUCAAUUGGUGUAGGUGCCACAGGAACAACUUCCUGCGCCCUGCUACACACUGGUUGAAGUGAUGGUUCAAUAACCUCAUCAAGUUCUACCACUCUCCCACUCAAUUCUUUCGAGAGAAACCUUUCCUCGAGAAAGGAUCCGUUUCUAGAAACAAACACUUUGCUUUCGGAUCUGAGAUAGGAGAUGUACCCAACUGUUUUGGAUAUCCUAUGAAGAUGCAUUUAUCCGCUUUGGGUUCGAGCUUAUCAGACUGAAACUUUUUCACAUAAGUGUCGAAGCCCCAAACUUUCAAGAAACAACAGUUUAGAUUUCUCUAAACCUCAUUCUAUACUGUGUCAUCUCAACAGAAAUACGCGGUGCCCUAUUUAAAGUAAGUGCGGUUGUCUCUAAUGCAUAACCCAUACACGAUAGUGGUAAUUCGAUAAGAGACAUCAUAGUAUGCACCAUACCAAAUAGUGCGUGGCUAUGACGUUCAGACACAUCAUCACACUAUGAUGUUCCAGGUGGCAUGAACUGCGAAACAAUUUCCACAUUGUCUUAACUGCGUACCAAAACUCGUAACUCAGAUAUUCAUUUCUAUGAUCAUAUCGUAGACAGUUUAUCCUCUUGUUACGACGAACUUCACUCCGAAACAGAAUUGAACUUUUCAAUAUUUCAGACUUGUGAUUCAUUAAGUAAAUACUCUAGUAUCUACUCAAAUCGUCAGUGAAGUAAGAACAUAAUGAUAUCCACUGCGUGCCUCAGCACCCAUUGGACUGCAUACAUCAAAAUGUAUCACUUCCAACAAGUUACUAUCUUAUUUCAUCUCAAUGAAAACAAGGCCUUGCUCAUGUGGUAUGAUUCGCAUGUCACUAGUGAUUCGAAAUCAGGUGAGUACAAAGAUCCAUCAGCAUGGAGCCUCUUCAUGCAAUUUAUACUAACAUGACUCAAGCGGCAGUGCCACAAGUAAGUGGUACUAUCAUCAUCAACUCGUAUCUUUUGGCACCAAUAUCAUGAACAUGUGUAACACUACGAUCGAGAUUCAAUAAACCAUUGAAGGUGAUUAUUCAAGAAAACAGAGUAACCAUUAUUCUCUUUAAAUGAAUAAUCGUAUUGCAAUAAACACGAUCCAAUCAUGUUCAUGCUUAACGCAAGGACCAAAUAACAAUUAUUUAGGUUUAAUACCAAUCACGAUGGUAGAGAGAGCGUGCGACGUUUGAUCAUAUCAACCUUGGAAACACUUCCAACACGUAUCGUCACCUCGCCUUUAGCUAGUCUCCUUUAUGCCGUAGCUUUCAUUUCGUGUUACUAAUCACUUAGCAACCGAACCGGUUGUUGGAAAUAUGCCCUAGAGGCAAUAAUAAAUUAGUUAUUAUUAUNNNNNNNNNNNNNNNNNNNNNNNNNNNNNNNNNNNNNNNNNNNNNNNNNNNNNNNNNNNNNNNNNNNNNNNNNNNNNNNNNNNNNNNNNNNNNNNNNNNNCUCCCACUUGCACUAGAGUCAAUAAUCUAGUUCACAUCACCAUGUGAAUCCAACACCCAUAUAGUUAUGGGGUCUGAUCACGUCUUGCUCGUGAGAGAGGUUUUAGUCAACGGUUCUGAAACUUUCAGAUUCGUGCGUUCUUUACAAAUCUUUAUGUCAUCUUAUAGAUGCUGCUACUACGUGCUUUUCGGAAAUGCUCCAAAUAUCUACUCUACUAUACGAAUCCGUUUCACUACUAAUAGUUAUCCGGAUUAGUGUCAAAGCUUGCAUUGACGUAACCCUUUACGACAAACUCUUUAACCACCUCCAUAAUCGAGAAAAAUUCCUUAGUCCAUUAGUUACUAAGGAUAAAUUUCGACCGCUGCUAGUGAUUCAAUCAUGGAUCACUCUCUGUACCUCUCAACAUAUUUUGAGUCAAGGCACACUUCAGGUGCGGUACACUGCAUGGCAUACUUUAGAUUCUACGGCUAAGGCAUAGAAGACGACCUUUGUCUAUUCUCUUUAUUCUGCCGUGGUCGAGUUUUGAGUCUUACUCAAAUUCACACCUCACAACGCAACCAAGAACUCCUUCUUUGCUGGUCUAUUGUGAACUCUUUCAAAAACUUGUCAAGGCAUGCAUAUUGUUGAAACUUCUAUUAAGCGCUUUCGAUCUAUCUCCAUAGAUCUUUGAUGCUCAACGUUCAAGUAGCGUAAUCCAGGUACUCCUUUGAAAACUUCUUUCAAACAACCUUGUAUGCUUUACAGAAAUUCUACAUUACUUCUGAUCCACAAUAUGUCAACCACAUAUACCUAUCAGAAAUUCUAUAGUGCUCCCACUCACUUCUUUGGAAAUACAAGUUUCUCAUAAACCUUGUACAAACCCAAAAUCUUUGAUCAUCUCAUCAAAGUGUAUAUUCCAACUCCGAGAUGCUUGCACCAGUCCAUUGAAGGAUCACUGGAGCUUGCAUACUUGCUAGUAUCUUUAGGAUCGACAAAACCUUCUGGUUGUAUCACAUACAAUGUUUGCUCAAGGAAACCGUCGAGAAAACAAUGUUUUGACAUCCUACGUGACAUAUUUUAUAAAUAAUGCAUCAACAACUAACAUAAUUCUAACAGACUUUUAGCAUCGCUACGAGUGAGAAAGUCUCAUCAUAGUCAACUGUUUGAUCUUAUCGAAAACAUCUUUGCGACAAGUCGAGCGUUUCUUAAUAGUGACUUAUCACCAUCAUCGUCUGUCUUCUUUUACAGAUCCAUUUUUACUCAAUAGUCCUAUGACCAUCAAGUAGUUCUACCAAAGUCUACACUUUGUUUUCACACAUGGAUCCUCUCUCGGAUUUCAUGGCUUCCAGCCAUUUGUCGGAAUCUGGGCCCACCAUCGCUUUCUCCAUAACUCGUAGGUUCACUGUUGCUCAACAACAUGACCUCCAAGACAGGGUUACCGUACUACUCUGCAGUAGUACGCGACCUUGUCGACCUACGAGGUUUGUAGUAACUUGAUUCGAAGCUCAAUGAUCAUCAUCAUCAGCUUCCACUUCAAUUGGUGUAGGCGCCACAUGAACAACUUCCUGCGCCCUGCUACACACUGGUUGAAGUGAUGGUUCAAUAACCUCAUCAAGUUCUACUACCCUCCCACUCAAUUCUUUCGAGAGAAACCUUUCCUCGAGAAAGGAUCCGUUUCUAGAAACAAACACUUUGCUUUUGGAUCUGAGAUAGGAGAUGUACCCAACUGUUUUGGAUAUCCUAUGAAGAUGCAUUUAUCCUCUUUGGGUUUGAGCUUAUCAGACUGAAACUUUUUCACAUAAGUGUCGAAACCCCAAACUUUCAAGAAACGACAGUUUAGAUUUCUGUAAACCUCAGUGUAUACUGUGUCAUCUCAACGGAAAUACGCGGUGCCCUAUUUAAAGUGAGUGCCGUUGUCUCUAAUGCAUAACCCAUAAACGGUAGUGGUAAUUCGAUAAGAGACAUCAUAGUAUGCACCAUACCAAAUAGUGCGUGGCUAUGACGUUCAGACACAUCAUCACACUAUGAUGUUCCAGGUGGCAUGAACUGCGAAACAAUUUCCACAUUGUCUUAACUGCGUACCAAAACUCGUAACUCAGAUAUUCAUUUCUAUGAUCAUAUCGUAGACAGUUUAUCCUCUUGUUACGACGAACUUCACUCUGAAACGGAAUUGAACUUUUCAACAUUUUAGACUUGUGAUUCAUUAAGUAAAUACUCCUGUAUCUACUCAAAUCGUCAGUGAAGUAAGAACAUAAUGAUAUCCGCUGCGUGCCUCAGCACCCAUUGGACUGCAUACAUCAAAAUGUAUCACUUCCAACAAGUUACUAUCUUAUUUCAUCUCAAUGAAAACAAGGCCUUGCUCAUGUGGUAUGAUUCGCAUGUCACUAGUGAUUCGAAAUCAGGUGAGUACAAAGAUCCAUCAGCAUGGAGCCUCUUCAUGCAAUUUAUACUAACAUGACUCAAGCGGCAGUGCCACAAGUAAGUGGUACUAUCAUCAUCAACUUGUAUCUUUUGGCACCAAUAUCAUGAACACGUGUAACACUACGAUCGAGAUUCAAUAAACCAUUGAAGGUGAUUAUUCAAGAAAAUAGAGUAACCAUUAUUCUCUUUAAAUGAAUAAUCGUAUUGCAAUAAACACGAUCCAAUCAUGUUCAUGCUUAAUGUAAGCACCAAAUAACAAUUAUUUAGGUUUAACACCAAUCCCGAUGGUAGAGGGAGCGUGCGACGUUUGAUCAUAUCAAUCUUGGAAACACUUCCAACACGUAUCGUCACCUCGCCUCUAGCUAGUAUCCGUUUAUGCCGUAGCUUUCAUUUCGCGUCACUAAUCACUUAGCAACCGAAUCGGUAUCCAAUACCCUCGUGCUACUAGGAGUACUAGUAAAGUACACAUCAACAUCAUGUAUAUCAAAUACACUUCUUUCGACUUUUGCCAGCCUUCUUAUCUACCAAGUAUCUUGAGUUGCUCCGCCUCAGUGAUUGUUCCCCUCAUUAUAGAAGCACUUAGUCUCGGGUUUGGGUUUAAUCUUGGGUCUCUUCAUUAGUGCAGCAACUGUUUUGCCGUUUCACGAAGUAUCCCUUCUAGCCCUUGCCUUUCUUGAAACUUAGUGGUUUUACAGACCAUCAACUAUUGAUGCUCCUUCUUGAUUUCUACUUUCGCAGUGUCAAACAUCGCGAAUCGCUCAAGGAUCAUUGUAUGUAUCCUUGAUAUGUUAUAGUUCAUCACGAAGCUCUCACAGCUUGGUGGCAGUGACUUUGGAGAACUAUCACUAUCUCAUCUGGAAGAUUAACUCCCACUUGAUUCAAGCGAUUGUCGUACUCAGACAAUCUGAGCACAUGCUCAACGAUUGAGCCUUUUCUCCUGUGCUUUGUGGACAAAGAAUCUUGUCGGAGGUCUCGUACCUCUUAACAAGGGCACAAGCAUGAACUCACAAUUUCAUCUCUUUAGAACAUCACUUAUGUUCCGUGACGUUUUACAACGUUUUCGGCGCCUUGCUUCUAAGCCAUUAAGUAUUUUUGUACUGAACUAUCGUGUAGUCAUCAGAAACGUGUAUGUCGGAUGUUCACAGCAUCCACAGACGACGCUCGAGGUGCAGCACACCGAGUGGUGCAUUAAGGACAUAAGCCUUCUGUGCAGCAACGAGGACAAUCCUCGGUUUUACAGACUCAGUCUGCAAAGUUUGCUACUAUCAACUUUCAACUAAAUUUUCUCUAGGAACAUAUAAAACAGUAGAGCUAUAGCGCAAGCUACAUCGUAAUUUCGCAAAGACCAUUAGACUAUGUUCAUGACAAUUAGUUAAAUUAAUCAUAUUACUUAAGAACUCCCACUCAAAAAGUACAUCUCUCUAGUCAUUUGAGUGGUACAUGAUCCAAAUACACUAUCUCAAGUCCGAUCAUCACGUGAGUCGAGAAUAGUUUGAGUGGUAAGCAUCUCUAUGCUAAUCAUAUCACCUAUACAAUUCAUGCUCGACCUUUCGGUCUCAUGUGUUCCCAGGCCAUGUCUGCACAUGCUAGGCUCGUCAAGCUUAACCCGAGUGUUCCGCGUGCGCAACUGUUUUGCACCCGUUGUAUGUGAACGUUGAGUCUAUCACACCCGAUCAUCACGUGGUGUCUCGAAACGACGAACUGUAGCAACGGUGCACUGUCGGGGAGAACACAAUUUCAUCUUGAAAUUUUCGUGAGAGAUCACCUCAUAAUGCUACCGUCGUUCUAAGCAAAAUAAGGUGCAUAAAAGGAUUAACAUCACAUGCAAUUUAUAAGUGACAUGAUAUGGCCAUCAUCACGUGCUUCUUGAUCUCCAUCACCAAAGCACCGGCACGAUNNNNNNNNNNNNNNNNNNNNNNNNNNNNNNNNNNNNNNNNNNNNNNNNNNNNNNNNNNNNNNNNNNNNNNNNNNNNNNNNNNNNNNNNNNNNNNNNNNNNAAUACGACUCACUAUAGGGCGAAUUCUUUACCGAGCGAGGACAAGCAGACUUCACCAAAGAGGAAUUCAACAAGCAGAUAUGUAUACAUAAGGGGAAUGAGUCAGUCUUGACAACUGUUAAUCUAGUAAAUGGUGCAGCCUAUAUUGGUUCAGUCAUAUUUACAGAGAGCUCCCAGAGGAAAAGGUUAAGAUUGACAGCACGAGCGAAAGGACAGGAUCCCGCGGUCAGAGUUCAAGAAGCAAUCACUGAUCCUUUUGUUGUCAAAGUCGGCCGAAGUAAACGUGAGUAUAUCCAAUUAUCCAUUCUGAACAUGAAACCUUUUUAACUAUAUUACAUGGAAAUUUUAAUACACUCUUUAAUUUUUUUUCAUUCUAUGAAACGUUUACUGUUUAGAUAGUUGGCAGAAGAACAUGCUUGCUGAUUUUAAGGGAAAAAAUGUUAAAGAACACAUCAUAUCUUUGAGAAACUUUUAUGGCCUUUGUGCAAUGACAUUAUUUUAUCUGAAAAUAUGAAGUCUUAGCACUAAAUGUUCUACUUUUAGAAGGGAAUGUUCCGCCACAAAGUUUGGUUCAAAAAGGAGAUGCUCAGGCGCCUUGCCUAGUGCAUAAACGGAAGUCUGUAACUAGACGGGCCAAGCGAGAAAUUGUCAACUCCAGCGAGAGAUCGGGCCAUAUUGCACUGACAGCCUAUGGUACUCAAAUACAUCAUGAUAGUGAAAACUGUAUGACCGCCCAAGCGAAGGCCAAUCACUUCGCAUGUGCCUAGCGCUAUUUUUAACCUGGCAAAGCUGUUUGAAGUACUGUCACUUAGAUUUGGGAGUUGGGACCGUAAUUUUCUUGGGUCAUUACAUAUUUUAUUUUGAGUUAUGUAUUAGGUCGUAGAUUAAUAAUAAGCAUGGUAGAUCAGUUUAUAAUUUACCAUGUACAUUAAUCCUUUCCUGAAUACCAUAAUCAUCAGAUGCAAUGGUAGCCAGAAUGAACCAAUUGCAUAUUAGCAAUCUUGUCUUAACACAUCCAAUAUUUUUUGUUUACUUUCAGAAAACAGAAAGAGUUAUCCUCCAUCUAAAGAAGAAGCGGUAUACCGUUUGGAGAAGAUUUCCCUAAAGGGGAAACAUUGUACCCUCCUUGCUGAAAAGAAUAUUACUACGGUGAAGCAAUUCAUGCGUCAUUAUUACAGAGAUGAAUCUUGUCUCCAAAAGGUAAAUAUACAGUUAUAAUUAUGUUUCUACAAGCUUCAGCGUUUCAAUUUACCUGCACAAUAAUUGUCAUGGAUCGGAAAUAAAAUAUCCCACAUCUCCUAGGAUUAACUUUGACUACAUGUAAUUCUAUAUGUAUUCAUGUGCACUACAUGUAAUUAAAUGCUAAGUCAACUCUUUGUUUCUGGCAAUUAGCUUCUUGACAUGAAGGAGGAUUGGAGUACCUUGAUUAAACAUGCCACCACGUCUGAUCCUGGGGUUGAGAUCUAUUCUUUUAUUGUUGUGGAAGAAAAUACUGAACUCUUAUUCAAUGAUUUCUACAAUCUUGUUGGUAUAAUGAUCAGGGGACGCUAUUUUCAUGUCAAUGUCCUUGAUCAGUUUCAGCAGGUAUACUUUUAACACUGUUCCAUUGCCAUUGCAAUUAGGCUGUUGAUUCACUACGAUAAUAGUGUUCUGACAAUUAUCCUCAAAAUGUUGUCACGGUUACGAGGUUUAUAGCAAGAUUUACAUUUGGAAAUUGGGUUGCUUCCUAAUGUCAUUGUGAAUAGCUAACCUAACUUUGGCAUUGCUAAACCGAAACAGGGUAAAAUGGUGUUAUUGUACGUAUAGUUAGGACCAAGGCAUGGAUUCUAAAUAAAUUCUUAUGUCGAGCCUCUGUUUUUACUGCAGAGUUUAUUUUCACCUAUAUGUAUAUGCAUUCGUGAUGAAGUAUGUGUUGUUAUUCAAUUUGUUUCCCCAAUAUCUAGAAACCUAGAAGAAAUAUAUGGAGCAGUUGGAUUGCCACCUUGCGGUGUUUCUGUGCCUGCACCGUGUAAACCCACUGAAACACAGUGGAUUUAACGAAGGAGGAUCUAACUGCUGCCCUAAUACACUUAGUUGAAAAUCUUUAAAACGAUGAGGGAAAAUAUAAACACUAUUAUCACCAAAAGAUGAGCUCAAGUAUUCCUUUUUGAUGAUUAGAAGGUUUCAAAAAGGUCUGAGCAUUGAAGCCUUUCUGUACACAAAACAAUAAGCAAAAGCAUAUGCUUGCACAUUAUGACGGCGAUGACAGAAAUAAAACAUUUUUUACAGAUUAAAGUCAACAACUGGAAAAUGUCCGCGUAUAAGAAAUUUGACGAGCGGGAGAACUCAGGGGGUCUUAACCCUGAUUACUUCAUGACCGAUGGUGGCCCUGUCAGUGCAUUGCCUCUGAACAAUGAUGCAGGUCCUUCCGUACAAGCUGGAACGCUGUGGCAAUAUCAUAAUGGCAAGGCUGCACAACACGGUGAAUUUUAGUAUAUUGUUCCAUUUCUGAUCCUGGUCGCUACAUGUUUAUCUAAAUUCAGCUGACUGCAGAAGUUGGAGAUCGACAUCCAUUGAAUGGGUUGUCACGGGCCGCAGUCCUAUCAAACAAUGACGUUGGCCCUUCAAGCCAAGAAACACUGCCGUUUCCACAGCACAUGUAUGAACAGACUGCGUAUCAGGGUCAGUAUCACACAUCCUCUAUACUUAAAUUAUUGCUUCAUCGCGACUUUUUGUUGUUGCUGAAUUCUGAUAGUUUUGGGGAUUAACUUACUGUAGGACCUGGUGAGCAUGAUCCUUCUGUGCCACAGAAUGGAGCUCCUUACUCUCUGCAUCAGGGAAAUAUCUUAAAUGAUCAGGGACCAUUAUCAGCACAGCCAACUAUUCCAUCCCACAAUUUUUCACCAGUAAGAAAAGUUACAUAUGGCACAGGCACAAUCAACAGUUCCAUCCUGCAUUUUUUCAUUGACAACCUGAAUUGUUUUGUGGAUUGUAGGUUCGACAGGAUGACAUGAUCGCAGAUGCAAGUCAAAGUGGGUUUACUUCAUUUGAUGUAUGUGUUCUUUUGAAUAAGUAUCUUUGCGCAGACUAUGGCUUUAAGCUUUUUCCUUUGUUAUUAUGUCAUGAUAGUGUUUGUUCUUGCAGGUCGAGGAAUGGCUGAAUCUACCAAUAGAUGAGGCAGACCAUGGAAUUGUACCACCUAACAAUGGUAUGCAGUUUCGAAAUUUCAGUACCCAUGGGAACGACAACGAAAAGCCGAUAAUGUAUGCAAUUUUCAAUGCCAUAGCGAUAACUUCUGUUGAUAUAAGCUCAGCUGCUAAAUCAUGGAGCUUGUGUUAGUAUGAUGCAAUCAUAUUCAACAGCCUGAACUCUUCCCAUUUCGAUCUUGGAUGAUAGCAAAUUGAUGUUUGACUUCAUAAAAUCUAGAGUGUGUAUGCUUGCCUGAUGAAUACCAAACUGUUGCUUAAAAGUUAAAUUUGGGCCUGGAUUUAAGAUCUUCCUCUCGAUCCGUGCGCUGAUGUCGUGUUUCUUUCAUUUCAGCAGAACUGCCGAAUUCCAACAUCCCAUUUGACGGUGAUGGACAUGAUGGUGGCAACCAGUGAUAGAUUAAACUUGAGAGACCACUGCAACAAGCUUAAUUUGCUCCACUAGACCCAUGAUGGAGGUAGUCGGUGAUUGAAGUAUUCGGUGUGAUUAAACAUUUCGCGUGUACAUAUUAUUCAGUGAUUGCUUAAUUUGCUAUUGGUUGUAGUAGACAUUUGGCUUGCAUUCUUAAAAGCAAUUCUUUGUGUAAUCCUGUUAAUCCAUCCUUUCCUAAGUUGAGCAAAUAUUCAUAUUGCACAGCUUGCUUGGUGUAAUAUUGUUAAUCCAUCUUCUUCUAAGUUGAGUUUUUCCUAUGUAUGUUCACACAUUUUCACUCGUACUAUGUUGUGCAUCAUGAAAUCCGAAAAUUUGAACAUGGUAAAAUACACAGAAGAGAAGAGGAGAGAGAGAGAGAGAGAGAGAGCAUGCUAGUUGUACUACAAGACUUCAGUUUCUUAAAUACCACAGAGCUUCCAUUCCUCCUACACCAAGCCCACAUAGAUCGACACAAGAUACAUCAGCGAAAGCAAGCAAGAACACAAGAUACAUCAGCUAGUUGAGCCAUGGUAGUAUGACAGAGAUGCGAAGCAGAGCAGAGGGGGGGGGGGGGGGGGAGGGGGGGGGGGGGGGGGGGGGGGGGGGGGCAACCCCAGCAGAGCAGAUUCAGGCAUGGAUGCAGAGUUCACCUGAGUUGGGAGGGACAGACUAGCGAACCAUGGAAUGCAAGCAGGGCCGCUAAUUAGUAGCCGAUGUCGGCGCCGUCGUCGAACGAAGGUCGCCGUUGAUGCUGCUGGGGAUAGGUAUCGAUCACGCGGUGGUGUGGGCUGAAGCUUUCUGGUCAAGAUCCGAGAAGGAGACGCCUCAACCUGGCGAGAUCCCGGCUCCCGUUGCUGCUCUCUCGGAGAUGGAUCUCAUCUGGAUUUCGGAUGUUGAGGGCAAGCAGUAUAUAUAGAGCAGAAUUUCCAAGGAAAUGCCCGUUUGCCUUGUCGCCUGAGUGUAACUUGCUGGUUUGGUCGCAACCUUUGUACGAGCAGCCGAAUGAACAGGAACGGGUACAGACCACAUUUUCUUGACUCAUGCGUGGGCGGUGUAAACAAAGUCUUCUUAUGCGCAACCGGUCCAAGUUCAGAGUGCUGAAGUCCCCUCACGGGUGCGAAUCAUCGGAUGCCAAACGGGUUAGAGCAUCUCCAACAGCCUUCCAAAACGUGCUCCACACGUUAAAUGAUUCGUUUUUUUGCGUCGGACAACUUCAAUAAAAGCUGUAAAAUUAUACACGUGCUGAAAAGUAUUGAUCACGCGCUGAAAAACAUUAUCUCGUGCAGUAUAUUUGAGGCGCCGGCUUGCGCAAGCUUCACAAUUUGCACUGUGUGCUUUUCGAACGCGCGUUUUUUGGCAUCUGCUAAUUCAACGUUGGUCCCCGCAUAAUAAAAAUGCUACAAUGACGCACUGAAACUUUUAUUGGACGCGAAUCUUUUGCGCAGCUGUUGAAGAUGUUCUUACAACUUUCUCAUAAACAUCUAGUUUGCAGCUGCCUUUUCACAACAGAUUUUUCACAGCAGCUUUCGAAAAAUCCAUAGCCCAACCAAACACCACCUAAAAACCAGAUUGGGCUUCGGAUAGAGAGAGAAAAAAAAUCGGUGACCCUGCCGGUUUUGUAAGCUGUGCGGACCCCUCGCGCAGCCGACGCAACACAACGCGGCAUGUACUCCUCGCGCGAGCCCAUUGCCCCGGGCUCUAGUCCCAUAAUUUUACUAUACCGGUCCCAUAAUGUUUUUUUUGGUCGUUAAUGUUAGAGGUUGGGUUGUAUAUCUACAGGACUGAUCUGAUCAAACCAUGCAAGCUGGGUACUCAAUUCUGUCCAAGCUAAACGAGGGUUCUGCAGUCCGUGUUGCUGCAUGUUCUCAGUUUUUUUUAUUGCUGUUGAGGGAACUAUAUAUAUGUUCUCAGCUAAGCAAGAGAAUUACCUGAAUUAACUUUGUGAAAAUUGUGAGAUGGCUGAAUAUUAUGUUUCUUGUUGUUUGUGUUGUAUUGCUCUGAUCCUUGUAGGGGUAUAUAUAGGAGUACAUGGGGUAGAGGCUUGGAGUACAAGACAAGUUACAUGUGAUUUAAACUGAUUAUAUCUCUAUUUCCUUAUCUCUAACUUAAACCCACAUAUAUUUCUAACAUUCCCCCUCAGUCGUAGCGGGGGUGAAGCGGAUGCUUGCGACUGAAUUUAAAGUCUUGCACCUUUGUCAUCUUCUCCACCGCGUCAUUAUCAACUGCGUCUCUGAUGGGUCGGCACCUAGGACGGUGACCGCGUCCCCUUUUGGUGUCUUUCUUGUCUCUCAUCUAUUCCCUCCCGCAGUCACAGCGGGAGUGGUGUGGAUGCUAGUGGCGAUGUAGACGUUGUUGACUGGAGUUGUUGCCCAUGAGUUGUUGUAGACGUAGCCAUUAUUGUCGAUGUCGAGGUAGCCGAUCAUGAUGGUGUAGCCGUGGUCGAGGUAGUCAUGGUCGAUGUGUGAUCGUUGUGGAUGAUGAAGCCACACAAAGACAGAGGCGCAAAAAAUGCGCUAUGACGGAGCUGCAGACGUGGACGAUGCACCUUGCGAAUGUCAGAGGGUGUCGUCGACGAUGAGUCCACCGGUUUUGCCAGGACCGGAGGAAACCAUCGAGCACACAUCGGUUUUGCCAGAACCGAGAGGCCGUAUACGGGUCGUCACUAUAGUGACGCCGUGUCGAUGCAGUCGUGCCGUCAUCGAUGACGUGGUUGAUGUCGACGUCGUGACGCGGUCAUUGCCGUCGUCGAGGUCGCGUCUUGCAAAAAAGUCUGCCAGAGGACGCUAGGUGUCCAUUUUGUGGACGAGGUGGCGACAGUGUGUUGACGAUGAUGGUGAUGAAGGCCACGUUGAUGAAGACCUUGGCGAUGAAGUGUCGGCGAUAAUGUGUCGCUUGAAGGCGUCCCUUGCGGCGACCAAGUGUAGAUGCCUUGCCGCGCCGGAGAAGUCGAUGAAUAAUUGCAUCACUUUCCACACCGGCCCGGCAUGUGGAUGAUGCAUGUUGAUGUCGCUUCUUGUAGAUGUACUCGACGAGGACGAGGAUCUUUUUAGGGUGAUGUAAUCAUACAACUCGGUGUCGUGGCGGUGCAAGGUCGGUGGAGAUCACUCGGUGCAGGUAAUGUCGUGUUGAUGGCUCGGUGAAGAUAGCAUCCGUGCUCGUGCGUAGAAGUCGAAGACCUGAAGGUCCGACGUUUGCUGUUGUUGGCGUAGAUCGGAUCGCUGGGAGCUGCAUGCGGCAUCAGGCCUGCACGCACAUGGUAUGCGCUGCCUCGGAGUAGACUCGCCGGCCCUUCCAAAGUCCCGCACGCGAUGUGACACGAUGCCGCGAUUGGAAUCGAGGGCGGGUGGCGCCGGUCCAUCUUUCCUUCCCAGGCCACGCCUGCUGAGUGUUUGGAUCGGCCGGCUGCUCCAGGGAGUAUGUUCGAGCAUCCAAUAAUAUGGGUUCUAGUCCCAUAAUUUUACCAUACCGGUCCCAUCUAUUUGGUACUACUUAUCAGUACUUUGAUUUUGGUACCUCCUAUUUUUCUACCACUAGAUUAAUUUAAUUGAGUGACCCUUAUUUGUGAGUAGUCAAUCGUUUUUUUCUACCACUAGACUAAUCUUAGUGAGCGGGGGGAUUUUACCACUCAAUGUUCGGACAUAUUGGAUUCACAAUAAUAAUGUCUGCAACGAUCUGAAUUUUUCCUUAUGUAAUCAUUCCCAAUUUUUAUUUCUUUGAGAAGGGCGCGAUAGAGAACAAAUCAUUUUCAGUUUGAUCGAACUAAAAUUAUUUCAAAACUAGUGCCCAUAGAGAAACUAAAAUUAUUUUGAAACCGGUGUUCAUAUAGAAACUAGAAAUAAUAAGAGACUAAAAACAUUCGCAAGUUGGAAGAAAGCUAGGAAUGAGCUGCCGUCUCUUAUUAGGCCGACAAAAAACUAGAAAAUUUCCUCUUAGGAAUAGCAAGAGGAACUAGAAAAUUUAGGACCCUGAUAAGUGUCAGACGUACACGUGAUAACUCCGAACGUUUUUAAGGAUUUACUAGAUCUCUCAGAAAAGUAUGUGUUGAAGGAUUUGACUGCUCAAAUAUGUUGGAAUUAGAUUAUUCAAAUUUUUUAUACAUAAUCAUUCCUACUCCCUCCGUUCCUAAAUAUAAGUCUUUAAAAUGGUUUCAUCAAUGGACUACAUAGAGAUGUAUAUAGACAUACUUUAGAGUGUAGAUUCAUUUAUUUUACUCCGUAUGUAGACUCCUAGUGAAAUAUCUUAGAAGACUUAUAUUUAGGAACUGAGGGGGUAUUUUUUUUCCUUACAAAAUCGAAAAGCACAAUAAAGAGCCUACGUCCUUAUAUAUUUUUGGCGGGAAACAUCCAGAAACUCUAGUUGAUGUCCAAUUGGCUUCAGAGUUCAGUCUUUUUUAUUUGCCAGUUUUAAUUCUCCGAACACUAUUUCUCUGGUUUGGCGCCCGUUCUGAGACUGUUCGGAGAUACUUAAACCUUGUUUUUUACUUUUUACCAAGAACAAGAAGGGACAAAACUAAAUUCAUCCAGCAGCAUCUUCAUUUCUUACUACUGCAGAUAAACUCAUGUAUAGUAUUACAAUCCGCCCAUGCAUGCUAGCUAGCGAAGAAAAGUCUCGGUGGUGUAAAUCGAAACCGCGUUCAGCUUUCCACAAAGAAGCGCAUACCCGUUUGGAGGAUUGGAGACUUGCUGAUCUGCCGGUAAUCUCGAUGAAAUGCAAUCCCGCUAAACUGCCCAGAACAUCCCCUGAAACCCCACGGAAAAUGGAUGGAAAAGGCACGGAAAAACAGGUCUCCGCACCCCUGAUCCCCCGAGAGUCCUACGCCGCGAAGUCAAGUCUCCGCUCUGCUCCCCCGGCCGUCUACGCGCUCCGGCCGCUUCAGUUUCCCCCAGAACUCCGUUUUUUUUUAAUCCGUCUAGCAGACGGAGAAGCAUCGCGGGGAUUACCCCGUCCGAUCCCCGCAAACGCGCGGGCCGCGUAGCGUCUCCAUCGUUCACACACACAUGCAUGCAUACGAAUUCUUCAGCUAAUGGCGGCUUGUGUUAUGCCUAUAUAUCCUGCCGGCCUCCCGCCAUUUCCUGUUCCUCAAGUUCGCGCGCGCUAGCUAGCAGGCUGCAGCCUCUCACUCGCCACCAUUGUUGUUUAAUUUCAUUCAGAGGGACGGUCGAUGCAUCAAGCUGGUUUGUACGUACCUUUUUGUAUAUAAGUUGCGAUGCAUUAACUGACGGUCUGUGCAUUUUCUCGGCGCAGGAGCACUACGAAGAUCGCCAGCCAACCAGCCAUAUUUAUUACCCCGGCCUCUGCAUCACAUGCAUGAUGCACACGGCCAACGGGACAUAUGGCCGUGUAAUUCUGUCGUUAAUGUUACCGGAAAGAUUGUAUAUAUACAUGAUUGGUCAGUAACAAGAUGGUUACAUGAUUUCCGUUAGGCAAGAGAAUUAUUACUCACUCCUUAAAACAAAUAUAAAAGCGUUUACAUCACUAAAGUAGUGAUCUAAACGCUCUUAUAUUUCUUUAAGAAGGAAGUACUACCUCCGUCCGGAAAUACUUGUUCUAGAGAUGAAUGUAUCUAGACUUAUUUUAAUUGUAGAUACAUUCAUUAUAUGCAUUUUUAGGACAAGUAUUUCCGGACGUACGGAGUACCUUUUUCACAUGCAGAGGGCGGAAUGCUGGGACCAAAAUAUCUAACGAGUCUGCCAUAUGAGAAUAGUUCAACAAUCUGGAACUGGCCUUAGCAAGCGAAGAAGAACAGAUCUAACAAAACUUACGUGGUGAUUUGGGCAUUAACUUCGUCAAGAUUGUCUCGGACUUGCAAUUUUAAAGGGUAGUCAUGGCACUUCAUCAAUGCUACUUGUGGAUUGAACCAGGAGGAAGAUGCUCCCAAACUAUCAGAUCAUGGUGAAUAGUGGGAGGAUAGGCACGGCGAAGAAGAGAAAAAAAAAGUCAGUUUGAAGCCUUCUAGGAUUCUAGAUCAAAACAUUUAACUGACAGGUGGGAAGGAUUUGUGCCAAGACCAGCUGGCCAACGUGGUGUCACACUCAAAAUGUCAUUACUGCACAAUUUGGCACCUAGCUACAUGCCUACAUGUGUGCUCGUGACUAAAAUGAGUCGCCUAUGGGGUGAAUAUCCAGUGAUACGGGAGAAUAUCCAUUGCUCCCGGAGCACCUAAGCUUAGGUGCUCCCAUGCGAGCUCGGCCAUUACAUCGUGAUUCAAUGGGCAACAUCACGCAAUGUGGACCAAACCGUCAUUUCAAGAAUGUUCGGGGGAGGAGGGGGGGGGGNNNNNNNNNNNNNNNNNNNGAGUCGUGGUGGGGGGUGCUGGAAACAUUCAUGCUGAAUUUAUCUUUUUUGUUUCUUGAUGUUUGUUUUGAAUUUGUAUUUGAUUUUUUAGGGAUUGCAAACUCAUGUGAUGUGUGAACAUCCAAUUUAUUUCGUAAUUUAUUGAAACAUUUAAAAUUGUUUUUUAAUUGUAUCAUGAGAGUAUUUAGGGUGUGGUAUCACUGGAUAUUCAUGUCACCUAUGUACUCCCUAUCAUUAUAUUAAUUUGAUGAUGUAAUAAUAUUAUUUUUACAAAACUGAUCAAAGCUUAUGAAGGUUGGCAAAACGGUGUUAGUAGUUACGUUUCAAAGUGCCAUGACCUAAAUGUAGUACUGGCAAUAGUUCAUAUGGACCUCAGGUGCGCUUUAUGCUUAAUCAAGUGUGCAAACAUAAGCAACAUUAGUUGAAAGGGGAUUUUCGUAUGAACUCAUGUUGGUACUUAGUUUUAUGAGGUGAACUAUUCAGCACUAUUGGAUGUCGUUGCCGGCAUCACCAUCCAUAGGUGUUGAUUCCUAGCAUGGACCAAUGUCCGGUUUCACCCCGCCCCUAGUUCACGCUCAACGUAAAAAAAACUCGUUCGCUCUGUUAGAUUGGGCGGUUGCUACAUUCCGUGUAGUGACUUCGUUCAAGGUAUUUUCCGUAAGACUUUGCCAUCUUGAUCUUUUUCAUGAAUUAGAUGAACGGUAUUUUUUGUAUGGUUGUAGAUUUUCUUUAACUCGGUAAGGGAUUAAAAAGUCUCGGAGCUGGUGUAGUUAUACCUUUCUGAUGUCACUUGCAAGCGUCGGAGCAGAGCUUUUCCAUGGCAUGACGCCAAACACAGCAUAGCGCCAUAUGCGCCCAAGGCAAACCAAAUCCUAAAUCAUAACCUAGUGGUACUAUAUACAACGCCCCCCACUGUCGCCCUCUUGGGGUUGCAGAUCCCUCGCUCCUACGCCGGUUGGCCUUGACAUCAACAUUUGGCCCACUGUCUCCCUCGUCAUAUUUUGGAAGUUGUGGGACUCUAGGAAUGCUCGUGUCUUUCACAACGAGAUACACUCAUCCAUAGAUACUCUCUGUAACAUCAUCUCAGACUUUACACUCUAGGCCUUUAGAUUUAAGGACAUUGUUAGCAGGGAGGCUGCCAUGUCUUGGCGUUUGUACACCUCCUUCCAUUGUCAUCCUUGAUAUAAUUUGCCCCUACGCCUUGAGUAAUAUUCAGCAAGGGACCCUCCCCUCCCCGGCGUGUUUGUUCAAAAAAAAAACGCCUCCCCACCACCACUCUGAUCGGCAAUGCUGUCGAAGNNNNNNNNNNNNNNNNNNNNNNNNNNNNNNNNNNNNNNNNNNNNNNNNNNNNNNNNNNNNNNNNNNNNNNNNNNNNNNNNNNNNNNNNNNNNNNNNNNNNAUCUAACAAUGACCUAUUAGCUCAGCUGGUUAGGUCGCACGUUCGAGACUUGCAUGGGCCAAUUUUCUUUGGCAUUUAUUUUUCCAUGGCGACGAACAGAGAGGAGGCAUGGAGACGGGGCCGUCGGACGCGCGCUCUCGCCCGCUGUCAAUGCCAACGUAGUGACCUUCCAUGACGGCUCCUCUGCCGCCGCGCCCCCAUACCUCCACCGUUUGCUCCCCCGUCCCUCCGCUCCUCAAUGUCCGUGCUUUCUCCGCUGUCACCGAAUCUGGACAAGAUCGACAGGAUCCAUUGCAUCUCGCGCGACACCCGGCUACAGCUGCUCGUCAGCCAUGCGGGCAGCACGGACGAGCUGCUCGUCGGGCAUGUGGGGGAACACGGACGAGCUGAUCGUCAGCGUCCAUCCCACAGGCCUGCUUCUGCUUCUGUUGCAACACAAAGAAAAGUGUAGUGGAGUAGGUACUGAUCCGCUCCAGAAACAGGGCACACAGCCAAACAGAUGUGCAGUAUAUUCGGAUAGACACUGAAAUAAAUGAUGGUUGUGACAAAAUCCAUGUACUGAAUAACUUACCAACAUUGCCACUGAAAGGAUCUCGAAUAGAUCACUGAAACAAAGGGCUCCCUACAGCCCGUCUGCCAAAUGCAACAGGCUAUGCAUGCCUCUUUUGUGUUGUUAUUACAAUCAUUAGUGUAGGUUUCAAAAAAAAAGUGAGUUGAUAAGACUAAGUUCGAAUUGUCAUAUUUAAUGGGUCAUAGUUUUUUAUUCCAAAAGAAGAUGUUACACAAAAAUACAUGAUUGAUUUGAUAAAUUUAGAUGUUACCAAAGGUCAUGCAUGUCUUUGCUGCAUGAAUUCAACCAAUUUUUCUUUGUUUGACCUGCUGUAUAAUGAAUGUAACUCAUUCCCCCACCUUGGAUCUAUCUUUGUUUCAGUUUAUUUUUUCUGAAAAUUGGUGCUACUUCCGAUUGCUCACAAUUCCAGUUUUGCUGAUAUGAUACAAGCCCUUGUUUCAGUUUUUUUUUCUGAAAAAAUAAUGUUACUAGCCAAGGAUUAGACCAACAAAUUUCAUGUUGCUGACUACAUAUACCUGGACAUUGUGGCUUUGACUUGGUUACGGUAAUUCUUGGGCAUGAUGCUAAAGUAAUUCUUGAAGUUUCAUGUAUUCUCCUCUUUCUUCAGUUAUCAAUUAGCUUAAUUGCAUACACAUGACUAGAUAUGCUUGCUGCACCUAAGUGUUUGUUCCGCAAUGAAUCGGUUGAAACGCAUGCAACAAACAUAUUUACUACUUCUUCCGUUCCUAAAUAUAAGAUCUUUUAAAGAUUAUAGUAUAAACUACAUACGAAUGCAUAUAAACAUAUUUUAGAGUGUAGAUUCAUUCAUUUUGCUUUGUAUGUAGUCUUCUAGUGAAAUGGCUAAAAGGUCUUAUAUUUAGGAACGGAGGGAGUAGUAGUUUCUACAAACCGUUUGUCCGACCACAACUUUGAUAAAAUUUGAGAAAACGUGCAUUACACGUUAGCAUUUACCUUAGCGAGGAAAAAAGAAAAAGCAAAUCGCCCACGAAGGCCUCCCUAAAGUCGGCAUCCAUCGGACCCGGAUCCGACGGCCGAGAAGAAACCCUAGCGCCCAUCGCUGUCCAUAUAUAGGGCCAUUCCUCCCGUCCGAACCCCUCCUCUCAGUCCCCCCCACCCCGCCGCCGCCCCCUCUCGGUUCCUUCUCCAUCCUUCCUUGGAGGUGAGCAUCCGAUCCUUUCCCCCUCCCUGCUUCGAUUCGUCGUCCGUUGUCUCGCAUAGCUUUCAGAUCUGCGUGCCUGCUUCUGUGCAGUAGCUGUGGCCUGCGAGUAGAUCGAGUUUUACUCUCUUUUUGAGGUGCUGCAUGUCGAUUUCCUCCGCGGUUUGAAGGAUUUUCUCUGCUGAGCACCGCGUUCUGUUUUGCGCGGGUGCCUGUGCUUAGUAGAGGUAAAUCUGCGGGUAGAUCUAGCCGCAGGUUCAUAUAUGCGCGGAUGCAUGACUUUUUUCGUCUUUAAUUUUGAUGAAUAUCUGUAAGCUCGUGCCGUAGCCUUGAUCUGUAGGUUUUUACUGUUUCUGUUCCGAUUUGGCGUCGAGGGAUGUUCCCGAAUCAUCUCCGUGCUUCGUUGCAUGUGUUGUUAGAUGGAUCCGUGUAGUACUUAGGGUUCUGUAGGAUCUUUGAGUUCUCUAGGAGAGUUGACAGCAUGAAUUUCAUCGUGUCCUUGUAUGGUGAUAAUUGAUUAGAUUUGUCUGUUGUUAGCGUUAUUACCGCAGUAAUUCUUAGAUCUAAGAAGUACCUGCAGACUGAUUGCUUCAAGUGUAAUUCCACCUCGUUAAAUGCAUCAUCUGCUUGUCUGUAUGGUCGUUUCACAUGUUCACUUGGAUCCGUUGUUUCCAUCACCUGCUUACCUUGAUGUUUCUGUUUGCUAGCUAAGCACGUUCAGCCAUGGGUAAGGAGAAGACUCACAUCAACAUCGUGGUCAUUGGACAUGUCGACUCCGGCAAGUCGACCACCACUGGCCAUCUGAUCUACAAGCUUGGAGGUAUUGACAAGCGUGUGAUCGAGAGGUUCGAGAAGGAAGCCGCUGAGAUGAACAAGAGGUCAUUCAAGUACGCCUGGGUGCUUGACAAGCUCAAGGCCGAGCGUGAGAGGGGUAUCACCAUUGAUAUUGCCCUGUGGAAGUUCGAGACCACCAAGUACUACUGCACCGUCAUUGAUGCCCCUGGUCACCGUGACUUCAUCAAGAACAUGAUUACUGGUACCUCCCAGGCUGACUGUGCUGUGCUCAUCAUUGACUCCACCACUGGUGGUUUUGAGGCCGGUAUCUCCAAGGAUGGCCAGACCCGCGAGCAUGCCCUCCUUGCUUUCACUCUUGGAGUGAAGCAGAUGAUCUGCUGCUGCAACAAGGUAUACAUGCCAUUCCACUUCCAAUGCUAAACAUCCUUUAAACUGAUUUGACAUUUGUCUAAGUCUGAUUAUCUUGCAACACUCAUUAGUUAUUCUAUAAUAUAUAUGUAGAUCGCCUUGUUGUAUCUAAUUUAGAUUUGUAGUGUUGUUCUACAUGCUUGAUGUGAAUACUCAGAGUUACUUAGGAAAUGCCCAGCUUCAGUAGUACUCCUGAAUUGUAUUGUAAUUAAUUAACUUUUGUCAUGUUGCCAAAUUUUGGGUGAUUUAAUAUCAUCACUUAACUGAUUAGUUCUCAUUGUAUCUUAAUUUAUAUGUUCUAAACAGCUUGCUUGCUCAUUAUCUCUUAUUCCUGCAACUUCCAUCACUUGAUUGCUAUACAUGUUCGCUGUUUCUUAUAUUUGUUUGCAUCACAUGUUCGCUGUUUCUUAUAUUUGUUUGCAUCUUUAUAUACUAGUAAUUCAGUUGUGUUGGUCUGAUGUGCUUGCUCUGGUUCUGUUACAGAUGGACGCCACCACACCCAAGUACUCGAAGGCCCGUUAUGAGGAAAUCGUCAAGGAAGUCUCUUCCUACCUGAAGAAGGUCGGCUACAACCCUGACAAGGUUCCCUUCGUCCCCAUCUCUGGGUUUGAGGGUGACAACAUGAUUGAGAGGUCCACCAACCUUGACUGGUACAAGGGCCCUACCCUUCUUGAGGCUCUUGACCAGAUCAAUGAGCCCAAGAGGCCCUCAGACAAGCCCCUGCGUCUUCCCCUUCAGGAUGUUUACAAGAUUGGUGGCAUUGGAACUGUGCCCGUGGGCCGUGUUGAGACUGGUGUCAUCAAGCCUGGUAUGGUUGUUACCUUUGGGCCCACUGGUUUGACAACUGAGGUCAAGUCUGUUGAGAUGCACCAUGAGUCUCUCCUGGAGGCGCUUCCCGGUGACAAUGUCGGCUUCAAUGUCAAGAACGUUGCCGUCAAGGAUCUGAAGCGUGGGUUUGUUGCAUCCAACUCCAAGGAUGACCCUGCCAAGGAGGCAGCCAACUUCACCUCCCAGGUCAUCAUCAUGAACCACCCUGGUCAGAUCGGCAAUGGCUAUGCCCCAGUGCUGGACUGCCACACCUCCCACAUUGCUGUCAAGUUUGCUGAGCUGGUGACCAAGAUCGACAGGCGAUCUGGUAAGGAGCUGGAGGCGCUGCCCAAGUUCCUCAAGAACGGUGAUGCUGGUAUCGUGAAGAUGAUUCCCACCAAGCCCAUGGUUGUGGAGACCUUUGCCACCUACCCUCCUCUUGGCCGUUUUGCCGUGCGUGACAUGAGACAAACGGUUGCUGUCGGUGUCAUCAAGGGCGUGGAGAAGAAGGACCCCACCGGUGCCAAGGUUACCAAGGCUGCCAUCAAGAAGAAAUAGGCGCUAUCUAGCUGAAGGAUUUUGUUCGCGGUCAUUGCUUUUGUUGCUUCAGACUCUUAUCCCGGGCGAGCAAUGAUCUGUCUGUCGUUUAAUUACUGUAUUUCUAUUCCUGCUUCUGCUAAACUCCUGUGCCCUGAGACUGAUUUGUUGUGAAAUGCAAGUUAUUAGAUUGCACUUGUUUUUCUGCUGCUUUUGCCAAAUGGUUGCAUGUUUCUGUCUAUCUGUUUUUUAUUUACAGAGGUUUGGUUUGCAUUUGUUGGUAUUGCCUGAAUGGUCUUGUUAUCUUCUGAGUUCUGGCGGCUGAGAUUGCUGGUAGUCUGCAGAACCUGGCUACAUCUGUAUUCAUGCCUGCAAUGCUUCUGAGUAACCACGUUUGAAUCUCAACCAUUAUUGGGUUUCUUCCUAAAUCCUGUACAGCGAGCUGCCUCUGUUAUUUUACGGAAAAAAUGCCAAUUUCGCAUGCUUUGUGUCUCCGUGUCUAAAUAUUUCACUACGGACUUGUUGUUCUAGAGAUGGUGGCUGGCUAGAGACCAACUUUCGGCCUCUCGCAGUCUUAAUGGGUUUUGGGCAAUUGUUGUUUUGUUCUGAACAAACCUGGCCUAGUUCAGCUCUUAAUAGAACUUCUGAUAGGCUGUGUGUAUUUUGUUAUGGUACCAAAUCAUGUUUAUCAUUUAUAUUCGUCUGUGUGACUAGCAAAAUGUUACGACACAAUUUGCUUUGAUGAUCUGGUUGUUUACCUCAGAUUCUUCUGAUUCUUGUCACCCUCCUAAUUUCUACUUUUCCCCUUCUCCAUCCUUCAGCCUGAGGAUUGAGGACCAGCUUGUUGAGGAUGGGACUCGAGCAGAUUUGGGUCAGUUGAUGAUUAUGUGGAUUAGGAUGACACCACAACUGAACAUCCAUAUUUUCGGCUGAUUCCCAUGCUCAGGCGCAAACUCAUUCUUUUGUUCUUGCCACUUAGUGCCAAACCGUGAGAAUUGUGAAAAUAAUAAUCUAUGUGAGAUAUGUAAAACCGUUGUAACUUUGAUUGUGUGCGCUCUCAGUUUGCGGUUUUGUGAGGAACUGUUCAUUUUUCUCGCGUGAGAUAAUUUGAACCUAUGAUAAUGUUGCUUAUGUGUGUAUAGCUUGCCAUUUGGGGCAGCGAAGAAUUGAUAAUUUUCCUUGCGCUCAGAUGUUUGAACUCGUGACAAAUUUGAUUAUGUGAUUUUUUACUUUCUCCCAAGAUUGGUUACGCGGGAAAUCGUAUGAGAAGUAUGUACGUGCAUUGCAUUGAAGGCUGAAAGAUAUAGAAUUGAUAAUUUUCCUUGCGCUCAGAUGUUUGAACUCGUAUUUGGGGCAGCGAAGAAUUGAUAAUUUUCCUUGCGCUCAGAUGUUUGCUCAGAUGCAGAUAUACUGAAAGCAAACAGAGAAUGCAUCCCAGCGUUCGAUCUCCCAGCUGGCUCAUUGUGAGUGUAUAGAGUGGAUCAGUGGAGUCGAGUGAACCUAGUUACGGAACGUACUGUCAAAUCAAGAUUUAGCGUGUAGAGCUAGUAAAGCAUGAACGUGGAGCAGAGUCAAGGAAUUAGAGGAGUGGAGGGGAUCCGAACACGCUCUAAGAGCAUCUCUAGUGGAACGUGUAAAUUUGAACGUGUAUAUCUUCAUAUACACGUCCAUAUACACCUUGUUAAAUUUUACACCUUUCAAUUUUUCAGUGAAACGUGUAUACACGACGUGGAAAUUAGGACGUGCAAAAAUCUCGCCCUGCAUCUCGCACGCCCGCACGGAGCGCCUCCCCCACGCAGCGCCGCCCGCCCGCCCGCACACACCNNNNNNNNNNNNNNNNNNNNNNNNNNNNNNNNNNNNNNNNNNNNNNNNNNNNNNNNNNNNNNNNNNNNNNNNNNNNNNNNNNNNNNNNNNNNNNNNNNNNNNNNNNNNNNNNNNNNNNNNNNNNNNNNNNNNNNNNNNNNNNNNNNNNNNNNNNNNNNNNNNNNNNNNNNNNNNNNNNNNNNNNNNNNNNNNNNNNNNNNNNNNNNNNNNNNNNNNNNNNNNNNNNNNNNNNNNNNNNNNNNNNNNNNNNNNNNNNNNNNNNNNNNNNNNNNNNNNNNNNNNNNNNNNNNNNNNNNNNNNNNNNNNNNNNNNNNNNNNNNNNNNNNNNNNNNNNNNNNNNNNNNNNNNNNNNNNNNNNNNNNNNNNNNNNNNNNNNNNNNNNNNNNNNNNNNNNNNNNNNNNNNNNNNNNNNNNNNNNNNNNNNNNNNNNNNNNNNNNNNNNNNNNNNNNNNNNNNNNNNNNNNNNNNNNNNNNNNNNNNNNNNNNNNNNNNNNNNNNNNNNNNNNNNNNNNNNNNNNNNNNNNNNNNNNNNNNNNNNNNNNNNNNNNNNNNNNNNNNNNNNNNNNNNNNNNNNNNNNNNNNNNNNNNNNNNNNNNNNNNNNNNNNNNNNNNNNNNNNNNNNNNNNNNNNNNNNNNNNNNNNNNNNNNNNNNNNNNNNNNNNNNNNNNNNNNNNNNNNNNNNNNNNNNNNNNNNNNNNNNNNNNNNNNNNNNNNNNNNNNNNNNNNNNNNNNNNNNNNNNNNNNNNNNNNNNNNNNNNNNNNNNNNNNNNNNNNNNNNNNNNNNNNNNNNNNNNNNNNNNNNNNNNNNNNNNNNNNNNNNNNNNNNNNNNNNNNNNNNNNNNNNNNNNNNNNNNNNNNNNNNNNNNNNNNNNNNNNNNNNNNNNNNNNNNNNNNNNNNNNNNNNNNNNNNNNNNNNNNNNNNNNNNNNNNNNNNNNNNNNNNNNNNNNNNNNNNNNNNNNNNNNNNNNNNNNNNNNNNNNNNNNNNNNNNNNNNNNNNNNNNNNNCCCCGCACAGCGCCGCCGCCAGCCAGCCCGCCUGCACGCACAGCGCCCCGCACAGCGCCACGAGCGUGGCUGCAUCGUGUUUAUUUGCACGACGAGUAGCCUCGUGGAUGGACGUGUAUAACUUCCACGCCCGUAUACACGUUCCACUGGGAGGCAUUUUUCUGCUAGCAACGUGUAUAUUUACCAUCCACCUCUAUAUACACCAUCCACUAGAGAUGCUCUAAGAGCAUCUCUAGUGGAACGUGUAAAUUUGGACGUGUAUAUCUUCAUAUACACGUCCAUAUACACCUUGUUAAAUUUUACACCUUUCAGUUUUUGAGUGGAACGUGUAUACAUGACGUGGGAAUCAGGACGUGUAUAUUCCAACGGCUAUAUUUUCAAACGGCUAUAUUUUCAACUAGGAUAAAGCAUCAAAUAGUUCUUACAACAACUAAGAUAAAUUAUCAAAUAGUUCUUACAACAACUAGGAUAAAGCAUCAAAUAGUUCUUACAACAAUUAGGACAAAGCAUCAAAUAGUUCUUACAACAACUAGGAUAAAGCAUCAAAUAGUUCUUACUCUAGGCGACGAGCAAGGAUCUCAUUCUGCUUAGCUUGGUAGAACUGCUUUUGCAUAUCAGUCAUACCACAAGUGUCUAUGAGCAUGACCCUCUCAUCUAAUUCAAACUGUCUCCGUGCAUCCUCCCUCUCGUUUCGUGCAUCCUCCUUUUUCAGCGCAAUCUCCUUUUUUCGCAAUUCAAAUUGCUGUGCAUAGCGAUCAUUUUUUGCCGCCUCUUUGAUGUCAUCCUUCUCUUGCUUUGCUGCCCACACAGUUUCUAAUGACAACUUGCAAGCACUGUCAUCAGCUUUACCUUUCCGCAGUUUGUCCUUCACACCAUCAGGUCUUUGCUAAUGUUCAAGAGCAUCCCUGUGUAUCGAGGUAGCAUCAGUGCGUACUGAGGAUGCAUCAGCUAGAUCAUUGGUGAAUGUGCCCGGACUUGCACCUACAGUCUUCUUUUGUUUCUUACGAGAAGUUUCAAGUUCUUUUGUCUGCCACUUUGGAUACUUCGAAAGCUCGACAUAGCAAUGCAUCAAUGUGAAAGGCUUCUUCUUUUUAAGAUCCAUUUCCUUGAACAUAAUGUGUGCAUCGUUUGUCUGCACAUACAAAUGUAUUGUGAAAAUCUGCACAUCACAUAUAGAAUAUUGCACAACACAUAUAGAAGUACAAGAUAGACACAUACCUUUUCUUCUAUAGUCCUUCCGCUUUCUUCCCUAUUUAAAAUCUGCUGAAGGCAACCACAAAAUCUAGCGGUAUCUUUGUUAAUCAAUGUGUAACGGCAAUUGAUUGCAUUAUCAUUACGCUCCGGCCAUGAUGACAUCUUGUGUGAGUUGUAGUACUCUAAAAUUCUAGCCCAAUAAGCAUCUCUGUUUUGAUCUGUCCCGACACUAUCCAAACUUGCAUUUCCCCAUGCUGCUAUCAAAAUCUUGUCCUCCUCACUAGACCAAUUUUUUCCUUUGUUGGAUUUUGCUUUCUCUGUUAUUGGUGUUGCUUGAUGUUGAGUUGAUGGGGUUGGUUGCUCUUCAAUUGGACUUUCUAGUUGUGUUUGUGUGUAACCAAAACCCAUGGUGUCCAAGAAGCUUUCAUCACCAUCCAUCUGCAAACAAUCAACAAAUACACACAUGAAUCAACAAAUAUGUUAGCAAAUCAAUAUAAUUUUGGUAGUAGUUUCAGAAUUUUUCCCUACAGAGCUCUCUCCCUCCAGCCUCCGCCCCACCCCAGCCCUCCCCACCGAGCUCUCUCCCUCCAGCCCCUCUUUCCCNNNNNNNNNNNNNNNNNNNNNNNNNNNNNNNNNNNNNNNNNNNNNNNNNNNNNNNNNNNNNNNNNNNNNNNNNNNNNNNNNNNNNNNNNNNNNNNNNNNNNNNNNNNNNNNNNNNNNNNNNNNNNNNNNNNNNNNNNNNNNNNNNNNNNNNNNNNNNNNNNNNNNNNNNNNNNNNNNNNNNNNNNNNNNNNNNNNNNNNNNNNNNNNNNNNNNNNNNNNNNNNNNNNNNNNNNNNNNNNNNNNNNNNNNNNNNNNNNNNNNNNNNNNNNNNNNNNNNNNNNNNNNNNNNNNNNNNNNNNNNNNNNNNNNNNNNNNNNNNNNNNNNNNNNNNNNNNNNNNNNNNNNNNNNNNNNNNNNNNNNNNNNNNNNNNNNNNNNNNNNNNNNNNNNNNNNNNNNNNNNNNNNNNNNNNNNNNNNNNNNNNNNNNNNNNNNNNNNNNNNNNNNNNNNNNNNNNNNNNNNNNNNNNNNNNNNNNNNNNNNNNNNNNNNNNNNNNNNNNNNNNNNNNNNNNNNNNNNNNNNNNNNNNNNNNNNNNNNNNNNNNNNNNNNNNNNNNNNNNNNNNNNNNNNNNNNNNNNNNNNNNNNNNNNNNNNNNNNNNNNNNNNNNNNNNNNNNNNNNNNNNNNNNNNNNNNNNNNNNNNNNNNNNNNNNNNNNNNNNNNNNNNNNNNNNNNNNNNNNNNNNNNNNNNNNNNNNNNNNNNNNNNNNNNNNNNNNNNNNNNNNNNNNNNNNNNNNNNNNNNNNNNNNNNNNNNNNNNNNNNNNNNNNNNNNNNNNNNNNNNNNNNNNNNNNNNNNNNNNNNNNNNNNNNNNNNNNNNNNNNNNNNNNNNNNNNNNNNNNNNNNNNNNNNNNNNNNNNNNNNNNNNNNNNNNNNNNNNNNNNNNNNNNNNNNNNNNNNNNNNNNNNNNNNNNNNNNNNNNNNNNNNNNNNNNNNNNNNNNNNNNNNNNNNNNNNNNNNNNNNNNNNNNNNNNNNNNNNNNNNNNNNNNNNNNNNNNNNNNNNNNNNNUUCAGCAGCGGCCCCAGCCCCUCUCUCCCCGCCCUCCCCUCUCCAUGGCGCGCGCCGCCGCCGCCAGAUCCGCCGCCGCCAGAUCUGGCCAGCGGUGUGGAGGCCGCCCGACGUCCCGCGCCUCCUCUCUACCGACGGGAAUGGAAAAUAGAAGGGAGAGAGAGAGCUUACCAGAGGGGAGUGGUCGCCGGCGAGCUUCGAUGGCCUGUGGACGGAGGCGGGAGGAUGGCGGGAGCAGCUCGUUUCUGUCUUCCACGAGCGUGGCCCAGGCGUGUUUAUUUCCACGAGGAGUAGCCUCGUGGGUGGACGUGUAAAACUUACACGCCAGUAUACACGAUCCACUGGGAAGCGUUUUUCAGUUUGCAUCGUGUAUAUUUACCAUCCACCUCCAUAUACACCAUCCACUAGAGAUGCUCUAAAGAUGCUACCAACUCUAGAAUCUGAAUCAAUGAGCUCACAGAGGAGAGUCAAGAAUUUGAGGAGUGGAGGGAAUCCAAACACGCUCUAAAGAUACUAGGAAUUCUAAAACCUAAAUUAAUGAGCUAGCACGUGAGCUGAACCAGCACUUAAACUCAGUUGCGUGCUCCACUCAGUAGCUUUACCCAUAUCUCUUUUAUUAAAGAAGACUUGCCACGUCCGUCCGCUUCCAUCACUUCCAUCCCUACGUUGUUUUUAUUUUCUCUCCAAGCAACCUAUUUGAAAUAAUUUAAAUCAAACCGAUUCUUUCAUUUCCUUGCCCUACUCAUUCCCUAAUAAAUAAAUAAAUAACGCACACAUAGUAACUCGGAGUAAUUUAGAUCAAAUCGGUACUUCUCUUUUCUUGUCCUACUCAUUCUCUCCCUCAAUUUGCUUACUGUUUUUUCAGUCGUGACUAUUCCGAAUGAGGAUCUUGCAGUAAUAUGUAAACUAAUCCUUGAUUCACAUGAAGCAUUUAUGUCAUUAUUACACUAAAUAUUUUUUGUAAAUGUAGUAAUAUUUUAUUACUGUCUUGUGAUGAUAUUGGAUUUUGAAGACGGUGAUGAUGGGUGAACGUAUAUAUGAGUCAUGUGUUGAACCACUAGAAUAUGUAUGCCCCUUUUACAAUGCACAUGCAGUUAGUUAGCGCGUCUAAAGUAAAAGAAGAAGACUGUGCAAAGGGCAUGUACAAUGGCAGGCAUGAUAACCAUCUCUCGAGUAAAAGAGAAGAUUCGGUGUACCCAUACUUAUUCGGAAUCCUCGAAGGGUACAAAAAAUAAGUGAGGCACGAGCUCAUAUCUGUACUUACCACAUAACAAAAUCGUACCAUGUAAAAUUGUUUCAUUGCCCCUAUAUGAAGAGGGGGUUAUAAAUUAUCUCUCGGACCUUUCCCUAUUUGAUACAUGUCAACAUAGGUGUCAAAAGGAAUCAUGGUAGCACAUAAUGAAUUUUGAAACAGCUUAGUAUUUCUUUGAUCGCAGUCACACUUCAUAUCUCUUUCGGCAAUCUAGUUCUACUUACUCUAAUCUUGGACUGCUAAUCAUGCCAAUUAGCCGUCCUCCGUUGGGCACAAUGCUGAUUUGGAAUGAGUGGCAUCGGAAAAUAAACUAGGCCCGGUCAAUACAAGCGUGCGACUACAAGUUUGUCUGGUCCACUUUUGCUGCUACUCCCUCUGGUUCCUAAAACAACGCUUCAAGCUUUGUGGCUAUCAUCUUCAAAAAUAAUGCGUCUGGUUACCUCAGGUUACCUCAUCCAAUGAGCAGGCAUGCCCUGUUUCUGAGAUCCGAGGGAGUAAGCGGCGGAGGACGUGAGGCCUCUUUCCGUGAGUCACUGUAGUGUUUACUAUAGUUACAGUGCUACACCGCACCAAGGCUGCCUGGGUCGGUCUGGGUCUUUGCUUGACCCUUGCACCACCACUGGAAGUAACAAUUAGUCUGAUCUUAUUUUUCAUUGUUAGUUCAGCAACACACAUACGUACUAUGUUUUCUUGUGGCCAUCAGUGACCAUGUUUACAUGUUUAACCACUCUUUGUUGCCUGCACUGAAGAAAGUGAAAAGAACCUUUGGGUUCCUUUGCAUCCCCAAAAUUCUAAAGUACCGCAGGAGUGCUAGUGUAUUUUCCUCUUGUUCUUGGUGUUUCUCCUGUAAGUUGAAACAACCGGUGACUCGUGAAGAAUGAAAGAAAGAGACCAUCAAGGUGAAAAAGAUGUAACUGGCCUCAGUUUACACCGAGGACAAUAAGGUUAGUUGUAAUGGAAGUAUCAUAGAUAGUACUAUAUAUGUCAACUAGACAAUUUUGAUGAGGUGACAUAGAAUUAAAUGAAGAAAGAGAUGGUUUAAUAUCAUAUUAUGAUACCGUAUCAUAUUAAAUAUUGUGUUACUAUACGUCAUGCAUGACAAUAAAUAAAUUAUUUUAUAAUACUAACAUAUGAUACUAUGCAUUAUCCUACAAUAGUAUCAUAUGAUACUAUCCGCAUACAUUUAAAACAUCUUUUAGACCAACAAGACGAAUUACAUGCAAGAUGGAUGAUUUUUAUAUAAAACCAGACAAAAACAUUUACAUUUUUGGCAUAUUUUAACUAAACUAUACAGUGGUCCGGUAAACCUAGUCCACGGCCGACUGCGAAUGAACAUCAUUCCCACGACAUGAAUUCCCCUUGUCCAACAACUGCUCAUCAGAUCGACGGAUGCCAUGAAGGGAUAUGCUUCAGUGAGAGGAAAAUAAUAGCCUCCAUCCGUUUCCAUGAAGCACGGAUCAGAGUUGAUAUUGGGCGGGGAAGACGGCCGCCAUAGUCUAUGCCUUCGCUUACUAGGAAGACACCGGCUGUGUAACCCAGCGAUGUGAUGGCAGUAGCUUUCGUGGGACCCAAGUGACGGCGGCUUACCUUGAUUUUCUUUCAUCGCUGUCUAAGGUACGGUGACCGCGGGCGUACCAACGUCCGCCGACAUGGCUUCUUUCCCCACCCGCAUGACAUGCUGCCAACAUAGAUCAUGACGGAUUUAAUGAGAGACUUUGUUAUCCAGCCUAGAUGGGGGAGGAGGGGGUGUCAAUGGCGAUGGUGGUGGCCCGAGACCCAAGCCAACCUGAACCGGGCAACACAUGCAGCUGCAAUGAUGGGAAACUCAUUCUAUUCGUCGCAGGGCAUGUGGGGUUUUGUGGAUGGAGGAGAUGGAGAGCGGAGGUGAGGUGUGCUUCUUGACUGACGCCUGGACACGUUUAUAUAGCGGGCGAAUGCAAAAAUUUAGCUGCACAGGUGUUUAAUGCUCGUCGGAACAUGAACAAACAUGUGGUGCUGAGGGCGCCGGAGUAGGUUUCUUGGCACACAUGUCGGUUUAAAGGAGGUAGGCAAGCAGACGGAUCCUGUUUCAGUGCAGAGAGAAGGUGUGAACAUCCGGCGAUCAAUGGGUGGUGCUCUCGAGUGGCGAGCCACAUUCAUGUCGGCUCGAGUGAGUGGCCGCGUCCGCUCUGGGCCAGCAUGAAUGCGAGCAUCUAGCAUUGGGCGGGAGCACGAGAGGGCAUGGGAAAUGUGACUGUGAUGGGCCAGGUUAGUCAGAUGCACGCGUGGUAGUGGUCUAGACGCCUGCACCCCCUUCAAGUUUGUUUCUGGUUGGAUGGCAAAAGAGAGCGUCUGGACUGCCAAACAGGCCAAUGUAGACCCGUGUUGGAUGGCAAAACACAUCUAGACCAUCGAACACAUCAACGUAGACCCGCGUUGGACGGCCAAACACAUCCACACCGCGCGAUCCGGACUGUUAUGGAUGGUUUGAGGGUCAGCGUUAAAGAUGUUUUUACUAGUCAAAGUUACAUCCCACUAUGACCAGGCUGACAAAAAUGUAACGGGGCCUAGUCACUGUGUGUUUAUAUUGUGUUGUUAUGUGGUUUCAUUUUCAUGAUGAAACUGGAGCGAGGCCACCCUCUAUUUUCCUUAAAAUAUAAUGUACUCCCUCCUAAAGAAAUAUAAGAGCGUUUAGAUCACUAGUUUAAUGAUCUAAAUGUUCUUAUAUUCCUUUAUAGAGGGAGUAUAACAUAUGAUGCGGAAAUGCAAGAAAAGUUUGAUGUUUAUUGUGUUGAGCUGCAUCAACUAUUUACGCUGUCUAGAUUGAUCAAAGACCUAGAUCUAAUUUAGCUUGAUCAAUAUGAGUCAACAACAGAUAUGAUUGGAGGGGCCGCAUGAUCUGCUUAAGGAAGCCAUUGGAAGACAACAUGGCAAACAGAGGUAGCCUUCAUAGUCAGGUCUGCAACCAAUGCUAAUGAUCAAACGACAACGAAAGAUGGGGCAAAAAUAUGUUACAAUGGCGACCUACAUGGUUAGGUUUUCUUGUACUCCCACCCACGCUGCCGCCGUUCCUCCCCGACUUCGAUGGUCUUUGGGCCAUGGAUGUGCACCCCUAGAGGGAUGAACCCCUCUCCCAUUCUUGUUAGGUUGAACGUCUUGGUUGGGGCUGUGUGGCAGCGGCGAUGCCCCUUGGUAGGAAUAAUGUUUCCCAUAUGCGAUCCCCGCACUGGUGUUUCUAGCAUCGUCGGAGGGUAUAUGGAGGUGUGUCUCCAUCAGAUCUUGUUGGAUUCGGUUGGUGCUGGUCUUUGUUAGUUCUUUUUCAUACAAUCUUUAUCCGUGUGUUUAUAUGUUUUAUCCUUUUGAUCCACGACUCUCUUCAUCAACGUAUGUUGCCGCUUUGUUGCCCUGGUCCCGUGGGGACUUAACACCAACUUUUCAGUUGUCUAUUACAAUAAGAUUUACCUAACUCUAGUGAGGUGGGGGAGGGAGUGAUGAUGAUGGCAUGCCUUUGGCACGAUAGUCAUCCCUAGGUGGUACGUAUAUGGACCUGAUUAAAUUUUUAGUUACCUCUAGUCUUCUGUGUACUAUCCUGAUUGAUCAUCAAUAGGUUGGCAGUUUGUCCAGUAUAAAAUAAAAUCAAAGACCAAGAAAAAUUUGGGGUAAAACACUUUUCCUUUGUAAACAGUACUCAAUGCAUUUUUCGGAUGGAGUUUGAAAUUGGCUCCUUCUCUCGUGAUGGCACGUGUGACUUUGCAAGCUUGCUCAACCCACUCAGCGCAUAGGCGACAACUGCUGUCCUCGCCUUCACUUCUCCAUCAGAAGGCACAAUCGCCCCUCCUUCACCCCCGACCUCCCUUGCUUUCUGAUGACCCACAAGUAUAGGGGAUCAAUCGUAGUCCUUUCGAUAAGUAAGAUUGUCGAACCCAACGAGGAGCAGAAGGCUCUGAUAAACGGAUUUCAGCAAGGUAAUAACUGCAAGCACUGAAAGUAGCGGUAACAAGUGAUUGUGUAGCGAGGUGAAACAUAGCAAGCAAAGAGUAACAAGUAACAAGUAGUAGCAACGGUGCAGCAAGUGGCCCAAUCCCUUUUGUAGCAAGGGACAAGCCUGAACAAAGUCUUAUAGGAGGAAAAACGCUCCCGAGGACACACGGGAAUUUCUGUCAUGCUAGUUUCAUCAUAUUCAUAUGAUUCGCGUUUGUUACUUUGAUAGUUUGAUAUGUGGGUGGACCGGCGCUUGGGUACUGCUCUUACUUGGACAAGCAUCCCACUUAUGAUUAACCUCUCUCGCAAGCAUCCUCAACUACAAAAUAAGAAUUAAGACAAAGUCUAACCAUAGCAUUAAACUAGUGGAUCCAAAUCAGCCCCUCACGAAGCUACGCAUAGACUGGGGUUUAAGCUUCUGUCACUCCAGCAACCCAUUGUCUACUUACUACUUACCAAUGCCUUCCUCUAGGCCCAAAUAUGGUGAAGUGUUAUGUAGUCGACGUUCACAUAACACCACUAGAGUAAAAACAACAUACAACAUAUCAAAAUACCGAACGAAUAUCAAAUUCACAUGACUAUUAUUAACAUGACUUAUCCCAUGUCCUCAGGAACAAAAGUAACUACUCACAAAACAUAAUCAUAAUCAUGAUCAGAGGUGUAAUGAAUAGCAUCAAGGAUCUGAACAUAAACUCUUCCACCAAGUAAUCCAACUAGCAUCAACUACAAAGAGUAAUCAACACUACUAGCAACCUUACGAGUACCAAUCGGAGUCGCGAGACGAAGAUUGGUUACAAGAGAUGAACUAGGGAUUGGAGAGGAGAUGGUGCUGAUGAAGAUGCUGAUGAUGAUGCCUCCCCUCCGACGAGAGGAGUGUUGGUGAUGACGAUGGCGACGGUUCCCCCCUCCGGGAGGGAAGUUUCCCCGGCAGGAUCGUCCUGCCGGAGCUCUAGAUUGGAUCUGCUCAAGUUCCGCCUCAUGACGGCGGCGAAACCACUAAAAAGCUCCCUAUUGAUUUUUUUCUAGACCAGGACGCUUCAUAUAGCAAAAGAGGGGGGGGGGGCUAGUGGGCCGUCAGGCAGCCCACAAGCCUGCCCUGCGCCACCAGGGGGGUGGUGGCGGUGGGCAAGCUUGUGGAGCCCUGGUGGCCCCCCUCCGGUAGUUCUUCGCCCAGUAUUUUUUAUAUAAUCCAGAAAAAAUCCACGUAACUUUUCNNNNNNNNNNNNNNNNNNNNNNNNNNNNNNNNNNNNNNNNNNNNNNNNNNNNNNNNNNNNNNNNNNNNNNNNNNNNNNNNNNNNNNNNNNNNNNNNNNNNNNNNNNNNNNNNNNNNNNNNNNNNNNNNNNNNNNNNNNNNNNNNNNNNNNNNNNNNNNNNNNNNNNNNNNNNNNNNNNNNNNNNNNNNNNNNNNNNNNNNNNNNNNNNNNNNNNNNNNNNNNNNNNNNNNNNNNNNNNNNNNNNNNNNNNNNNNNNNNNNNNNNNNNNNNNNNNNNNNNNNNNNNNNNNNNNNNNNNNNNNNNNNNNNNNNNNNNNNNNNNNNNNNNNNNNNNNNNNNNNNNNNNNNNNNNNNNNNNNNNNNNNNNNNNNNNNNNNNNNNNNNNNNNNNNNNNNNNNNNNNNNNNNNNAUAACACCACUAGAGUAAAAACAACAUACAACAUAUCAAAAUACCGAACGAAUAUCAAAUUCACAUGACUAUUAUUAACAUGACUUAUCCCAUGUCCUCAGGAACAAAAGUAACUACUCACAAAACAUAAUCAUAAUCAUGAUCAGAGGUGUAAUGAAUAGCAUCAAGGAUCUGAACAUAAACUCUUCCACCAAGUAAUCCAACUAGCAUCAACUACAAAGAGUAAUCAACACUACUAGCAACCUUACGAGUACCAAUCGGAGUCGCGAGACGAAGAUUGGUUACAAGAGAUGAACUAGGGAUUGGAGAGGAGAUGGUGCUGAUGAAGAUGCUGAUGAUGAUGCCUCCCCUCCGACGAGAGGAGUGUUGGUGAUGACGAUGGCGACGGUUCCCCCCUCCGGGAGGGAAGUUUCCCCGGCAGGAUCGUCCUGCCGGAGCUCUAGAUUGGAUCUGCUCAAGUUCCGCCUCAUGACGGCGGCGAAACCACUAAAAAGCUCCCUAUUGAUUUUUUUCUAGACCAGGACGCUUCAUAUAGCAAAAGAGGGGGGGGGGGCUAGUGGGCCGUCAGGCAGCCCACAAGCCUGCCCUGCGCCACCAGGGGGGUGGUGGCGGUGGGCAAGCUUGUGGAGCCCUGGUGGCCCCCCUCCGGUAGUUCUUCGCCCAGUAUUUUUUAUAUAAUCCAGAAAAAAUCCACGUAACUUUUCAGGGUAUUUGGAGAUGUGCAGAAUAGUGGACUAGGAUUUGCUCCUUUUCCAGUCCAGAAUUUCAGCUGCCUGAAUUCUCCUCUUCAAAUAAACCUUGCAAAAUAAGAGAGAAAAGGCAUAAAUAUGGUACCACAAGUAAUAUAACAGCCCCAAAAGCAAUAAAUAUCAACAUGAAAGCAUGAUGCAAAAUGGACGUAUCAACUCCCCCAAGCUUAGACCUCGCUUGUCCUGAAGCGAAAACGAAGAUCCAUAAACAUGUCCACAUGUUGAGGGACAAAGGUGUCGAUAAAACAUAAUACAGACAUGAGGGCAUCAUGAUCGCACAUAGAACAACAAUACAUCAUAAAGAUUCUUAUGGGAAAGUAACAAUUCCUUUACAAAGCAAAGCAUGAAGCAAAAACCUUACCGUGAAGUAACCAACAAUAGUCCAUAGUCAUUGAAACAAUUGCAAUUUAUCACAACAUCACAAAGAGUCAAAUAAGAGCUUGUAAGGCAAACCCACAUACUCAAUCAUCUCUUUCAUUUUCCACAAUUGUUACAACUCACGUGGUACUCAUGGUGUCAAAGUUUCAGCUGGACACAGAGGAAGAUAGGGGCUUAUAGUUUUGCCUCCCAACGGUUUACCUCAAGGAUAAAGUCAACAAUAAUAAAGCAUGAGUACUCAACUCCAAGUUGAUAUAUGAAUAUAGAUCUUUCCCAAGCAUGUGACGGUAGCCAAGACAAAGGCAAAAAGGGAAUUGGUGAAGAUCACCAUGACUCUUCCAAGGGUAAAAAGUAAAGGUACAAGAUAGGCCCUUCGUAGAGGGAAGCAGAGGUUGUCAUGCGCUUUUGAGGUUUGAAUGCGUGUCUUCUUAGUGCGGAGGAACGUCACUUUAUAUUGCCUCCUGUGAUAAAGAACUUUAUUAUACAGUCUGUCGCUUUUAUGUCUUCCUCAUCACAGGUUCGUACAAAGCUUAUUUUCCACACACUAAUAGAUCAUACAUAUUAGAGAGCAAUGUUUAUUGCUUGCACCGAUGACAACUUACUUGAAGGAUCUUAUUCAAUCCAUAGGUAGGUAUGAUGGACUCUCAUGGCAAAACUGGUUGGAGGUUUAUGGAUGCACAAGUAGUAUCUCUACUUGGUGCGGGAGUUUUGGCUAAUAUGAGGUGGAAGCAAUCGUCACAUGCUAAGGGAUCUCUAAUCAUAUAACAUUGUUUGGAACCAAGCAAACACAAUUCAUUAUAUUGUCUUCCUUGUCCAACAUCUACUCCUAGGCAUGUAAUAGUUUGGUGAGUGCCCACAAUUGUAAAAAGUGUCUAAGAUGAUAUAUUUAUAUGUGAACCUCUCUUUCCUUAUUACUUCUUAUUAAUUGCAACAAUGACUGAGGUCUAUGUUGAUUUAUUAUCAACAAGUUUCAAUCAUCAUAUGUGUCAUAAGUGAAGUUAUCACUUUCCAUAAGAUCAUCUCAUGAUCUUUCAUGCUAUCGUUCUUUUCAUAUUUUUUAAUCAUGGCACAAAGCAAAGCCCUUAACUAAGACACUCUUUAUUAUAUAGCUCGUAAGCUCGAAUACAUCGGGGGAGAGACAAAAGCAAAAGACUCAAACUAAAAACUAAAGACUUAUUCCUCUAAAAGAAGAAAUAAAAACUGAAAAGGAAAGAACUAAAACAAAGGUAAAAGCAAAAGAUAUAAAGGUGAUACGAUACCAGGGCAACUCCCCCAAGCUUGGCAGAAGCCAAGGGGAUUGCCCAUAGCAAUGCUUAGUUGUCUUCCUUUGGUGGUGAUGGUGGUGUGGUGUUGUUGGAGCAGUCUUGAGCUUGUCUAAUUUCCACUUGAGCAAAAAGUUCUGCUCCCUUAGAUCGUCAUUUUCCUCCUCAAGUUUCAAAACUCUAUGGCAAAGCUCCUAUUUACUCUCCGAAAUAGAUACAUCUUCGUUUUCAAGGUCUGAAACAGGCUGAUAAACAUCCCUUAUGUACUCCACUGGAGUCAUGACAUUGAUGAUAUGGUCUCAACAUUUAUGGGAGUAACGUAGAUGUAAUGCUUGAUUCUUUGCCCAUUUACCACUCUAGGAAAAUUUCCUUUCGUGUUAUUGAUUUUGAUGGCACCGGAACAAUAUACUUCCCCGACAACAUAGGGACCUUCCCAUUUAGAGAGAAGCUUGCCUGCAAUGAAUCUCAAACGAGAAUUGUAUAGCAAGACAUAAUCACCUACAUUGAACUCUCGUUUCUGUAUUCGUUUGUCGUGCCAUCUCUUAACCUUUUCCUUGAACAACUUGGCAUUCUCAUAUGCCUGGGCUCUCCAUUCAUCUAACGAGCUGAUAUCAAACAACCGCUUCUCACCGACAAGUUUGAAAUCAAAGUUGAGCUCUUUGAUUGCCCAAUAAGCUUUGUGUUCUAGCUCAAGAGGUAAAUGACAGGCCUUACCGUAAACCAUUUUAUACGGUGACAUGCCCAUGGGAUUCUUAUAAGCAGUCCUAUAAGCCCAUAGUGCAUCGUCAAGUUUGCUAGACCAGUUCUUUCGAGAUCUAUUGACGGUCUUUUGUAGGAUCAACUUGAUCUCCCUAUUACUCAACUCCACUUGACCACUAGACUGAGGAUGAUAAGGAGAUGCAACUCUAUGGUUGACAUCAUACUUAGCUAGCAUCUUGCGGAAAACACCAUGAAUGAAGUGUGAACCGCCAUCAGUAAUCAAGUAUCUAGGGACUCCAAAUCUUGGGAAUAUGACUUCUUUAAGCAUCUUAAUACAGGUGUGGUGAUCAACAUUUUUAGUGGGGAUAGCCUCUACCCACUUAGUGUUGGGGAACGUCGCAAGGGAAACAAAAAAUUUCCUACGCGCACGAAGACCUAUCAUGGUGAUGUCCAUCUACGAGAGGGGAUGAGUGAUCUACGUACCCUUGUAGAUCGUACAGCAGAAGCGUUAGUGAACGCGGUUGAUGUAGUGGAACGUCCUCACGUCCCUCGAUCCGCCCGGCGAACAAUCCCGCGAUCAGUCCCACGAUCUAGUACCGAACGGACGGCACCUCCGCGUUCAGCACACGUACAGCUCGACGAUGAUCUCGGCCUUCUUGAUCCAGCAAGAGAGACGGAGAGGUAGAAGAGUUCUCCGGCAGCGUGACCGCUCUCCGGAGGUUGGUGAUGAUCUUGUCUCAGCAGGGCUCCGCCCGAGCUCCGCAGAAACGCGAUCUAGAGGAAAAACUAUGGAGGUAUGUGGUCGGGCAGCCGUGAGAAAGUCGUCUCAAAUCAGCCCUAAAACCUCCGUAUAUAUAGGUGGGAGGGAGGGGAGGAGGCAGCCUCAAAACCUAAAGGUUUGGCCGAAAUUGGAGGUGGAGGAGUCCUACUCCAAUCCUACUUGGAGUAGGAUUCCACCUUCCCACUUGGAAACUCUUUCCACCUUGUGUUUUUUCCUUCUCAAACCUUAUGGGCCUUAGUGGGAACUUAUUCCAGCCCACUAGGGGCUGGUUUAUCUCUUCCCAUAGCCCAUGAGACCCCUUGGGGCGUGACACCCCUCCCGAUGGUCCCCGGCACCCCUCCCGGCACUCCCGGUACACUACCGAUGAGCCCGAAACUUUUCCGGUAAUGCACGAAAACCUUCCGGUAACCAAAUGAGGUCAUCCUAUAUAUCAAUCUUCGUUUCCGGACCAUUCCGGAAACCCUCGUGACGUCCGUGAUCUCAUCCGGGACUCCGAACAACAUUCGGUAACCAACCAUAUAACUCAAAUACGCAUAAAACAACGUCGAACCUUAAGUGUGCAGACCCUGCGGGUUCGAGAACUAUGUAGACAUGACCCGAGAGACUCCUCGGUCAAUAUCCAAUAGCGGGACCUGGAUGCCCAUAUUGGAUCCUACAUAUUCUACGAAGAUCUUAUCGUUUGAACCUCAGUGCCAAGGAUUCAUAUAAUCCCGUAUGUCAUUCCCUUUAUCCUUCGGUAUGUUACUUGCCCGAGAUUCGAUCGUCAGUAUCCGUAUACCUAUUUCAAUCUCGUUUACUGGCAAGUCUCUUUACUCGUUCCGUAAUACAAGAUCCCGCAACUUACACUAAGUUACAUUGCUUGCAAGGCUUGUGUGUGAUGUUGUAUUACCGAGUGGGCCCCGAGAUACCUCUCCGUUCACACGGAGUGACAAAUCCCAGUCUUGAUCCAUACUAACUCAACUAACACCUUCGGAGAUACCUGUAGAGCAUCUUUAUAGUCACCCAGUUACGUUGCGACGUUUGAUACACACAAAGCAUUCCUCCGGUGUCAGUGAGUUAUGUGAUCUCAUGGUCAUAGGAAUAAAUACUUGACACGCAGAAAACAGUAGCAACAAAAUGACACGAUCAACAUGCUACGUCUAUUAGUUUGGGUCUAGUCCAUCACAUGAUUCUCCUAAUGAUGUGAUCCCGUUAUCAAGUGACAACACUUGCCUAUGGCCAGGAAACCUUGACCAUCUUUGAUUAACGAGCUAGUCAACUAGAGGCUUACUAGGGACAGUGUUUUGUCUAUGUAUCCACACAAGUAUUGUGUUUCCAAUCAAUACAAUUAUAGCAUGGAUAAUAAAUUAUUAUCAUGAACUAAGAAAUAUAAUAAUAACUAAUUUAUUAUUGCCUCUAGGGCAUAUUUCCAACAGUCUCCCACUUGCACUAGAGUCAAUAAUCUAGUUCACAUCACCAUGUGAUUCCAACGAAUCCAACACCCAUAUAGUUAUGGGGUCUAUCACGUCUUGCUCGUGAGAGAGGUUUUAGUCAACGGUUCUGAAACUUUCAGAUUCGUGCAUUCUUUACAAAUCUUUAUGUCAUCUUAUAGAUGCUGCUACUACGUGCUAUUCGGAAAUGGUCCAAAUAUCUACUCUACUAUACGAAUCCGUUUCACUACUCAUAGUUAUCCGGAUUAGUGUCAAAGCUUGCAUUGACGUAACCCUUUACGACAAACUCUUUAACCACCUCCAUAAUCGAGAAAAAUUCCUUAGUCCAUUAGUUACUAAGGAUAAAUUUCGACCGCUGCUAGUGAUUCAAUCAUGGAUCACUCUCUGUACCUCUCAACAUACUUUGAGUCAAGGCACACUUCAGGUGCGGUACACAGCAUGGCAUACUUUAGAUUCUAUGGCUAAGGCAUAGAAGACGACCUUCGUCUAUUCUCUUUAUUCUGCCGUGGUCGGGUUUUGAGUCUUACUCAAAUUCACACCUCACAACGCAACCAAGAACUCCUUCUUUGCUGGUCUAUUUUGAACUCUUUCAAAAACUUGUCAAGGCAUGCAUCUUGUUUAAACUUCUAUUAAGCGCUUUCGAUCUAUCUCCAUAGAUCUUUGAUGCUCAACGUUCAAGUAGCGUAAUCCAGGUACUCCUUUGAAAACUUCUUUCAAACAACCUUGUAUGCUUUACAGAAAUUCUACAUUACUUCUGAUCCACAAUAUGUCAACCACAUAUACCUAUCAGAAAUUCUAUAGUGCUCCCACUCACUUCUUUGGAAAUACAAGUUUCUCAUAAACCUUGUACACACCCAAAAUCUUUGAUCAUCUCAUCAAAGUGUAUAUUCCAACUCCGAGAUGCUUGCACCAGUCCAUUGAAGGAUCACUGGAGCUUGCAUACUUGCUAGUAUCUUUAGGAUCGACAAAACCUUCUCGUUGUAUCACAUACAAUGUUUGCUCAAGGAAACCGUCGAGAAAACAAUGUUUUGACAUCCUACGUGCAAUAUUUCAUAAAUAAUGCAUCAACAACUAACAUAAUUCUAACAGACCUUUAGCAUCGCUACGAGUGAGAAAGUCUCAUCAUAGUCAACUGUUUGAUCUUGUCGAAAACAUCUUUGCGACAAGUCGAGCUUUUCUUAAUAGUGACUUGUCACCAUCAUCGUCUGUCUUCUUUUGAAGAUCCAUUUUACCCAAUAGUCCCAUGACCAUCAAGUAGUUCUACCAAAGUCUACACUUUGGUUUCACACAUGGAUCCUCUCUCGCAUUUCAUGGCUUCCAGCCAUUUGUCGGAAUCUGGGCCCACCAUCGCUUUCUCCAUAACUCGUAGGUUCACUGUUGCUCAACAACAUGACCUCCAAGACAGGGUUACCGUACUACUCUGCAGCAGUACGCGACCUUGUCGACCUACGAGGUUUGUAGUAACUUGAUUCGAAGCUCAAUGAUCACCAUCAUCAGCUUCCACUUCAAUUGGUGUAGGCGCCACAGGAACAACUUCCUACGCCCUGCUACACACUGGUUGAAGUGAUGGUUCAAUAACCUCAUAAAGUUCUACUACCCUCCCACUCAAUUCUUUCGAGAGAAACCUUUUCUCGAGAAAGGAUCCGUUUCUAGAAACAAACACUUUGCUUUCGGAUCUGAGAUAGGAGAUGUACCCAACUGUUUUGGAUAUCCUAUGAAGAUGCAUUUAUCCGCUUUGGGUUCGAGCUUAUCAGACUGAAACUUUUUCACAUAAGUGUCGAAGCCCCAAACUUUCAAGAAACGACAGUUUAGAUUUCUCUAAACCUCAGUCUAUACUGUGUCAUCUCAACGGAAAUACGCGGUGCCCUAUUUAAAGUGAAUGCGGUUGUCUCUAAUGCAUAACCCAUAAACGAUAGUGGUAAUUCGAUAAGAGACAUCACAGCAUGCACCAUACUAAAUAGUGCGUGGCUAUGACGUUCAGACACAUCAUCACACUAUGAUGUUCCAGGUGGCAUGAACUGUGAAACAAUUUCCACAUUGUCUUAACUGUGUACCAAAAACUCGUAACUCAGAUAUUCAUUUUUAUGAUCAUAUCGUAGACAGUUCAUCCUCUUGUUACGACGAACUUCACUCUGAAACGGAAUUGAACUUUUCAAUAUUUCAGACUUGUGAUUCAUUAAGUAAAUACUCCUGUAUCUACUCAAGUCGUCAGUGAAGUAAGAACAUAAUGAUAUCCACUGCGUGCCUCAGCACUCAUUGGACUGCAUACAUCAAAAUGUAUCACUUCCAACAAGUUACUAUCUUGUUUGAUCUCAAUGAAAACAAGGCCUUGCUCAUGUGGUAUGAUUUGCAUGUCACUAGUGAUUCGAAAUCAGGUGAGUAAAGAUCCAUCAGCAUGGAGCCUCUUCAUGCAAUUUAUACUAACAUGACUCAAGCGGCAGUGCCACAAGUAAGUGGUACUAUCAUCAUUAACUCGUAUCUUUUGGCACCAAUGUGUAACACUACAAUCGAGAUUCAAUAAACCAUUGAAGGUGAUUAUUCAAGCAAAUAGAGUAACCAUUAUUCUCUUUGAAUGAAUAAUCGUAUUGCAAUAAACACGAUCCAAUCAUGUUCAUGCCUAACGCAAGCACCAAAUAACAAUUAUUUAGGUUCAACACCAAUCCCGAUGGUAGAGGGAGCGUGCGACGUUUGAUCAUAUCAACCUUGGAAACACUUCCAACACUAUGUAUAUCAAAUAUACUUCUUUCGACUUUUGCCAGCCUUCUUAUCUACCAAGUAUCUAGAGUUGCUCCGCCUCAGUGACUGUUCCCCUUAUUACAGAAGCACUUAGUCUCGGGUUUGGGUUUAAUCUUGGGUCUCUUCAUUAGCGCAGCAACUGUUUUGCCGUUUCACGAAGUAUCCCUUCUAGCCCUCGCCUUUCUUGAAACUUAGUGGUUUUCCAAACCAUCAACUAUUGAUGCUCCUUCUUGAUUUCUACUUUCGCAGUGUCAAACGUCGCGAAUCGCUCAAGGAUCAUUGUAUCUAUCCUUGAUAUGUCAUAGUUCAUCACGAAGCUCUCAAAGCUUGGUGGCAGUGACUUUUGGAGAACCAUCACUAUCUCAUCUGGAAGAUUAGCUCCCACUUGAUUCAAGUGAUUGUCGUACUCAGACAAUCUGAGCACAUGCUCAACGAUUGAGCUUUUCUCCUUUACUUUGUGGUCAAAGAAUCUUGUUGGAGGUCUAGUACCUCUUAACAAGGGCACAAGCAUGAAAUCACAAUUGCAUCUCUUCGGAACAUCACUUAUGUUCCGUGACGUUUUACAACGUUUUCGGCGCCUUGCUUCUAAGCCAUCAAGUAUCUUGCACUGAACUAUCGUGUAGUCAUCAGUAAUGUGUAUGUCGGAUGUUCAUAGCAUCCACAGACGACGCUCGAGGUGCAGCACACCGAGUGGUGCAUUAAGGACAUAAGCCUUCUGCGCAGCAACGAGGACAAUCCUCGGUUUUACAGACUCAGUCUGCAAAGUUUGCUACUAUCAACUUUCAACUAAAUUUUCUCUAGGAACAUAUAAAACAGUAGAGCUAUAGCGCAAGCUACAUCGUAAUUCGCAAAGACCAUUAGACUAUGUUCAUGACAAUUAGUUCAGUUAAUCAUAUUACUUAAGAACUCCCACUCAAAAAGUACAUCUCUCUAGUCAUUUGAGUGGUACAUGAUCCAAAUCCACUAUCUCAAGUCCGAUCAUCACGUGAGUCGAGAAUAGUUUCAGUGGUAAGCAUCCCUAUGCUAAUCAUAUCAACUAUACGAUUCAUGCUCGACCUUUCGGUCUCAUGUGUUCCGAGGCCAUGUCUGCACAUGCUAGGCUCGUCAAGCUUAACCCGAGUGUUCUGCGUGUGCAACUGUUUUGCACCCGUUGUAUGUGAACGUUGAGUCUAUCACACCCGAUCAUCACGUGGUGUCUCGAAACGAAGAACUGUCGCAACGGUGCACAGUCGGGGAGAACACAACUUCGUCUUGAAAUUUUAGUGAGAGAUCACCUCAUAAUGCUACCGUCGUUCUAAGCAAAAUAAGGUGCAUAAAAGGAUUAACAUCACAUGCAAUUCAUAAGUGACAUGAUAUGGCCAUCAUCACGUGCUUCUUGAUCUCCAUCACCAAAGCACCGGCACGAUCUUCUUGUCACCGGCGCCACACCAUGAUCAUCCAUCAACGUGUUGCCAUCGUGGUUGUCGUGCUACUUAUGCUAUCACUACUAAAGCUACAGCCUAGCAAAAUAGUAAACGCAUCUGCAAGCACAUAUGUUAGUAUAAAGACAACCCUAUGGCUCCUGCCGGUUGCCGUACCAUCGACGUGCAAGUCGAUAUUUCUAUUACAACAUGAUCAUCUCAUACAUCCAAUAUAUCACAUCACAUCGUUGGCCACAUCAUAUCACAAUCAUACCCUGCAAAAACAAGUUAGACGUCCUCUAAUUUUGUUGUUGCAUGUUUUACGUGGUGACCAAGGGUAUCUAGUAGGAUCGCAUCUUACUUACGCAAACACCACAACGGAGAUAUAUGAGUUGCUAUUUAACCUCAUCCAAGGACCUCCUCGGUCAAAUCCGAUUCAACUAAAGUUGGAGAAACCGACACUUGCCAGUCAUCUUUGAGCAAAGGGGGUUACUCGUAACGAUGAAACCAGUCUCUCGUAAUCGUACGAGUAAUGUCGGUCCAAGCCGCUUCAAUCCAACAAUACCGCGGAAUCAAGAAAAGACUAAGGAGGGCAGCAAAACGCACAUCACCGCCCACAAAACCUUUUGUGUUCUACUGGAGAAGACAUCUACGCAUGAACCUAGCUCAUGAUGCCACUGUUGGGGAACGUCGCAAGGGAAACAAAAAAUUUCCUACGCGCACGAAGACCUAUCAUGGUGAUGUCCAUCUACGAGAGGGGAUGAGUGAUCUACGUACCCUUGUAGAUCGUACAGCAGAAGCGUUAGUGAACGCGGUUGAUGUAGUGGAACGUCCUCACGUCCCUCGAUCCGCCCUGCGAACAAUCCCGCGAUCAGUCCCACGAUCUAGUACCGAACGGACGGCACCUCCGCGUUCAGCACACGUACAGCUCGACGAUGAUCUCGGCCUUCUUGAUCCAGCAAGAGAGACGGAGAGGUAGAAGAGUUCUCCGGCAGCGUGACGGCGCUCCGGAGGUUGGUGAUGAUCUUGUCUCAGCAGGGCUCCGCCCGAGCUCCGCAGAAACGCGAUCUAGAGGAAAAACUAUGGAGGUAUGUGGUCGGGCAGCCGUGAGAAAGUCGUCUCAAAUCAGCCCUAAAACCUCCGUAUAUAUAGGUGGGAGGGAGGGGAGGAGGCAGCCUCAAAACCUAAAGGUUUGGCCGAAAUUGGAGGUGGAGGAGUCCUACUCCAAUCCUACUUGGAGUAGGAUUCCACCUUCCCACUUGGAAACUCUUUCCACCUUGUGUUUUUUCCUUCUCAAACCUUAUGGGCCUUAGUGGGAACUUAUUCCAGCCCACUAGGGGCUGGUUUAUCUCUUCCCAUAGCCCAUGAGACCCCUUGGGGCGUGACACCCCUCCCGAUGGUCCCCGGCACCCCUCCCGGCACUCCCGGUACACUACCGAUGAGCCCGAAACUUUUCCGGUAAUGCACGAAAACCUUCCGGUAACCAAAUGAGGUCAUCCUAUAUAUCAAUCUUCGUUUCCGGACCAUUCCGGAAACCCUCGUGACGUCCGUGAUCUCAUCCGGGACUCCGAACAACAUUCGGUAACCAACCAUAUAACUCAAAUACGCAUAAAACAACGUCGAACCUUAAGUGUGCAGACCCUGCGGGUUCGAGAACUAUGUAGACAUGACCCGAGAGACUCCUCGGUCAAUAUCCAAUAGCGGGACCUGGAUGCCCAUAUUGGAUCCUACAUAUUCUACGAAGAUCUUAUCGUUUGAACCUCAGUGCCAAGGAUUCAUAUAAUCCCGUAUGUCAUUCCCUUUGUCCUUCGGUAUGUUACUUGCCCGAGAUUCGAUCGUCAGUAUCCGUAUACCUAUUUCAAUCUCGUUUACUGGCAAGUCUCUUUACUCGUUCCGUAAUACAAGAUCCCGCAACUUACACUAAGUUACAUUGCUUGCAAGGCUUGUGUGUGAUGUUGUAUUACCGAGUGGGCCCCGAGAUACCUCUCCGUUCACACGGAGUGACAAAUCCCAGUCUUGAUCCAUACUAACUCAACUAACACCUUCGGAGAUACCUGUAGAGCAUCUUUAUAGUCACCGAGUUACGUUGCGACGUUUGAUACACAUAAAGCAUUCCUCCGGUGUCAGUGAGUUAUGUGAUCUCAUGGUCAUAGGAAUAAAUACUUGACACGCAGAAAACAGUAGCAACAAAAUGACACGAUCAACAUGCUACGUCUAUUAGUUUGGGUCUAGUCCAUCACAUGAUUCUCCUAAUGAUGUGAUCCCGUUAUCAAGUGACAACACUUGCCUAUGGCCAGGAAACCUUGACCAUCUUUGAUUAACGAGCUAGUCAACUAGAGGCUUACUAGGGACAGUGUUUUGUCUAUGUAUCCACACAAGUAUUGUGUUUCCAAUCAAUACAAUUAUAGCAUGGAUAAUAAACGAUUAUCAUGAACUAAGAAAUAUAAUAAUAACUAAUUUAUUAUUGCCUCUAGGGCAUAUUUCCAACACUUAGUAACGUAAUCCACAGCAACUAAGAUGUGAGUGUACCCACUGGAACUCGGGAAGGGUCCCAUAUAAUCAAAGCCCCAGACAUCAAAUGGUUCAAUGACAAGUGAAUAGUUCAUAGGCAUUUCCUGACGCUUACUGAUGUUCCCUAUUCUUUGGCAUUCGUCACAAGACAAGACAAACUUACGAGCAUCCUUGAAGAGAGUGGGCCAAUAGAAACCUGAUUGCAAUACCUUAUGGGCAGUUCUAUCUCCAGCGUGGUGUCCUCUGUAGGCUUCGAAAUGACACUUCUGCAAGAUCUGUCCCUGUUCAUGUUCACGCACACAACGUCUAAUAACACCAUCUACUCCUUCCUUAUAAAGGUGAGGAUCAUCCCAAAAGUAGUGUCUCAAAUCAAAGAAGAAUUUCUUCUUUUGCUGAUCGGUGAAACUGGGUGGUAUGUAUUUGGCUACGGUAUAGUUUGCAUAAUCGGCAUACCACGGUGCACUAUGUGAAGUGCGGAUGACAUUUAGUUGCUCAUCAGGAAAGCUGUCAUCAAUUGGUAGUGGGUCAUCAAGGACAUUCUCUAGCCUAGACAAGUUAUCUGCUACAGGGUUAUCAGCACCCUUUCGGUCAACGACGUGCAAAUCAAAUUCCUGUAGCAGGAGAACCCAUCUGAUCAGCCUAGGUUUAGCAUCCUUCUUCUCCAUAAGGUACUUAAUAGCAGCAUGAUCAGAGUGAAUAGUGACUUUGGAUUCAACUAUAUAAGAUCUGAACUUUUCACAUGCAAACACGACUGCUAAAAAUUCCUUCUCCGUAGUGGCAUAGUUUCUUUGGGCACUGUCUAGAGUUUUACUAGUGUAGUGAAUGACAUUCAACUUCUUGUCAACUCUUUGUCCUAGAAAAACACCACCAGCAUAAUCACUAGCGUCACACAUGAUUUCAAAGGGCAAGUUCCAGUCAGGUGGUUGAACAAUAGGCGCGGUUAUCAAAGCCUUCUUAAGUAUUUGAAAGGCUUCCUCACAAUCCUCAUCAAAAACAAAAGGAACAUCCUUCUACAAGAGGUUGUUAAGAGGCCUAGAAAUCUUAGAGAAGUCUUUAAUGAACCUUCUAUAGAAACCAGCAUGACCUAGGAAACUUCGUAUACCUCUGAUAUCUGUGGGGCAAGGCAUUUUCUCAAUUGCAUCAACCUUAGCCUUAUCAACUUCAAUGCCUCUUUCAGAGAUUUUGUGUCCUAAGACGAUACCUUCAUUAACCAUAAAGUGGCACUUCUCCCAAUCCAAGACGAGGUUGGUUUCUUCGCAUCUCUGUAAGACUCGAUCAAGGUUGCUGAGGCAAUCAUCAAAGGAAGACCCGUAAACGGAGAAGUCAUCCAUGAAAACCUCGACGAUCUUUUCACAAAAGUCAAAGAAUAUAGCCAUCAUACAUCAUAACCGUCUAGAAAACAGAAGUGUGUGUGUUUUGAUAGCGUUUCUAGCAUUUGGUCGAUGAACGGCAAAGGGUAAUGAUCUUUCCUAGUUGCCUUGUUCAGUUUCCGGAAGUCUAUCACCAUUCUAUAGCCGAUAAUAAUCCUUUGUGGGAUUAGUUCAUCCUUAUCAUUAGGAACGACGGUGAUACCUCCCUUCUUAGGUACGCAAUGUACUGGACUUACCCAAUCACUAUGAGCAACAGGAUAAAUGAUUCCUUCUUCCAGAAGCUUUAAUAUUUCUUUUCUACCGACCUCUUUCAUCUUAGGAUUUAAUCUCCUUUGAUGAUCAGCAACUGGUUUAAAGUCAGGAUCGGUUUUAAUCUUGUGCUGACAUAGAGUAGGACUAAUACCCUUAAGAUCAUCAAGAGUAUAUCCAAUAGAAGCGCGGUGCUUCCUCAGAGUUUUUAGUAACUUCUUCUCUUCGCGCUCUGAGAGGAGAGCACUAAUAAUGACAGGAUAUAUCUCCUUCUCAUCAAGAUAGGCAUACUUAAGAGUAUCAGGCAACUGUUUAAGCUCGAACACAGGAUCACCCUUUGGUGGGGGAGGAUCCCCAAGCAGUUCAACAAGCAGAUUAUUCUUAAGAAUAGGAUAUUGUUCUAAGACAAUUUUAUCUAUCUCAUCUCUCUCCUCCAUAUGCAUAUCAUUUUCAUGCUCAAGCAGAUAUUGCUCUAAAGGAUCCGUAGGAGGUACGACAAUAGAGGCAAGAGCAAUGAUUUCAUCUCUACCAGACGACUCUCUUUCAUGCGUUUGUCUUCCAAACUUGGAGAAGUUAAAUUCAUGAGACACACCCUCGAAACUUUCUCUGACAGUCUGCUUAAUGCAAUCAAUGUGAGCAUUGACAGUGUUGAGAAAGGGUCUACCAAAUAUGAUGGGACAAAAGCUAUCUUGUGCAGUACCAAGGACGAGGAAAUCAGUAGGAUACUUCGUCUUACCACACAUGACUUCUACGUCUCUCACAAUUCCCAGAGGGCAGAUAGUGUCUCUAUUAGCUAGCGUAAUAGUGACAUCAAUGGAUUCUAACUCAGCAGGUGCAAUCUCAUCUUUGAUUUCAUCAUAUAGAGAACGGGGUAUUGCACUAACACUAGCUCCCGUAUCACAUAAACCAUGGUAACAGUGAUCUCCUAUCUUGACAGAAACAACGGGCAGGCCAACUACAGGUCCGUGUUUGUCUUUCGCGUGAGGUUUAGCAAUUCUAGCGGAGUCCUCACAGAAUUUGAUAACAUGCCCAUCUAUGUCUUUGGCUAAGAGAUCUUUGAUAAUAGCAACACUAGGUUCAACUCUAAUCUCCUCAGGGGGUGCAAGUGAUCUAAUGUAACCCCUACGUAUCACAGUUGGAGCUUUAGAAUAAUCCUUUAUCCUAGCAGGGUAUGGUGGUUUCUCAGUGUAAGCACAAGGAACAACAGGAUCACUAAAAGCAAUGACUUUCUCCUCAACUAGAUUGGUUUUGGCUAUGUUGCUUUCUACAGGAGGAUGAUAUUUAAACCACUUCUCUUUGGGAAGAUCAACAUGAGCAGCAAAAGAUUCACAUAGAGAAGCUACUAUCUCAGAGUCAAGUCCAUACUUAGCGCUAAAAUCUCUAGAAGUGUUUGUCUCAACAAAAGAUUUAACGCAAUCAAACUGGAAAUUCAUACCUGACUCCUUACCUUCCUCCAGCUCCCAAUAUUCAGAGUUGCAUUUGAUUCUCUCCAAUAAAUUCCACUUGUGAUCAAUAUCCUUCUUCAUAAAAGAACCGGCACAAGAAGUGUCAAGCAUGGUACGAUCUUCAUGAGAAAGCCGAGCAUAAAAGUUUUGAGUGAUGAUUUCUCUCGAGAGCUCAUGAUUGGGGCAUGAAUAUAUCAUUGAUUUAAGCCUCCCCCAAGCUUGAGCUAUGCUUUCCCUGUCACGAGGCCAAAAGUUAUAAAUAAAGUUCCGAUCACGAUGUACUAAAUGCAUAGGAUAGAACUUUUGAUGAAAUUCCAAUUUCAACCGAUUGUAGCCCCAUGAUCCAGUAUCAUCACAUAGCCUAUACCAUGUCAACGCCUUAUCCUUCAAAGAUAAAGGAAAUAAUUUCUUCUUUACCUCAUCCUCGGGCAAACCUGCAAGCUUAAAUAAACCACAAACUUCAUCUACAUAGAUUAGAUGCAAGUCUCGAUGUGAAGAUCCAUCUCCUGUAAAAGGAUUAGCCAGCAGUUUCUCAAGCAUACCCAAAGGAAUUUCAUAAAAGAUAUUUUAAGUAGGUACCUUAGGUUGAGGAGAAACUCCUCGUGCUUCCGUUCGUGGUGAAGAUACCCCGAACAAACUCCUCAAAGAAACAGUUUCCAUAGUGACAAGUGACAAUAAAUUUCAGCACAGUAUAUAAAUGUUUCCUUACCAAUUUCCACUUACCAAAGGCGCUUCACUCCGCGGCAACGGCGCCAGAAAAGAGUAUUGAUUACCCACAAGUAUAGGGGAUCAAUCGUAGUCCUUUCGAUAAGUAAGAGUGUUGAACCCAACGAGGAGCGGAAGGCUCUGAUAAAUGGAUUUCAGCAAGGUAAUAACUGCAAGCAUUGAAAGUAGCGGUAACAAGUGAUUGUGUAGCGAGGUGAAACGUAGCAAGCAAAGUGUAGCAAGUAACAAGUAGUAGAAAUGGUGCACCAAGUGGCCCAAUCCCUUUUGUAGCAAGGGACAAGCGUGAACAAAGUCUUAUAGGAGGAAAAACGCUCCGGAGGACAUACGGGAAUUUCUGUCAUGCUAGUUUCAUCAUGUUCAUAUGAUUCGCGUUCGUUACUUUGAUAGUUUGAUAUGUGGGUGGACCGGCGCUUGGAUACUUCCCUUACUUGUACAAGCAUCCCACUUAUGAUUAACCUCUCUCGAAAGCAUCCGCAACUACAAAAGAAGAAUUAAGACAAAGUCUAACCAUAGCAAGUGGAUCCAAAUCAGCCCCUCACGAAGCAACACAUAGACUGGGGUUUAAGCUUCUGUCACUCCAGCAACCCAUCGUCUACUUAAUACUUCCCAAUGCCUUCCUCUAGGCCCAAAUAUGGUGAAGUGUUAUGUAGUCCACGUUCACAUAACACCACUAGAGGAAAAACAACAUACAACAUAUCAAAAUACCGAACGAAUAUCAAAUUCACAUGACUAUUAUUAACAUGACUUAUCCCAUGUCCUCAGGAAAAAAAGUAACUACUCACAAAACAUAAUCAUAAUCAUGAUCAGAGGUGUAAUGAAUAGCAUCAAGGAUCUGAACAUAAACUCUUCCACCAAGUAAUCCAACUAGCAUCAACUACAAAGAGUAAUCAACACUACUAGCAACCUUACGAGUACCAAUCGGAGUCGCGAGACGAAGAUGGGUUACAAGAGAUGAACUAGGGAUUGGAGAGGAGAUGGUGCUGAUGAACAUGUUGAUGAAUAUGCCUCCCCUUCGACGGGAGGAGUGUUGGUGAUGACGAUGGCGACGAUUUCCCCCUCCGGGAGGGAAGUUUCCCCGGCAGGAUCGUCCUGCCGGAGCUCUAGAUUGGAUAUGCUCAAGUUCCGCCUCGUGGCGGUGACGAAACCAUGAAAAAGCUCCCGAUUGAUUUUUUUCUGGACCAGGACACUUCAUAUAGCAAAAGAGGGGGCUAGUGGGCCGUCAGGCAGCCCACAAGCUUGCCGUGCGCCACCAGGGGGUGGUAGCGGUGGGCAAGCUUGUGGAGCCCUGGUGGCCCCCCUCCGGUAGUUCUUUCGCCCAGUAUUUUUUAUAUAAUCCAGAAAAAAUUCACGUAACUUUUCAGGGCAUUUGGAGAUGUGCAGAAUAGUGGAUUAGGAUAUGCUCCUUUUCCGGUCCAGAAUUCCAGCUGCCUGAAUUCUCCCUCUUCAAAUAAACCUUGCAAAAUAAGAGAGAAAAGGCAUAAAUAUGGUACCACAAGUAAUAUAGCAGCCCAAAAAGCAAUAAAUAUCAACAUGAAAGCAUGAUGCAAAAUGGACGUAUCACUUUCCCAGCUCCCAUCUGACUGGCGGCCUGGGCGGACCUCGCAGAGGAGGAUGAUCGAGCUGCGGGACACCUCAUCCUCCAUCA
Molecule: long non-coding RNA, 102414 nt
Filed under: Hordeum vulgare
Lineage: Eukaryota; Viridiplantae; Streptophyta; Magnoliopsida; Poales; Poaceae
Description: long non-coding RNA (HVUL_LNC013953)
Rfam family: MIR1120/MIR1122 microRNA precursor family (bases 66117-66240)
Source: RNAcentral